RNAcentral lists this long non-coding RNA (89979 nucleotides) under Vigna radiata. RNAcentral's name for it is "long non-coding RNA (VRAD_LNC007592)". The record is from RNAcentral. Lineage: Eukaryota; Viridiplantae; Streptophyta; Magnoliopsida; Fabales; Fabaceae.
UUAAACAACUGCUCUCCUGGACAGGAACAAACUAAAACUAAAAAGAAAAACAAAUGACUUAACCUACAAAGAAAAAGAAUCAAACUACACAGAAAAGGCUAAAGACAAACUAGGAAACUCUAAAUUCUAAUUCAGCUUAACUCAAACCUGCCAAAUCACAUCAAUUCUAGCUAUUUCAUCAAAUCAGAACUGCACUAAAGAAAUCUCAACUCUAAACUCAAGCUUCAGCAUUUCCAGCAAGUGAGAAACAGUUUAAUCCACUCAAAAUCAGCAAAGACAACAUAUGGAAGAGUAGCAGUCAGCCUCAACCUCACAGGCUGCAGUGUAUGCACUCAAUCACUCAACUGUUUAGGUUAUCCUGUUUCACUCAUUCAUGACAUGCUAACCACCAUUCUCAAUUUUCAAAAGAUUCUAAGUGACCAUGCUCAGCUCUUGGUUUCAUCUAGAUCAAAAGGUCUUAUUGGCUUGUAAUGAAAUGGUAUGAAGGGUCACAAAACACAAGGCUAAAUGGAAAUAGAAACUGGAAGAGAAGUAAAGAACCUAGAACUCAGUGCAUUGUGCAUUUAACUUUGGUCAAUUCAAUUUCUUUGCUCUUUCUCUCUGGUUUUUUCACACUCAGGUCUUAUCUUUUAAUUCUUUUGCAUUUUAGCUAUUUUUCAGACCUGCUCUUUCUUCUUUUUCAUCACAACCAGAUUGCUCAAUCAUUUUUCUUUUUCUUCUCUGGCCUUCUUUUUUUCUUCUCUGGCCUUUCUUUUUUUUUCUUCUCUGACCUUUCUUUUUUUUUCUUCUCUGACCUUUCUUUUUUUUUUCUUCUCUAGCCUUUCUUUUUUUUCUUUUGCACUCACAAAGUUACUAAAUCCUCACUUCCUCUCACAGGUUUCUACAGGUUGGGUAAUGAUGGGGAAUGAAUGGAACAAAGAAUAUGGCUAAAGCUCAAAAGAAAGGUGCAAUGGUAAGAAAAAUUGUAAUGAGUAAAAUAAAUGGUUAUGGAUGAAGAAAAAAAUUGCCUAAAUCAUAUCUAUAUUCUACCAAGAGCAAGCACAUCACAAAGAAUCAAUUUAAAUCUAAAGUCAAGUCUACUUUUGACAAUUCUAAUCUAAGGAAAUGAAGCUAAAAACGAGUGAAAUCAACAAAGAAUGAGGAAAAGCAUAAAUCAGAACCUAAAAGCUCCUAGAAAGACUAACCAUGAUUACCUAAGCUAUUUACAAUCUAAACAACUAAAUGUGUCAUCUCAACCUCAAUCAAAUACCAUAAUCUCAUAAAGCAAAACUUAUCACACAAAACAGAGCAUUGUUAAAUCAAAGCAGUUCAAUUCAUUCAAGCAGAGCACAAUAAAAAUAAAAUAAAAUAGAACAAAAACAAAAAUUAAAAGUAAAAGUUCAGAGAAUUGGGUUGUCUCCCAGCAAGCGCUUCUUUAACGUCACUAGCUUAACCCAAUAAGUUUAUGCCACAUCUUUUAUCUUGGUGUCACCCUUUCCUUCGAUGCACCAACUGGUUUUCAGCAGCUUCCUAUUCACCUUUUUGGUUCUCCUUGAAGUAGGAGAUUCAAUUUCUAUCAACCCAUCAGCUCUGAGUUCUUUCACAACCCAAAACUUUUUGUUGAACUGCACAGGUAAGCUUGGUCUCGGCCCUUCAUGCUCCUUCAGAGGAUUUUGGUGAACACCUGCUCCUUUGUUGUUUCUUUUCUCUUCAUUCACCUGUGACAAAAAACACUUUUUACCUUUCUUCUUUGAUUUAGCAGCCUUGGUACCAGUCCCGGGUGUAUCUUUAAAUGCAACUUUGGGACUAGUUUCCUUCACUUGGAUUUUGUUAUCCAGUAUUGCAGGCAUUGUAGAUUACCUCCUCUUCUUGGUCCUUGAGAGCUAUGGUACCCUCAUCAAUAUUGAUGAUUACUUUGGUCAUUUUCAUGAACGGCCUUCCAAGAAUAAUAGGGAUCUCCGCAUUUUCCUCCAUCUCUAGCACCACAAAGUCCACCAAGAAUCUCAAGUUGUUGAUUUGCACCAUCACAUCUUCUACCACACCAUAAGGUCUUUUGGGGAAUCCAUCUGCCAUGAGAAGAGACAUCCUUGUCGGCUUAACUUCCAAGUCACCAAUCCUUUUGAGAACAGUUAAGGGCAUUAGAUUGAUACUGGAUCUCAAACCAAUUAAGGCAGACUUUCCCUAUUUUGUGGUUCCCAAUGAUGCAGGGAAUAGUGAAACUUCCUGGGUCUUCUACCUUAGGAGGAAGUGUCUUUUGCAAGAUCACACUAUAAUUCCCAUGUAUGUAUUUCAGUUGUCUCUCAGUCACAUAAAUUUUUAUCCCCAAUUCUUUGGAGAUCUCAUCAAAACACCAUGAUUGCAUGGAAUAUUUGUCAGGAUGGUGGAAACUUUUCUCAAAUUUUUUUACUUUUUUCUUCUUCUCUCUCAACCUCUUCUUCCUCUUUUUCUCUCUUCUUUCUCUUUUUUAUCAACUCAUUUUUUCUUUUCUUUGGUCUUUUUCUUCCUUUUUUUUUACAUCUCUUUUUUUUUUCUUUUCUCUCAUUCUUUUCUUUUUCUCUCUUCCUUUCUUUCUCUUUUUUUCCUCUCAUUAUUCAUACUUACAAUAGUUUUAUAUUCUUUGGGAUUAACUUUAGCAUUAGCUCUAAAAUCUUUGAAGGACAUCUCCUUCAACUGCUUGGCUAUUUGUCCUACCUGUAUUUUCAAGUUCUUGAUGGCACCGUCUAUGCUUUUGUGGAUGGACAAGGUUGCGAUUAAAAAGUCUCUUCAAGCCUUGUGAUUAUAAUUAUUAGGACGGAAUUAGUUAUCCAUGUAAUUGACUUCCUGAUUAAGAUUCUCAAACACCGCAGAUUGACUAUUAAUAUAAUCACUACCACAUAGUUGUUGAUGGAUCUAUGCCACAUUCUAAAGUUCCUUCUAUGGCUUUGUCGUCUUCUUAGUCAAGAUCUCCAACUGUUGAUUGAUAAUCUUAUUUUGAACAAGCAAAGGCAUGAAGUUGAAAAACCCCUUUAGGUUAGGAGUUUCACUUUAUUGUAGCCAUAUUUUCAAAUAAUUCAUAGGUUUCCUUUGGGGUCAUGCCCUUGCUGAGGCUUCCUUUUGUUAAUUUGAUUUUGGUUUUAAAAUUUAUAUUUGAAAUCCGGCUUUAAAUUUUUGCUCAUGUAAAAUAAUACGUUGUUAAUUCUAUCAAUUACAUCAUGUUGGUCUUCGUUGAACUUAAUUUGCUCAUUAGUAUGCCUUUGGGUAAGGACUUUCAUAAGUAAAUCUGGAACUUUCGAAAUUUCUACUUUUAAAACUUUCUACAUAAUCAGUAAUAAAAAAAUUGGCACGUAAAUUGGCGUGUCCAGAUUCAAGGAUCUCCAUUAACUACGUUGUUAAAAAAACUCGAAGAAUUGUGGUAAUUUGCACACAUGGGGUUGAAAAAAUAUACACUUAAUAUACUCCACAUACACAGUACAAAAUCAAUUUCUAUAUCAAUAAAAUAAAUAGUACACAUAAUACGCGGUAAAAAUAGAGAAAAUCAAAUUUAUUCUAAGCAAAAACACUAAAAUUGAACUCAGACAUCUAAGGAAGGAUAAAAGCUGCAGUAGUUCUCAAGCCUGGCGAAGGCGAAAACUCUUUGGCGGCCACCGCGAAUAUUCAUCGGGAAAAGCCAUAGCAUUUGUCAUCAUUGCCGAUCAUCAUCACACGUUCAUGGCAUUCACUUAAUGCUGACACAUUUAAGUACGAUUCCACACAAUUUAUUUACAAUUUUAAGAGACUAGUUAUAGAUAAUUUUGUUUAUCUUUGUAGAUAAAUGAACUAAAAACCAGAUAGAGAAAAAAAGAACGAAAGUACAAAUCAAACUCUCAGACAUCCAAGGAAGGAUAAAAGCAGCAUCAGCUCUCUAGCCUGGCGAAGGCGAAAGCUCUUAGGCGGCCACUGCGAAUGUUUAGAGAAACAAGCCUUAGAAUAUGUCAUCAUCGAGUUGUUGAAGCACGAACAAAAUACACAACAAUUAACAGUGAAAAUUACAAUUUCAAUAAAUAAAACAAAAAAAAAAACUAUACAAAAAAGCUGAAUCAAGAAACAAAAAUUCUCAGACAUCCAAGGAAGGAUAGAAGCAGCACAAGCUCUCAAGCCCGGCGAAGGCGAAAGCUCUUAGGCGGCCACUGCGAAUGUUUAGAGAAACAAGCCUUAGGAUUUGUCAUCAUCGAAUGAAUAGAAAUUUACAAAAUAACUAAGUUUAUGGAACUCCACAAAUCAUUCAUGCAAUCAUAACAGAUAAUAGUAAUUACAAAAGAAUAAUCAUCAAAGCAACAGCUGUGAAGUCUCAGACAUCCAAGGAAGGAUAAAUACAGCACUAGCUCUCAAGCCUGGCGAAGGCGAAAGCUCUUAGGCGGCCACUGCGAAUGUUUAGAGAAACAAGCCUUGUUUGGUAUCAUCACAGACAAUUCAUAGCAUAGCUAUAACUGCAACAGGAUAGCAUGCAUUGAUUAAAAAUUGACAAUUACAGUAAAUGGGUUUAACAAUGAUAUAUCAAAUGUUCCACCCUAUAAUGAUCAGCAAGACACAGAAAAAAGAGCUGACAAAGUGAAAAGGAUGGAUGAAUUGAAUGUUAGGGACAUGUUCAUCCCUAAAGCACUCGGAGGCACUGCUAAAGGGGCAGACGUAAAGUCCCAAAAAUUCAAGUAGCAAAUUCGAAAUAAAACAUGACAAAACCAAAUCAGACAAUAGUAAUAAAAAUACAUAGCAUCAGACCAAUCUAAAACCUAAAAAUUAAGAUUUAGUGCGUAAUGAAUGAAAAGGAAUCUAAAUAAAACAUGACAAAACCAAAUCAGAUAAGAGUGAUAAAAAUAUAUAGCAUCAGACCAAUCUAAAACUUAAAAAUUAAGAUUUAAAGUGUAAUGAAUGGAUGGGUCAUCAGAUAGGAGCGAAAGACUAAAACUAAAUAUAAUCACAGAUAAAUCAUCUGAACUAUGCUUAUGAUCAUCAUAUGACCCUUCCAACAUAUUUGUAACACAAACUCAAUACAAAAAAAAAAUUAAGUUUAGACAACAGAUUACAAACAUCAUGCAAAUAAAAAAAAGAAAACUGUAGCAAAAGAGCCUCAGAAGGAAGGCAGUAGUGAUUUCGUAAUCAUGAAUAUCAUCCAUUACUAUUCACUAAAUCAUUCAUCAUUGGCAAUGAAAAACAGAGAACUUAGGAUUCCUAAACUAACAUAACUUAUCACCAUCUAAACUAAGGUGAACAAAAACACAAUCACUCAACAAAGAGAAACAUCUAUAGGAAAAACGUUGAUAGUUGGCCUCAUAGAGAAGAUUAGUUUGAUCCACAUGGAGUAGUUCAGACAUAUGCUUGUCUAUUAUUUAUAAUUUAAUCAUAGGCCAAUCCAAGAGUACAAAUCUUGCUAUUAACCACACUAACAAAUAUGGAAGAAGAACUGAAAAAUAAAAUAAAAACAGAAACAUUAAUCAAGUAAAAUUCAAUGGAAAAAAAAGAAAUGAGCGAAGAAGGGACUCAGAAUAUGGGUGGUGAUAUAGCAGGAUGGUCGGCAAGGCCAAUGAGGCCAAUUACGACGAACGAGACCUUAUCACAGAAUCAUCCCAGUCCAAUCCGAUCUGAUUUCAACACAUACUACAACAAUCAAUUGUAACAAUCAGAAAUGUAAAACCAAACAAUCAGAAAAGAAAAAAAAAUAGAAUCUCAUGAAUUGAGAGUGUAAAAGAAACCCUAGCCUCUUGAAGAAUAUAGAAUGGAGGGGGCGUAGAGAGUGUUUAUAAAGGGGGGAAGGAGAUUUGCUGGCUAGGGUUUUGGGUGAGUAGAUGUCUCUAGAAUGUGCGGAUGAUGCGUUCUCCUUAACCUGCGCCGCCAAAUAAUAACCUAAACAUUUUCUUAAAGAUGUCAAAAUAAAUGAAAAAUAAUUUUUUUUUCUGCAUCUAUUUUUUUAUUAAAUAAUGUCAAUUGAUAUAUAUAUAUAUAUAUAUAUAUAUAUAUAUAUAUAUAUAUAUAUAUAUACUGUGUAUUAUAAUGAAAUUAUUUUUACGACAGGAGUUUUAAUUAUAUAAAAUGAUAUAUUCAAAAAAUUUAUAAUUUGAUUUUAUUUAAAUAAUAUGAACAGUUACUUAUGAUUUAGUUUUUUUAAAAUUAAUAAACUUUGUGGUAAAAUUAUAAAGGAUAAAAUAGAAAAUGUUCAUUAAACGUACCAUUUUUUAUAAAUGGUUAUUAAUUAUUUUAUGUAUGUGUAUAUAUAACAAAUUCACGUUAAGAUAAUUUUAUAAAAUUAAAUAUUAAAAACACUACAAAUCUAAUCCUAUUCCAAAAUUAUUAGAUUUAUACAGUAAAUAAAAAAUAAUAAUUUGUAUAUACAAAAUGGAGAAAAUUAUUUACAUGUUAUAAUAGAAAAAUAUUUUUUACACAUUUAUUAGAGAAUGUUUAUAUAUUAUUGUAGGUGUAAAGAUAUAAUUUAAAAAGAAAAACUUAAUUAAUUACUAAGAGAUAUAAUAAAAAACGCUAUGUCACGUCUUAUUUGUAUAUAGCCACGAGGUAGUAGAGACUCAUAAUGAUUUAAAUUAAAACUUUAAGCAUUUAAUCAAAUAAAAUAUUAAGAAAUGAUUUUUUUAAAAUUAAAAUAAUCAUUUUAUCUUUUAAAUAUUUAUUUUAAAUUAAAAUAACUAUUUUCUCUUUGUCUUUAAACAUUGUUAUUUUUUUUAUGUGAUCUUUUUUAAAUUAAACUACUUUUUAUUAUAAAAAAUAUUUACAAAAUAAAAAUUAUUUACAUAAAAGUUAUUUAUAUUUAAUUUUAUAAUUAUAAUGAUUAUAAAAAUAACAAUAAUAAUAAUUUUGUUAUUUUUAUUAUCAUAAAAAAAAGUGGUGAGACUAGGAAAACGAGAUAGAGAAGUCAAUAGUAAGAAUUUCAAAUUUAAAGAUUGAAGUUAAGAUGUCAAGAUCGAAAAGAUAAGGUUGAAAAGGUUGAGAUCGAAAGUUCGAGAUUAAGAGGAUCAAAUCGAUAUGAGAAGAUCAAUAAGUCAAAACCAAAAGGUUAAGGUCGAGAGGAUGAGGUUCAAAAGGUCGAGAUCAAAAGGAUGAAGUUAAAAAGGUCGAGACCGAGAGGUCAGGGCCAAUAGGUCAAGAUCGAGAUGUCAAGGCCAAUAGGUCAAGAGUGAAAGGUUGAGAUUGAGAGGUUGAGAUUAAAAAAGUUGAGGUCAAUAGGUUAAAGCUUGGAGGAUAAGAUUGAAAAGGUUGAAGUUGAGAAGUUGAGGCUAGCAAGUUGAGGUUGACAAGUUGAGGCUAGCAAGUCGGAGCCAAUAGGUUGAGACUUAGAGGUCGAGAGCAAAAAGAUGAGACUGAGAUCUAAAGAUUGAGAAGUCGAGAUUAAGAAGUUGAGGCUGAUAGGUUAAGCCUAAAAGGACGAGGUUGAAAAGGUUGAGGCAGAAAGGUCGAGACCGAUAUUAGGAUAUUCCUCCUUGGAAUUCCAUCUAAUACAUCAAGUCCCAAGAUAACUUUUCAAUCAUGAAUCCAUCCAAUAUUUUCAUCAAAUUAUUCCAUACAAUUUAGCUUAACAUACAAAAACAUAAUUAUUGAUAUUUCAUAUCACACAUUUAAGAUAAAAUGUACACACACAUAUACAUACAUACAUAUAUACAUACAUACAUAUAUAUAUAUAUAUAUAUAUAUAUAUAUAUAUAUAUAUGAGUGUGUGUGUGUAAAUAUAUUAUAGAAUCUUUAUAUCACUCAAAUGAUUUAUAUGGAUUUAAUGAAUUUCAAAUUAAUUUGCACAUUCUCACUCGAGUAUUUAAAGAUAUAAAUGUCAACUUGACAACAUGAAUACAAAUAGUUUGAGAUUUUAUAAAUAAAACUACAACUUUUUCAAAAGUCCAAAAAUUAUGUUCUAUUUUCAAAUUAAAGAUGAUUGAAUAAAAAAUGCAAUGCAAUGCAAAAAAAAAAUCAACCAAAUUGAGUAAUUGUGGAAAAAAUUAUAUACCCAAUAAGAAUCAAAUAUAAAAGUUGUUAACAAUUCAAACUAUAAGAAUCUUACACGAAAAACUUCUCUAACUACAUAUAUAACUCCAAUUGAAGAUCCAAAAAGUCAAAAUAAAUAACCAUAUGUAUAGGGUCAUUUAUUAAAAAUUCAAAUUGUUUCGAUGAUUAAUGAAGUGAGAAUCUAUGUUUUAUUAAGAUGGCACAAUGUAAGAAACUAGGUGGCACCUAAUGCUGAUAGUGGUGCUUAGCAUUAACGAGACAAUGAACCAACGACAAAUUGGCGCUGACCAUAGUAAAUACCACCCAACGAUGUAACUCCAAAGGUUUGUUGUUUUGGGUUUCAAAACCCAAUGUCAAAUGGUAACAUGACAACAACUUAAAAAUACCAUUUCCAUACCCCCAAAUCUUACAUGUAAUGACUUAAAUUCAUGCAUUUCAAACCUGUAGUGUAAGGGAUAGCCGGUCUGGUGGAGAUGGUAUAAUUUAACUUAUGGUCGAUUAAGCGAAGACAGCAAAAUAAAGGUUGGGGAGUUGAUCGAGAAGGCAGGUAGGCCGAUCGGUUAAAUAGACAAGAAAUGCAGUCAUAGUGUAACAAGGUUAUUGAACCAAGCGAGGUGAAUAUUGCGGGCACGUUGGCAACAAUUAUAAUUGAGGGGCGAAUUUUGCGGGAUUAUGGAUCAACAGUUACGUGUAGUUAAUGCCCACUACUUGAAUCUGAUGUUUAUAAAUAUAGGAAUGCGAGUCAGGUACUUUACUUUGGAUCUAAUUGCUUUUUACACUCAUUCUGCUGUGACUUUGCUGACUUGAGCAUCAGAGUGCUAAUGUGCAGGUCACAACCGAUCGGUACCAGUGGUGAAAAGAUCUUUGGAGAGAUACAACUAGGACAACGGCUAAGACAGUUGGGAUUGUGUUCGGUUUUGGGCCUUACAUCCGAAACAAAACCCAAUGCACCGAAUAUAUAUUUUUAUAGCACCCCAUCAAUCAAAACUCAUAAAAUUCAAACAAUAUAACCAAACAAAGUUAGUUUCCUUACUUGUAAAAAGGGGAAACCCAACUCUAUCUUUUUACACCGUCCCUAUACUUUCCACACUUUUAAAAGCUCUAAAACAAAAGAUUAAACUUGUAUCAAGGACAUGAAAAUACUAUUUGAUUCACAACAAUUACAAGAUUAAAUAAAAAGAGUCUAAUAACACAUGUAGAGCCCAAACUACACAUGCAUGUAGAAUACUUGGUGACAUGAGAGAAUUAAAAUAAAAGGAGGACUUACUCUUUGAAGAGAAAUUGGAAAUGAAGAAGCUUUAUUCCUCUACUGAAGAGUUGUAUGAAAUUGGGUGAAUGAUAUUUGAAAAGGGAGAAACUUUUCUCCUUAGAGUGUUGUUGUUAAGAGUAUGAAAGGAAAAGUUAGAAAAGAAGGAAAGAGAGGAAAAGAAGAGAAUGAAAAACAGGGGAUGACCUUUUACGCCUUUCAUAUAUAUUCUUCAUUAUAUAAUUCUCAUGCAUUUCUUAUUUUGUGUUCAGAAUUAUAAAGCAUUGAAUAAAAUUUUAUAUUUAAAAUCAUAUAUUUUGGAAUACAAUUUGUAUUUGGAUUAUACAAUUUAAAUUACAUUAUAUGAUACAAAUAUGUCUUUCAAAUUGUAUAUUCCAAAAUAUAAAAUUAUUCAUAUUUAAUGUUCCUAAUUGUAUAAUUCAAAACAUUUUUAAUUACACAAGUCAAUAAUAAAACUUAAAAUUCCAUAUUAUAGGAAAAAAUUGGAAUUUUCAAACUUACAUAAAUGCAUAUUAAAAUCACAUGAGUACAAGAAGAAAUAAUCUAAAUUUAUAAACACAAAGUGAAGUCUAAGGUCGUGUUCUCAUGGAGCAAUUUAUUAUUGAAAGAAAUUAGGAGAGUCAUAUUUACAUUGACUGUGCAUGUUUGUUUUGACAGAAAACAUGUGGGAUUGAUAGAGAUUUAAAUCCUCGCAUAAAUAAAAAAAAUCCAUGAUGAUAUUUAGAGUGCUUUGUGUGAGAUGAAUAUUGAUUCUAGGAUGACCUAAUCGAUUCCAUGGGAUGAAAUCUAAUUCCAUAAAUAGAAGAACCAAUUUCAAAAUAUAGAAAUCGAUUCUUUACUUUAGCAAUUCAUGGUGUGGGGUUAAAUAUGACAUGCAUAAUAUGUUUUGCAAGUGAGAACUGAUUUCAUAUAUAUACAUAGAUAAUUAUGGGUUGAGGGGAAUCAAUUCCAUAUAUAUGGUUACGAGUUGAAACCAACAUGGUAUAAUAUUUGUUGUAUUCCAUAUAUAUAUAUAUAUAUAUAUAUAUAUAUAUAUAUAUAUAUAUUAUAAUAAUAAUAGUAGUAGUAAUAAUAAAUAAUAUAUUAAUUUCAAUUACAUGGACAAAAUAAUAAUAUUACAUCUUAUUCUAUUAAAUUCUUUUUUAUUUAAUUAUAUUUAUGAGAAAUUUUCAUGAACUUUAUUUUUAAAUCUCUUCAUUUUUACUUAUUUUCAAAUCCAUUUUCACAAAUCAUCCUUUAUGACCUAUAACCUAAAUUUGAUCACUUGAUAAAAUUAGAUUUGCAUGAAAAUAUAUAUUAUGUAAGUCACACGUCCAAAUCAUAUUUUAAUCACAAUAAAGAAAAAUUACACCAAGCAAAAGACAAUUCUAACAUAUUUUCAUUCUACCACUUUUUGCAUCGAGAAGAUGAAGAUUUUUCCUUCCAUGGAAGCUGGUAAAUAAACUUGGGCAUUUUUUUUUUAAUUGUGAGCUAAGAAGUUCUGUAGUCUUUGUUGGUCAAACAAUUGAAAGAGUAAUACGCGUAUGACUAAUUAUUUGUUUUUGACCCAUGCAUUGUGAAUGUUAAAUGAAUGUUUAAACCAAAACAUAGCAUUGUGCGAAAGCAUGUCUUGACUGGUCCAUUUGACAACCAUCUUUUACCAAAACCGUCAUAGUUCAUUUCCCACGGUGACAAAGAGACCAACUAAUGCAAAUUACUUACAUCAACCACCAUGAUUAAAAUUAGCUUGGAUUUUAGUGGGAAGGUUCGUCCUAAUCUUCGCUAAUUCAUCCUAAUCACAUUAUCUUCUAAUUAUGUUCAAUCGUGACUGCACAAAGUUCGACGCAUAAGUUUAUAAAACAAAAAGGUAUUGGAAAUUAAUUUUAUAUUGGUAUAAUCUUUUUUGCCUAAGAACAUAUUUAAGUAAGAGCGUAUUAAUCAAUCGAGUUAAGCAUCUCCGGAAAUGAGAUUUCAAUAAUUUAAAGAUAAUAUUAAUUUGCAUAAUUUAAUAUUGCUCAUGGUAGGAAUUUUGUUUUUAUUUUAUUUUUAUCUUAGGAACAAGAAGCACACGUUAAGCCAGCCUACCAUUUGAAAUUUCCAACUUUGAAAUAUUCAAUGCAUAUAUUUUUUCCAAACACAAGUUUUUAUGAAUUGAUUUUUAACCAUUAUAAUUUUUUUUUCAUAUGCAUAUAUUUUUUCCAAUGCAUUAUGAAUUGAUUUUCAAUAUUCUUUUAUUAAUUUGUAAAAACAACUCAUAGUACAUUUAGACUUGCAUCAAAUUUCGGAAAAUUUCUAGAAAUUCAUUAACAGAUAGUCACAGCUUUCACUUGCCCCAUUUUUAAGGGGGUUAUGUGUUCUCAAGGUGGAACCAGAUAGACUGCUACAAUUAUAAAAAGUGGAAUGAAAUAAACAAUUGCAGUUUGAAUGACAUAAAAAGAGAACUUUUUUUUUUUCUUUUGCAGACAUUGAUUUAUAUUUUUGUUGGAGAGAGAGAGAGAGGAGGAGAAGGAGAGAAGAGAUAGGUGAAAAUAAAGGUGGUGUAAGGUUACGUGUAUGUUUUGAAGUAGUGUCACCCCAUCAAUAAUAAGAUCACUCAAAUCAGCAAUGCAUCAUUGUUGGAUCCAAAGCUGGAUUAAGUUGGAACUGGGCCUUCUUCAUUCUUCUGUUCUGCUGCCACAAUCUCAGCCUUAGAUAACAGAUUGUUACAAUACAAAAACCUUGUAACGAAGAAGAACAACCGAGAAGAACCAUCGAUUAAGGAUGUUGGAAGGCAAAGCUUUGGUGAAAGAAACAGACAUGUCACCCAAGAUGCAGAUCCAUGCCAUGGCCGCUGCUUCUCAUGCCCUUGAUCUCUACGAUGUUUCUGAUUGCAUUUCUGUUGCUGCCCAUAUCAAGAAGGUGCCUCUCUUUCAUCUUUCUUUCUAUUUUUUUUUUUUUAUUUUCUCUUCUCCAAUCAUUUUUUUUUAUCUCAAGGCUAGAUUUUGUUCUAUGGGGUGCAUGUGUUAUUUUGUAUUGAUUAUUUCUUUGUGGUGUUUGAUUUUUCAGGAAUUUGAUAGUGUGUAUGGGAAUGGGUGGCAAUGUGUGGUGGGAUCGAAUUUUGGGUGCUAUUUCACCCAUUCAUCGGGAACUUUCAUCUAUUUUGCUCUGGAGACUCUUAAUUUUCUUAUCUUUAAGGGGUCAUCUUCUUGAUUUAUGCUAUGUACAAUCUGAGAUAGAAUCCAGGGUUUGGUUAUGAGAGAAAGAAUAGGUUUUUGAUUCUUCAUCUGAUUAUGGUUCCAUGCAGUAGCAGAAUAUUUGAGACGUGAGAGCAUGGAACAAACUAUGUAUGGAUGACUCAUGACAUGUCUCCAUCAUCUUGCCUCUCAAAUCGACCAUUUCGAUCACUCUGGAUUCUCCUAUGUAAAUGCAUGUAUCGCUCCAGCUAUGAUUAAGAUGCUGUCUCUGCUUUAUGUAUAACAAACAGAAAUAAAACUGUCUCAGCUUCAUAUUAUUUGAGGGAGAGUGCUUAUGUUUUAAACGAGUGUCCGUAUAUUUCUGUUUUCAAAACACAAUCGAUCAUUAAAUUUCUGACAAUCAUAUUUCUAAUAAAAAUGUUGUCAUACUAAUACGCAAAACUGAUACUUGAAAAUAUUAAAAAGACAAUAUUUAGCAAAUAAGAAUAUAAAGAGAAAUGAAAAGUUUGUGAAAGGAAAAAGGUAUUAAAAUUAGACAAUAAUUUUUCCUAAUUAUUUGAGUAAAAAUUCAAUUAAGCUAAUAAAUUGAUCACAAGGUCCUCAAUUAAUCCACUUAUAAGGAGGCUCUCUAUUUUAUUGACUACCAGUUGAGCCUCAUCUGCACAAAAGCCUGUUCUCCAACCACUUUCCCACAUUCCAUUUAUCUCUUCCUUGCACUUCAUGUCUUUCUCCAUCAUUGCAAAUGUGUCAUUGUACGCAAAAUCUUCCUCUCUACAAGCAUAAUCUUCUCUGUAAAAUUUCAGAUUCUCAAUGCCAUCACAGAUUUCUUCCACCAACUUGCAUAAGGAGAUGCGUAAUCUUGAGUUUCCCCCACAUGCCAGCAAGAGAGAACGAACGACUUCGGAGUCUUGAAGACUUUUACGUUCUGUCAGUUCAUAAGCGCAAUCCAAGUAAAGCCUCAUGUUUGUCAUGCUGUAAAUGGUUUCAUCCUUUUCUAGGGUGUUGUGAUGAUCCACAUCAAGAUUGAAGAGCUUCUUUGCAUGUCCUAUGAAUGAUGGACUCGUUAGAAGAAAAUGUUUCAGCUCUGUCCCUUCUCUGUCAGCGUCGACGCUAUAAGCAUUGAUAUCAUCAUUUUUAUAUUCAGUUUCUGUGGUGUCAAAACGAGACAAAUAAGUUACACAAAGACACAGAAUGAAAAUGCAUGUUAUGUGAUGAAGUUCUCGAUUUAUUCCUAGGUGUAAGCUUAGGAUAACAUAAUACAAAGCAAUGACUGAAUUACGUUGUAAUAGUAGAACUACUGUUUCCGACAUAACUUUCUCUAGGUUAGAAAUAUUGAUCAUCCAAUAAAAUAUAGAUGAAAGAAUGCUCUUUUUUGGACACAAUUUCUUCGGUAAGAAAGGAACCUUAAAAUAAUUAUUUUGAUAGAGACGGACCAAGACAACUAGAAAGAGGCAAAAAAAGUCCCUGCAGAAAUCUACCAAGAAUUCAAGGUGAGUUUACCCUUGAAAAACCCAACAAAGAUCAAUGGUUAGAUCCAUGGUAGCAGUACAACUUUUGGUUUUUAUCAGAAAUUAGAAAAUAUAGUAACUUGUUUCUGUAUUGUUCAAGAAAUUAAGAAGGCAAGGCAUUCUACUUCCAUAUAUUUGAUAAGCAUAAACACACAUACGAUGCAUCCAUAUAAAAUGCAUUUUUAGUUUCAUUUCAAUUAUGCCAGCAGGAAUAGCUUGAAAAACUUACCUCCAAUCUUAUUUAUGAAGGCAUCUGCUUCACACACCAUCAGGAGCUCAUUUUCUAGUCUAGUGGAGAUUCUAAUCUCGGGGUAAUUUUUCUUCUUUUCUCUCUGCCUGGUUUGUUCAACCUAUGCAUAAGAAUUGUAAAUUCAGACUCAGAUUGAAAAUCUCACUUCAUUAUCUGGUUAAUAUAUAUAUGCACAGAAUAAAAGGCAAACUUACAUUUAGUUUAGCCAGUUCUGGCUCAGCAACAGGGCUUUGUUUUUUCAUUUGAUUCUUUCUACCUGUUAAGGAAUCUACCACGGAAUUAACUUUUUUAUUCUCAACUUUGACGUCCUUGGAAUUCGUAGUUUUUUUAGUGGAGAUGUUGUUUGAACCUCUACUCUUUAGGCAGGAAAUCUCAUUCUUGUCGAUUCUGGAUCCACUUUUCAGCUUCCUCAAUUUUGUGGAGGGGAUUUCUCGUUUGUACUGAUGUUCUGCCACAAUUGUUGGUUGUGAGAUAUCCUUUUCUGUCUGUUUUCUGCUAAUGGGCCGUACCUUCCAUUUUCUAUCAAUUGUCUCAUUUACAUGUGAUGUAUGACCAAUGUGACAAUACAGUUUUACCUUACCCGCAUAUUCUUCAACAGGACUGCUUCCUUUUGCAUCCACUUUAAUAACCUCUUUGAGAAAUUUUGGUUCUCCCUCUUUCUUAAGCCGUUUCCUAAUACCCUUUUCCAUUCCUUUUCCCAUGUUGGUGGAACUGGAACCUUUUCUAUGUUUGAUAGUUUUGGAAGAGAGUAUUUCUCUUCUCAGUUUUGUCAACUCCUUUGGAAGAACUGGAAUAUAGGCACUUUUUUCUGAUUGUUGGUAAAUUGUACAUUGAGGUUCCGUAGGUGAAAUGUGAGAUAAAUCAACAAACUGCUUGGAACUGGUGUCAUUGAAAUGAUGAUGCACAUGAAGCUUAGAAUCUUUCACAAAAUUCUCCUUAAAAAUACCUUUGAAAUGCGUAGUCUCAAGAGUUUCCCUCACGACUUUUAGUUCUGGAUUAACCUUCUCAGCUGUAGAAUCAUUGUUUCUGACCUUUGACUUAUCUAUCUCACCACCCAAUAGUUUUUGCUUAGCAGCUGGAAAUGAUUUUGAGGGGCCUUCUUCUAAACCCAUCAGCUUGAAAACUAGGCUAGGUCCUUUUUCAAUCCUUGAAGCAAUUACUGAUAAAGAAGGAUCAAAAAGGCUGUCAGUCUUGACCCCAGAACAUUGGCUUGUGCUUAUACGAAAAGUUUCUGAAGCUGAAUUAAAUCCGUCAGAGGUCUUUGGAAACAUAUUUUGCCUAACCAAACUCUCCUUAAUCACCUUCUUAAGUUCCUCUUUGCAGUUAAUUGAAGAACCACCAGCAGAAAGCUGUGGUCUUUGAAACCCCUUUGUAUUACUUUGUUCACCUAAUGGAUUAGCCUGCCUUAUACCAAUCUUGUUUUCAUCAAUUCUGUCUCUUUCUGGUUUCUCAGUCUGUUUUCUCACAAAAGGAGCUGUAUGUUGUUGUGCGGCCUCCUCUUGCAACUUGCGAAGCAUGCUUAGAGAAUCUUGCAGACCAAGAGCCCCUUUUAAAAUACCUUUUGCUAUAUCUUCCGACUUUCCUUCACAUAUAAUAUCUCUAGACCAUGAAUCUAGCAUAUUUUUCAAGCUAUGAUCCUCUUCGGAGACCUUUGUGAGCUGCAAAGAUGAUGGACCAACGAGAUUUCCAUCGCAUUCUUUGGCGACCUUCUUCUCCUCUUUGUAUCUCUUGUAGAUCAAGGAUGUUUCCAUUAUUUCACUUGUCUUCUGCAUUUUUGUCUUGUCCUUCACUUUGUGAGAACGAGUUCUGUAUUUCCUGAUUGUCCCACAUCCCACAACUCCUUUUGGAUCAUCACAUUUCAGAAAUGAUCUAUACAUGGCUUAAUCCUUGUUUUCUGUCACAAAUUUCAUCAACAGACUGAAUUUGUUUAUAUGCUAAAACACUCAACAAUUCUAAUAAUUUUUUACAGAAUAUAUACUUACAUGGUCUAGUCCCCUUGAAUUUCACUGUUUUAUAGCGGACAUAUCAUACUUGUUUGUCACUUUGUCCCACUGAAACAUAUGCAAUUAAGCAUUUAAAUAGCCACUUAAAUAAUCAGUCCCCAAUGUCAUCCAAUAUGAACACACAUCAAAGAAACAUCAGCAAAGGAAAAGAAAAGAAAAACAUGUCCGUAUCGUAACAUUUAAGAUUUAACUGUAGACUAAGCUAUUGCAUAUAUAUAUAUAUAUAUAUAAUAUGUAUGUAUGUAUGUAUAUAUAUAUAUAUAUAUGUAUGUAUGUAUCCUACUUUAUUCUCGUAGUAACCAUUUGUAGACAGAGAGAGUUGAUCAUUGAGUUAAUCACCACUGAACUCAUAAGGGAUAUAGUACAUAAAUUUUAUUAAAGAACAAUAAAAAUAGCUAAAUUGAAGGGCGAAAGAAAAUGGUAACGUCCGAUGAAGAUUUCUCAGUGAAAACACAAACUCUCUUUUCCUUGAUUUCUUAAUAUUUUUUUUUCCCCAAAAAUACAACAUAAAGCUCAAAAGCGCAAAAAGGGAGUCAUGGUUUCAUGCAUACGUACCCUUUUCUUGACAUUAAUCCCAAACGAUGUCGUGCAAAGCAGAGAUGUCAGAAUCAGCAGAACAAACAAGAUCGCAUAGCCAAGAGGAGGAAGAAAGUGAUGAAAACAUAAAAAGAUGUGUUGCUAUGCGAAUGAGGAAGCAGUCCUAUAGUAGAGACUGAUAGGGGCAACACACGUGUAUGAUGGAUGGAUACAUAUUUAACAUAACGAAAGUGUUUGGAUUACUUUCCAAAACACGGUUAUGAGCUGAAUAGGUGGAGUACAGUUGCUUACUUGCUUUAUUUAUUGGGAUCAAUUAAAGAUUAUGAAUGCAAUAAAUGAGAGAUGAUGGUUUUGGUCGUAGACAUGUUGCAGAGUACAAGGAAACAUAAAUGUCUCAGUUACACACUGAAUGGAAAGUGGAAACAGGCACUGCAUACUAGUUGGUGAAGCCACAAAAAUCAGUUCAAAACAUUAGUACUGAUUCCCUUUUUCUUUUCUAUGCAAGACUUCUGCAAUGAAUGAUCAUAAAAGGAUGUGUUUACUUUUCAUGUGGGCUGUGGAGAUUCAACACUCCCAUCAUAUUUCCUCACUUAAUUGUGAUUCAUUUGGCUAAUCAAUGAUUUGAUAUACGCAAAGAUUGUUGCUUUCUCGCUAGCAUGACGAAAGGGUUGAGCCAAGUCAACUUUAAUUAGUGUAAAAAACUUCCAUGGUCGCGGCAUUUCAAAGAGAAACAAGUGGGAGAGAGAUCAAAACGAACAUAAAAACGAGUGGAAAUAAGGAUGUUUGAUUUACGGAGAAGAACAAACGGACAGAGGAAAAAAUAAUAAUGAAAAGCUUAACUUAAUUGUAUUUAUUCAAAAUGAAAUAAUUAAUUUAUAUUUAGUGAAGUUUAAUUUUUAUCAUGACAAGUCAUUAAUGAAUUUUAAGACGUUAGUAUAAUCUGAGAUGUUGAAAUUUAUAAUAAUGAUAUAAUCAAUUGUUUACACUCUUUUACGUUUUCCUUUGACAAAACUGAGUUAAUUGAAUAUUAUUUUUUCAUAGUUAGUGGUGUAUUUCAACGUAAUAAUGUUUAACUUUUUAUAGAAAAAGGAAACAGUUACAUCGGGUUGAGGUAGCUUAGUUUACUACUAUAGAGUCUACUAUAUAUAUAUAUAUAUAUAUAUAUAUAUAUAUAUAUAUAUAUAUAUAUAUAUAUAUAUAUAUAUAUAUAUUGCGUUGAGUUGAGUUCGUUUCUUUUUAAAUUUCAGUUAUUUAAUAAAAUAUUACUUUUUAUGUGAAGUGAGAACAUAAUUAUUUUUUAUGACAACGAAAAAGUAAUUAUUCAUAGUAAUAUAUUAAAAUAAAAAAAACUGAAAAAUAUAAUAAAUAAUUCAUUUAAAAUUAUACUGAACAAGAUUAAACGUUUUUCUUGGUUUACAUAAAAAAGUCUUAAACAACUAUCAUGAAAACAAAUAAUUAAUUACUAUUUUAAAUACAGAACAAAAGCAAUACUUCUUCAGCAAUUAAUAAAAAAUGUAUAUAUAUUAAAUUGUAUAAAAACAUAUUAUUAAAAUAUUAUUUAAUUUUUUAUUUUUAUUUUUAUUUUACGAAUUUCAAAUCAAACAUACAAAUUUUUUCUCUAUUUUUUGUAAUUACGUACCCUUUCCAAGUUUUCUUAUCUUGUCAAACAUACAUUAAAAAAAAUAUAAAAAAUGAAAAUAGAUUAAAAAAAUAGAGUAAAACUAAGUAAAAAAUCACAUUUUUAAUGAUUUCCUGGUUUUCCUUGUCCCAGACACAUUAUUAUCUAUUUAUUUUUCUCAUAUUUCUUUCUUCUCCACACUAUUUUCACUCUACCAAUAAAAUUUCUAGAUAUAAUUAAUAAUAAUUAUUCUUUCGAACCAAUCCUUGUGGGGCAUUUCCAUUUUAUUUUUUAUAUCUGGUCAACUCUACCGCUUAAUCAUCAAAUUUUUCGGUAUUCAAUUAGUUUAAAUUUAAAGGACUUAAUCCCACCUAUAUUUAUCACUGAAAAAAAAAUCAAUGAUAUAUAUAUAAUUUUAAAUAAGUUAAUUAUUAUAAUUUUUUCUUUAAACAAAAAGUUAUGUUGCUUUAGAAUUUUAAUAAAAUGAAAAGGAACACAUUACUCUUAAAAGACCGUGUAUUGUGUAGAACAAGAUGAAGUACACUAUAGUUGAUGUUCCAAUUUGACGGCUGAAGUUCUAUGUCUUAAGUAUCACUUUAAUAUGUAUUAAUAAUUGGUACUUGUAUUUUCUAAUUACAGUUUGUAUGGAAGGAAUGAAUUAUUUAAACAAACUCAAUAAAUAUAAAUAAAAUUGUUAUUAGUCAAUUAACAGGUUUUUUUUUUUAAAGACCUUUUUGAGAAUAAGCUAUUAAAGAUCAUUUUUACAGAUUUUAUUUUUUAUUUAGAACAGUGAAAUUAAAAUUAAAACCAUUCCCACAGACACGAGUAAUUAUUAGUGGGAGUGGUUGGGUAGAUACGACUCUGAGGUUGUUUUUUCUCUCUUGGGUUCUGAAUUUGUUGACGUUGUAUAGAGUAAUAAUAUCAUAUCAUAUUUUUACAUUGACACAUAAUAUUUUGGGUAAAAUGGUUUAAAAGUGUAAAAUUUUGUAGUUUUUUAAGAAAGAAGAAAGUAAAAAGUAAAUAAAGAUAAUGUGAAAUAAAUGUAAAAAAUUUAGAUGUGUCAAAUAAUCAUUUUUCCGUUGUAUAAUAUCUUUAUAAUACAGUGUAAGAAUUGAACACAUGUUUUUGAUUGAGUAUAUUAAAUUGAUGGUUUAAACCUUUUUUUGGUCCCUAAGUUAAGUUCUGAUGUUCAGUUUAGUCUCCGCUUUUAAAAAUGUCAACCUUUAGUCCUUAUGAUAUGAAAAAUGUAUCAAAUCAAUCCUAUUCGUUAACAAAUGGCAAGUUUUUCAUUAAGUGAUUUGUUGUUCAUAACACCUUUCGUUCACAAAUCACAAAAUAUUGGAUACCUAGGUAUGAAAACUUAUGAUUUAUUGUUCAUUAAGUGUUGUCAUGAGGACUGAUUUGAUACAUUUUUCAUAUCAUAGGGAGUAAAGGUUGACAUUUGUUAAAGCGGAGACUAAACGGAGAGCAUCAGAAGUUAACUUAGGGACCAAAAAGUGUUUAAACCUAAAUUGAUAUACUAUAUUAGUGAGGCUAGAGAGGAAACACUGAAUACACAAAAAAUAGGUAAAUAACUGUACAUUUUGAGUCAAACACUUGCGGAAUGUUCAUUCUUUCAUUUAAACAAGUAAAAUUAUGAUAUAUUACACUCACUCUCAUCUAAGAUCAUAACUAAAAUCCUCAUCCACUUUAUUUUCAGCUCCUUCCAUUUUGGUCGCACUUGGGACCAGUUUUUAGGUAGUUGCCCUCAGCAUUUUCAUUUCGGAAAUUGAGUUAGAUCAGCAUUUAUACACUGUCAGAUGCUCUACCUCUAAAUCUUGAUUUGAGAAAACCUUUAUCUUACAAAAAAAAAAAAAGAUAAACUUUCACUGUGCUUGAAAUGCAAAUAUUUUCUUGUAUUGGAAAAAAACAUUAUAAACCAUGUGAAAAGUGAAGAUUUGCACAUGAAUAGGUUCUUGGUUUUUCACUGGACUCGUUUUGAACGCCUCAAGAGCCAUAAGAUGUCACUACCAUGCAGUGAUCUUCUGUGGCGUCCAACCUUCUGUGUACUCUGCAGAUACAAAAACAUGAACAGAUAAAAAAAUGCACAACUAUAGAACCCAAUUAAUUCUCACCAGGUAGAGUAUAAUGACACACUUACUUGGAAAUGGAAUUUAGGAUUUGGAACAUUCGAUAAGAAUGACAAACCAUCCUUAAUUGGUGCCACUAUUGUUUAAAGCAAGAAGAUGUUUAAGAACAAAAUGUUAGAGAUGAAACCCCAAAAUUAUAGAUUACGAUAUUUAAUACUAUUCUACAUAGUACCUACCCAUGGCCAAAUUAUUGUGGCUGUUAAGUGUGCCUGUGGUUGGCUUCAAAUUCUGAACUGGAGGCUUAUGGGUGUACAUAAAGAGUGGCAAAUCCUCGUAUGUCUCUGGUAAAUGUUUAUCAUCUAACUUCAAAGGAGCUUCACUUUCGGAAUCUCUUCAUUUGAUUGAUGAAAAAGUCACAUAUUAGCUAACAUAUAUUUCAGUUUCAAGUUAACUACUAAUGGAGAAGUAUUACUACCUUGUUGCUUUCUUACUGCUUGAUCUCUCAACAAGGGAAGGUGCUGCAGAUCAUAAAAAUCAAUACCAUAAGUGAAAAGAAUUUGUGAUGGUACAACAAUGUGAUUGAUUUGGAGUGAAGGAAAUAUUUGUUUUACAUGGUGAUAAAUAACGCGAAUGAAAUCUCAGCGAAUUCUCAUUCCAUUGCAUUUUUGAGAGGGCCAAUUUGCGAGCAUAUUGUUGACACGAGAGAAGUCUCUAUCAAGAAACAAAUACAAACUUGGUUAGAUGAUUUUAAAUAAGGGAUUAAUUUGUGUGAAGCAAUACUAACUUGUUGAAGGCAUUGGAUUCGUAACUCGGCUUCAGAAAAUGCAUUAGUGUGAGAAAUAAGGCCAUCGAGAUUGGAAGAUACGUUUCCAAGAUGAUCAAUAACAGUGACCAUGCUCUUGCAGAUGUACUCUUUUGUGUCGUCCACCACACUGCAACAUUUUCCAAUACCAGUUUGUCACACGUCAACAUAUGCACCAACCAAACAAACUAUAUUUAAUAUGAAUUAGAAAACACAAGCAACAUAGCAGGAACUACUAAACUGCUUUUAAUACGUAACCUCUUAAAACAGCAACUAAAUCAUCCCAACCAACCACAAUUAUUGGAAGUGAGAAUUGUAAUUCAUUUCCAUUUAUAUUUAUACACACAGUAUUUCAGUCUCUUACGAUUUGAGAUUUUGAGUACGUCACUCACUCCACAUUUAGACACAUCCUAAGUUUUUUCAAAGGUCUUGUACAAGUUUUUGAUUCUUCAGUUUCAAGCUUAUAUAUUCUUUCAAACACAUCUGAAUCCAUUUAGACACAAAAACAACUACAAAAGCUAGAUUUUAAUUUAAGACACAAUCAAACUGGCAAAAUAAAAGCUAACUCUAGGCUUAUAGCAUGGUGAGAUUAGAGCACUCACUCAUUAUUCUCUUCACUCUUAGAGAAAGCUGUUUCACAGUAUUCAGCUGCUUUGUGUAGUUGAGACCUUAGUUCCCGCAGCUCCUGCAAUGCAAACACCAUAUGCAUGUACUAAAGAUUGAACUUAAAAGUAUAACUAACAUAUAAAGUAUUGUUGAGUCUAGAUGUGAACCUGAAGAGACUUGUCAAAGCGCAUGGUUUCUUCUACCUCAGCAUCAGCUAUAGACCUGACAUUGAACUCCAUCAUAUUGCUACAAGCUUAAUGCUUGUAAACUUAGGAUCUAAUAUAAUGCUCACUUUUCUGAAUGAAGCUCAUCAAGUAAUUAUCAGAGGAUUUAUGUAAUCUGGCUUUUGGAGGCUUGUGAUAUGAUGAAGCAAACAAGGCUCCUAAAAAACAGAUUCUGCAGCCCAUGACCAGCCAGCACACACAUUAUAGAGCAUGAUGACAAAUAAACAGUUUCAGUCCCGUGAUAUUCUGUUUUUUUACCAUGAUGGGCAUCUAAUUAAUUAAAACAUCAAAGUAAUGACUCACAGUAUAGUGCAAUAACAGGCCCUACUGGGAUGUCAUUUCUUUAAAAAUUGGCAAUCAUGCAACAAACAGUGGCUUAUAAUUACUCAGUGAGAUUGUCAUCUUGAGUUUUCUGAUAAGAACAAGUCACUUACUCACGUAUAUGAUAUAUGUGGUUGCUAAUAAUAUUUAUAUUUAUAUUUUUAAAGGCACGUGACUUGUUGGAGGGCUUAUUUGGCUGGAGGCUUAAACAGCUUAGCACAUGCAGUGUUUCAUGUGACAUGUAUGUAUGUGUAGGAUGUAUAUCAUGUGCACUUUUGAUUAAAAUAAUCGUAAGUGCUUACGCAUAGUUAAAGCCUUUCACCUCACAUUCUUUUAGAACAAAAAGGAACCUGUUAGAUACACAAUCUUAUUUUAUUCGAUCAACCUUGUGAGAUUUAGAAUGAUCCCCUCUAAGGAAGCCUUAAUUGGGUGAGUUAUUAUUACAAAACAACGUAAAAAAUGGAAGAUUUGGGUGAAGAUGAGGAAGAAGGAAACAAAAUAACCAACCAUGAUACAGACACAUACGAAGUACCGGGUAGCAGGAUGGAAAAGGUGGUUUGGUAAAGCACAGAUUUUUGAACAUGUCACACCAGUCACAAAAGUAUUGAAGAUACAAAUUUAGUAACCAACUUGAUGACCUGCGACUUUUACUUGUAUUUUCAGUAUGGUAUGCAACAUGCAGAUGCCUUCUGCUGUUCAAAUUUGAUUUAAUUAUGAUUCGUUAACAUGACAUAGAACUGUUUAAUUGAAAUUUGCUGUUCUGUCCAUUAACUAUUAACUGUGGAUACGUGUGGACUGUCAUGUAGCAUUUUACAUCAAUUUUGUACCCUCCUUUACCAAACAUUGACACACGUUGUGUUUGUUUUUGGGUUGUUUAUAAUAAUAAAUAUUUGCUUAUAAAAAAAAAAGAAAAAAAAAAUUGAACCUAUGUGAUGACGGCCAAAUAAUCACGAAACAGUAUCUUGUCCCAUGUGUGAACAAUGCAGAAGUUAAUUCUAGAUAAUAAUUUAGAACUACAUAUCAUCCUUUGUAUUUCUCCCGGCAAUAUAAAACUAUAUUGGAGCUUCUCAUCAAAACCACUAUGAUAAUUUCUAGUGCAUAGCUCAAGAUAAUCAACACGACAAUGAAACUCUAUAUCUGAAAAUCAAUGGUACAACCACCAAUCGAUUCUGCAGCUUCAAUGUCAGACAAUAUAGAGUUAUUAUUAUCCGAGGAUACGGGUCCUAAAAAAUUAUCUCUAACACUUUUAUACAAUUCCUGAGACGUUUCCCUUUUUUCUUCGUGGUUGAAAAGAUUCUGACGUUGUGAUUCCUUUUCAGACGCAUUUCUAGUAGUUGAUCUUGCCCAUUCUCCUUUUUGCAAGUGUCUAGAGUCUAACGAAAGGGAAGAUAAUGAGGAGGGGAUUAGCAUAACAUUAAGUUGAUUAAAAAGAAAAACUUUAUAAUUGGCAAUAAAUAACGAUGGCAAACAUUGGAGCUGUAACAGACAUGUUUAUCAGGCUAAAUGACGAGGACUCAAAGAGUUAGAUCAUUUUAAUGGUGCUUGAGCUACACUUAGAUUUUUCAAGUUACUAAUAAUUAUGUUCGAAAAACCGAACUCCCUGUGCAAUGUAUAGCCUUUUAAAUUCUUUUCUUUUUCUUUUGAGGUAAUGAAAUGAAUUUUCUAUUUUUUAUUAGUUCAAUUCAAAAGCCUAUGCUAAUACUUAGUUAAUUGAGUGGAGAAGUGGCUCUACAUGUCAAAAGAAAAGUGAAUAACAAAAGGGACCUAGAUAAGUAUAUAUAGAAGAUCAUGAAUGUUACAUGAACCAUUGCAUACAGAAAGAACAAAUAAAUUCAAAUUAGUGUUUUCACCUCAAUGCAAUCUCUAAAAUGGAGAGGAUCAUAUAUUUAGCGAGUAACAAGUUCUUGCAUUUCCAACCCUAACCUUUGACAAUCUGAAAUCCCAAUGUUCAUCGUCACAGAAAACAAGCUAGCUGAGUUUAUAUCAGUCCAGAUGAACUUGGGUAGCAUAUGUUAUGAAGAGUUAAUAAAAGAAGCAUCAACGUAUUGAUUUAAAACACCUGUAGGGAAGUAUGAAUUUCUACUAUAUACCAUGUAUUUUGGUAAUGAAUUUGUUGCUGCUAAGUCUGCUUAAAAUUUUAUUUUUGACAAAUACUUUUUACUAGCAUAAAGAAUAUCCUUAAUUUCAUUGAAACAAGAGUAAUUAAUACAAUAUAAGUUGUAAAAGAAGCCACGUAAGUGCAAACCAGAUAGAGUCCUUAGUAAGUGCGCCAUCAAUUACCUUUAAAUGAUGUGGAAGAAUCUUUAGAAACCAUCUCUAGUUUAGCACGGGUAAUGCACAACCAUCUUCUUUCUGAUUCAUAAUCAAGUUCUGUUUCAAUUGGAAUAUGCCAGUGGCCUUCCUCUGAUUCCUGUUACCACAAUUGCCAUGUUAUGUUUCCUUCUUUCUUUCUUUCUUUUCUUCACAUCUUUAUUUUUUCAAAUUUAGAUGUAGACAAAUAUAACUUAAUCUGUGUUCAUGUUCUGCUGCUUUUCGAACAGGGUAAGAGCUAACCUGAAUUACAACAGAACAAGGAGGGGGCAUGUGAAACACUGGACUACCACCACCAGAGAAACUGAAGCGUACCUUAAAUUUGGUAGACAGGGAUUCCAAUGUUAGGAUGGGCUUAAAUUGCACGUAAUCAAAGAAAGGGAAUGUAAAUUCAAGACAAAACCUUAUUACCAAUGACUUAAACCUUAAAUUGCAGAUGUAUUUGUCUAUAUAUGAUUUAACCAAUUACCAUGACUAAAACACUAUUUCAUCAGAUAUAUAAAAUCAGUAUUAAAAUAAAAACAAAGAUCUAAUAGAAAACUCUUCUUUCCAAAGGGCAUUACCUGAUGCCUUUCUUUCCAUUUGGGGAAAAAGUCAUUUCCCAAAAGUUGAAAUAGAUGAUCUCUCAUCUCAUCAUUGGUAACAAGUAAGCAUUUAAAUUUUAUAGUUGCAUACAACCAGUACCUGAAACACAGGUCAGUAAAUGCAGCAAGAUAUGCCUAACCAGUACAAAAAAAUUAAUAGCAUUUGUUCUUACCAGUCAUCAUUUGAUCCAGAAGGUGUUGCAUAGAGUGCAUCAGCACUAUUCCACUUAUCAAUUAAUGCCCUGUUGACCGAUUCAUCCAUUUUGUCUCCCUUGAUACGCUUAUUAUGCAAAAUAAUAAGUGGAAACUUCUUUGAAGGGAGCCUUUGGCGCAUUUCAUUGGCAACAGCAUUGAUCUAAAGUUUUCAUCUCAAAAGAAAAUAAUCAAUAACCAUAACAAGAACAACAAACAGGGAAGAAAAGAUGAGAGUAUUUUCCACACUCAGUAACUUGCCUUUUGUGGCAUGAACCUACUUUGGCCAAAAAGGCCAACAUUUGCAGCAUCUAUCACCGCUUCAAAAGGUCCAUAGUAGUCAAGCCAUUUCUGCAAUGCACAUUUUCAUAUAUUCCAAUUGCAACAUCAUCAAUCUAUAACAAAUUAUGAUUGUUUCUUACCUGAAAUUUCUGGAAGUUUGAUCCUUUUUCUCUCAUCAUGGCCAUAGAUGCAACUGAAUUGGCAAAAUGUUCAGUUUCAACAGGAUCGAGAUCAAUAGUGGUCAACUGCAGUCCACAGCAUUUACACACUCCAUCCUUUCCAAUGGUUGUAUGAGAAGUUUCCCAUUUCCCCUUACCCAACCAACCCUGCCCAUGCCAGCCUCCACCAUUGUUUUCUAUUGCUUCCUUUAUCAAUCUCCUAUCCCAUUUUCUCUUCCCAACUCUUGAAGCCUGCUUGCUCUUAAACCAAUCAAGAAUCAAAGACGCAGUGGCCUGAGAUACUUUCCUCACACUACUUCUUAAUUUGUGCAACACGUAAUAAACCCUGUCACUAUUUCCAGCUCCUAUGCUCACCCUCAAGAGAGCCUCCAACUCAGGCUCUUCAGGGUAAACACCAUGCUCAAGCAUGUGCUUUUCAACAGCAAAUGCCUUAUCUAUCUCUCCAUUAUUGCAAAAUGUGGAUAAAGCAGGACCGUAAGACCUUAACUUAGGACUUAUCCCCAAGUCAUUCAUCUGUCUCACCAUCUCAAAAGCCAUGUCACCAUCACCCACGGACAUGGCCAUUCGAGCCACAGCCGUCAACGCAGCCUCAUUCAUUUGAACCUUACCCACACACAUAUUCUCAUACACCUCAAACCCUCUCUGCAGUGCAUAUCUCCUGUCUUCCUCGCUCACCAGAAAAACCCCAUCUUUCCGAGUGGAAUUCAAAUCAGAAUUUAACGCGGCAUUGCAAUCCAACUCAAAAGAUGAGUCAUUUGUGUUCAUUGGUCCACUCAACCCCUCAUUCAGAAGUCCAUCGGAGGAAACAAGUGCAUUGAGAGUUCUAGCACCACUUCCACUUUUAGCCGGUCGAACAACACCGACAGCUGCAGAAGAACACAGAUACAACAACACAGUGUAAUGGUGCUGCCCCAGUUUGACACCCUCUGAGAUUGCAGAGUCAUAUAAGGACAACGCCCCCAUAACAUCACCUCUUUUAGAACACAUGUCCAAAGCAUUCUUCAACUUCACUUGCGGGCUAUCCCUAUCCAGUUUCCUCUUCCUCAUCUUCUUUUCCACUUUCUCGGUAACCGUGCAACUGCUGCCACUGAUGGUAGCUUUUGCUUCCAAAGACCCCCGGCAGUCUCUAAAAGCGAAAGGAGCUGUCUUGGCAAACCAUGAAGCGGUUUCAGGUAGAGAAUUGAGAUAAGAGUAUCGAGUUGCAGUUUGUUUUCUUUUGAUGGAAAUGAAAGUGACGAUGUUGUUUGAAGCGCGAGUUUGAUAGAGACGACAAAGGUUAGGCUUAGAGUACGAUAAAGUGAGAGAUUGUCGAAAUUGCAGAGUGUUGAAGUAAAGGGCAAAGGAAGCCAUCACCUACCUCACCACCAUCUGUCACUUCGUCUCUGCUCUCUCUCCGAUAACUCUUCACCCUCACUCCAAAUCUCCUCAAAUAAGAUUUUUACUUCAUUACAUUACGUCUUUCUUUUUUCAUAUUCAAACUUUAUCUUAAUACAUUAAGAAAUUCUAAUAUUUCAUUUGAUAAAGAACCAAUUAUACCAUGAGACGAUAAAACAUAAAUGUCAAGAUUUUGUGAUGUCAUAAAACAAUUUCAUUUGUGAUGCCAUAAAACAAAGUAAUCAAAUAAUAAAAAGAUUGGUAGUUUUGAUAAUUCAUCAAAUGACAAAAGUUCAUUUAUCAAUUAAGUUUAAACAUAAAAAUUAGACUUCAUCAUUAUCCAAAAUUUUAAUGUAUUAUCUAAAAUUUUAAUAUAUUUUAAUUUUUAAAUUUUAAAAAUAAAUAAAUAUAAUAAGUUUAAUUCAUUAUAUUAUUUUUUUGUGUGAAACACGUUUCAUAUUAAUAUAAUUUGUCUAUUUAAUACAUUCUCCUUUUAAUGUGAACUAAAAAACAUGCUUAAGAUGUUAAGUUAUUUUAACAUAAUUGAAUUAAAAAAAUCAAAUUUUAAAAUUUAAAACUAAAAUGUAUCAAAAUUUUGAACAAAAAUAAAUUUUAAUUUUGUUUGAAAGUUUAAAAUGUGCAGCAUAGCUUUCUUUUUUUUACCAUUUCUAAUUUAACAUAUAUUGUAAUAUAUAAAUAGCUGUAGAAUUCAAUUCGAAUAUGAGAGACAGAAUUCCUCGAAAAUUCUUGAUAGUUUUGUUCUCAAGAAAUAAGUAUUCUUCAAAGUUGCCAACUAUACUUUUAUAGUUAGUUAUAUUUACUUCAAAUAUAAGUCAACCAAAAUAACCAUUCAUUAUAUAAAACAUACAUGAGGAAAACUUUAAUAAAUUUGAUCCGCAAUUAAUGAAGUUAAUCAAAAGCUCAAAUUCUUUGAUACUAGUUAAACUCGAGCUCUCCAAGAUUAUCUAGAAAAACAGCCAUUGUGUUUUAAAACUACCUUGAAAUUUGUCAAAUUUAGAGUUGUACUUCCAAGCACAAAUAUAUUCCUGCACAUGAUCGUAGUUGGAAGGAGUUCCUCUUGAUGGAAACAAAUUCUAAACUGCAGAGUUAAAAAAUCAAGUUCCAAAGCCACUCACCAGAAACUUUAGUUCUUGGCCAUACCAGUGCUUAUACAGAAACAUUAAUAUAGAAAUGGAAAACUAGUGUUAAACUCAGAUCUCGACUAAAUAAGCAAUUUUUAUUUUGGGAAAAACCAACCAAACCAUUAUUAAAAAUCAUUCAACUAUAUUAGGCAUAAACAAAGGAAAAUGUAACUGUAACAAGAUUGCAUAAACAAAAUGGAAGGUGUCAACAGCGGGUAACGGUUUAGCAUGUCAUAACUACCAGGUAUUUUGUUCCCAUUUUACCUGUGUUAACUGUCAACCUUAGAUGCAGAACAAUUACACUAUAUCAUAACAACUUCCUCAAAGACUCACAUUCAAUAUGAGAAAUAUUAGCACAUACAACAGCCUCCUUGCAACACACUUUCCUAUCAGAUGUAAUUCCUGAGUCCAACUAAACAAGUACCUCAUUUCCCAUAUGCUAGCAUUCCUCUACACUACGGUAUGAUAUCUGGUUUGACGAUGAUUUAUAAAUACCAUAGAACUGUAGUAAUGAUGGAAACAGCAACAAAUAAAAUGGAUUAAAUCCUCAGGUAUAAUGCACUCAAAUGCAUUACUAGUUAACAAAAUAUUUAUCCAUAGACUGGAAAGACCAAAAAAGAUAUAUUCCAGAAAUAUAUGAAGAUAAAUUGAACUAGGCAACAUCAAUUGCACUGCGUGUCCUCAAAAUAUGUCAGAUGAAGAAUCAUGUGUCAGUAGCCUCAACAUUACAACAACUGAAAACAUCAACAUGAGCCUGACAUCCAACGAAAAUGCUACCUUGCAGCUACUAACUGCUGACAAACGCUGUCAUAAAGGCAUGGAAAUACCUGUAAAAUACACAAAUGGAAGCAUUGCAAUGAGUUCUUGUCAUCCAGUUAUUAAAGUUAGUACCUCAAAUUAAAUAGAAAAAUGAGAUGAGUGCAAUUUUCUAAUCAACAAUGUAUUUUAACAAAAAAAUCCUGAUAUUUCUACAGUGUACAGCAAGCCUAACAUCAAAGAUAUAUAUUUACUCACGCAGACAACUUCUAACAAAGUGUGAAAGGAUCCAAUGACAUUUAAUUUUGUUGAGUUCUAAAAUAUAAUCUUAUGCAAAAAUUAAAAAAAAUCUAGAUAUUUGUCUUCUUGGGCAUCAGGUAUCUCUAGUUAACAGUUAACACGCAUACCCUGGAAUGCACUGCAGCAAAACUUCAUCAAAAUAAUACCAUCAUGAUUUAUUUUGGCUUUUUUUAAUUCAUGAUGCAACUAUCGUGGAACAUUUUCUAUCAGCCGGCUAAACAAAUCUGUCUAUCUACUUAUCUACUAGCAUAAGAUCCAAAGAUUCCAAAAUUUAAAAACAAUAGGUAAAAUCAAAAUGAUAUUGACCAAUUUACUAUAUCAUUUGGAAGAACUCCCUCCUCUUACCCCUUGGUGCCAGACUUCAUAACACAUUUCCCUUGAAUGCCUGCCGUAUGUUUUCUCACAUCUAAGUAAAUUCUGUCACAAAUAUAUAUACUUCCAAUGCCAAGUGCUGAUCAUUUGGUAAUGGUAUUGGAAAAUCAAUUUAUGCACUUUGCUUUUUUAUAGAACCUCCCUCGUCUAACUUAUUUAAACUCCAAAGUGCAUUCAGUAGAUUUUAACUCCCGAGAUAAACACAACUUAUUUUACUUUCUUGUUUUCGUCUCCUAUGAAUAUUUAUUGAGAAGUUUAACCGAUCAGACCUUUCUCUCCCCCACUUGUAGUUCUAAUUCAUAUGCAAUGGACAGAAAACAGUAGCAAUGUACACAACACAAUAUAGCAAACAUUAACUUUACUUCCUAGGAUUGAUUUAAUGGUAGGAGUUUUUAGUACUUUACACGAGCUCUUCGAUUCAAACCUCACCCUCCUGAUUGUAUACGCGUAUUAAAAAACGAAGAUAUAAAAACCCAAGAAAAAAACACGGGCUAUUAGUGUGACGUGCAACGACAUUCCUUGCCACAAAUCUCAUCUCACAUUCCUUAAAGUCAUGCCAGAAAUUCACAAUAACAUUGCUGAAUAGUGAACAAACGCAAAAAGAACACACCUUGAGGAACUAACCCCCAACCCUUAGACUCAACAGACAGGCUCGACACUAAUCGAGCUGAAGCCACCGCGCUAUGUAACGGCAUAAUUGAUUCCAAACUCGCCAACUCCACCGGUAACCUAACCAACCAAAUUACAAAGUUUAAUUAAAACAAAUAAAUAAACAAAAUCAUAUGAAAGUGUCAUAUAGGUUUUCAAGAACGAAAUGCCAAUGAAAAAAUUCAUUUUUUUUUUUCUAUUAGGAGAUGAAAUGAAGCGUAAGGGAGAUGCGGGGCUCACCGGAAAGUACGAGAAAGGCGGCGCGCAGAGAGAGGAAGUGGAUUGGAGUGAAGAGAGAGUGAGGGUUUGGUGAAGUUGCUGUGAGCAAGUGUCUGUAACCGAGACGACAACCUACACAAAACCUUCGAUGAUGCCAUUUGUGUGUUGUUUCAGCUGAAAAUGUCACACUGUGGAGUAUGAAACCUUCCCACUCCUAAUACUAUAUUUCCCAGAAUAUCAACGACGCCGUUUCGCCUUAUUGUAUUUCUCUUUUUCUUUAGGAAUUCUCUAUAUUUUCUUUUGCCACUCCUAAUACUAUAAUUUCUAACCAAUACCUUGUAACAAUUAAUUAUUAGUUAAUUAACAAUGACAGUUUGUUCUGUACAAAUCAUAACAUUAUUUAAAAAAAUUGUGGAAGUUUAAUUUCUACACAACUUUACUGUUUGUCUAAUACAUAACUUGAGAAUGCUUUAUCCUUUUAUCAUCUUUUAAGCUUAAAAAAAGUAUAAUCAAUAUUUAUCUUUAUAAAUCAAAUAUUAAAUAUCUUUUUCUUUAUUUUGUAUUCCUUUGUAUCAAAUUUAUGGAGACUGAAAUUGAGUAAUUUAUAUUAUUUUUAGAUUUGAAAUCUGACACUACAUUUUGAUACAUCCAUUUAGAUUAAACAAUUUCAAAGUUACAAAAAUUAGAGUUCAGAUAUCGAACGGAAUACUUUAGAAAGCUUUUUAUAUCUAGAAAAAUAAUGAUAAUAAUGACCUUUAAUGAAUUAAUGUAUCUCUGAAUCAAAUUUAAUACUAUUAUGAAUUUUAUCAUAUUACUCAACGUAUCAAUAUGGUUUAAUAGUUAUUUAAAAAUGAACCAUUUAUUUUAGCAAUUAAGUUUAUUAUAUUACAAAAAAUCAUUUAAAAUUCAUAUUAUGUAAUUUAAAAGUAUAAAAAAAUAAAAUUAUAAUCCAUAGCACAAAUUAUAUCGUUUAGGAACUGUUAUAAUAUAUUCUUCUUUUUAAUAUUUUUUUCGCAUUUUAUUUUUUCAGUGUUAUUCUUCUUUUUUCUCCCUUAACGACAAAUAUGAGGAAAAUAAUUAGAAUUGGGCAUAGUUCAAUAAACUGUACUAAAACUACCGUUAAUCAUACUAUAUUGUACUUAAAAAAAAUUAAACUUAUUUUAACUAAAAACUAAUUAACUAUUUUAUAGUUCAGUUAAAAAAAUUGAAUUUUACUAUGUUUUAGUGCAGUUAACUAGUUAAUUGUAUUGUAGUUUGAAUGAAAUCAUGCUCGUACGAUACAUCAAAAUUUGAAUGAAAGACUAUAGAAACAUAAAAAGAAAAAACUCAAGAGUUAAAAAAAUUGUAAACCCAGGUAAAUAUUUCUUCAUUUAUUUCUUAUUCUUGAGUAAUUUUGAUACGUAAAACACUAAUAAUCAUACAACUUUUACAAAUAUACGAUACACAAUUCUUUUCUUGGUGUUUUAAACUGAGACACCAUAGUACAAUUUGUACUAAGCGUUCAUAUUUUCAUGAAUAAAACCAUUUGGCAUAGAAUGAAAAUCUAGGUUGUAGAGCAGAACUAGCAUGGCCAUUGAAGAGAGGAAAGUUGGCACAGGUCCAAAGAUCCAAAGCAAGAAGGAAAGUGUAUAGUAGAGAAUCCAGUUUCCCAGUGUGUUCAAGAAGACGACCCUGUCGAAAAGCCGAAUUAAAUACUGUGAAUUGACUAAGGACUUGUGAUAUUGUGGAAAACAAAUCAGAAUAUUGAUUUGAUUGAGAAACCCUAUGCAGCAAGUGUGACAGAGAAAUGAGAAUAAGAAUGCAACAAGGAGUUCAGACCCACCAUUAACUAGUUAAUAGUUAAUUAAUUGUAUUUUUAUUGAAUUAAAAAACAGUUUACUAAAUUGUAUUACAAUUAACUGAACUAAAGAAUAUUUAAACUAUUUUAUAGUUAAUUAUAAUUAGUUUGCAGUACAGUGCAAAUAGUGCAGUUUGUCCACCCCUAACAAUAAUGUAGUACAAUAAGGAUAGGUAUUUUAGUUAUUUUAUAUUAGUGUGGUUGUGUAGUUAGUAAUUGGGAGUGUAGAAAGCAAUAGCUACAAUUUUGUUGGAUAGUGAAACUAGCCCAUUGGGUUGGCACAAGUUGAAGCCCGGUCAUGGUGCUAUCAAAAUCAUUUGGGGGUUACUCCUUCUACCUCCCCAAUUCUAACCCCCACCCCCCAUUCCAUUUUUAAGAUUUGUUUUAUUAGUUUACUUUUUAUAUUAAUUUUUAGAUAUUUUAAUAAUGGAAUUUAUAUGUUUUGAUGUAUUAUUUUUAAAUAUAUUUUUAACUUAUAAAUGGGAGAGUGAGAGUUGCAGAGAGCGUUUGGAGGAGGAGCGUUUCAAAAGCUUUGGUGGGGGUGGGGUUGGGAAUACGAAGGAGAGGAAUUUGAGUCUGUGUGUUUUGACUGAGGCAGACGGUAAAAGAGUAGGUUAACUUUAGUAAUUAGGUGUAAAACGGUAAAAAUAAAAAAUAUAUAAAGAUUAAUUUUGUAUUUAAAAAAAAAUCCAAAAAAAUUGGGGGGGUGAGGGUUGGAAUUGGGGAGGUACAGGGAGUAACUCCCAAAUCAUUUUCUAGAUGAAGAGAUAUGAAAAUGACAUAAAAGUGGUUGGUAGUAUUUUUCUUUUAAAUUUUUUCAGUUUUUAACAACCAAAUAACAUUUUAUGACAAAAAUAAUAUCUUUCAUGUUAAAAAGUUAAUCGGAAACAAAAAUUUGUUAGAGUAAAAAUUUUGUAAUCUUAAUUUUUUUUGUUUAAUUUUCUUUUUCAUUUAUUCAUACAAAUUACAAGCAAUAUAUAUUUUUCUUUCCAUUUUCAGUCAUUUAAAUUACAGUGACUAAGCCUUAAAUGGUGAAGAAUUAUCGGGUGAGUACUAACCAUAGAAUAAAAUUAUCAUCAAUUGGAGAAAUGUAAUUAAAUUAAGCUAGACUGUAAGAAAAUUACAAUUUAUAUGCGCUCUAGUUCAAACUGUAAUUUCGCUUCAUUUGAAUACAACAAUGAAUGAGGCAAAAGAAAGUAAAGGGGAAAAAAACACUAGAAUGGGGGAAUUAAGUUACAUUGCUUCUUUUAUGAAAUUACAAGUCUGCAAUUUACAAGUUACGUCGAAGCAGAGCAAUUAAUUCAGAUUUCUAUACUUGAAUGAACGGAGUAGAAGAAGAAAAUUGAUAACCAAAAAAAUUGAUCCUAUGUGGACUAAUUGGUGGGCCCGUGUGCUUGACAGUUGACACGCCCUUCAAAGAGAAGCAACAUAACGAAGAAUAGUGUUUUUACAGUUCAGAGUUGUAGCAUACCUUCACAAAAUAUUCUUCCAUAGUUAUCUCAGCUCAUCUAAGUUAGAUUUCUUUUCAUAUCUAUUUUUCAGGAAUAAGACUACCACCAGGGAACGAAGAUGUAGAAGUAAUGUUGGUCGCAGCUUUGGCAACAACAUUAUUAGUGGUUCCCUGCUGAUGGGCUGUCUCAGUACUGGUAUUAUUUCCAGUGCAAUUGUUGUUUGGGUCCUUUUCACUCUCUAAUUCACUUCUAGCUAAUGAAGAACACUUCGUUUCUGAAAUUGGGAAUAGAAAUUAGAAAUUAGCAACAUCAAACAAUAAAGUAGGUAAUGCAAAAAAUACGCAAGAUUAGGUUAGAGUAUGUAAACCAUAAAUAAACAUUUAUCAUCUACUGAGACAAAGAAGGAAUCCAGCACAUGAAUUUUGAUACUUUGAGCACAUAACUCGGAAAUUUCAAGGCCAUUUCAACAGACAUAGCUAUAUAUAAGCAGGCCCAACAAAGCAUUAACAAACAAGAAAGAAACAGCUGGAUAAUCUGACUCUCUUGAUGUACACUUUAAAACAAUACAUACAUACACACAACUAUUUUCAAUCCACGAGGUAUUUACUUCAUGUUCCAUAGAACUUAGUCAUCCUUUACCACAAACAAUAACUUGAAAUCAGCAAAACACAGAACAAACCCCGUAACUUUGAUUUGAAGUGAACAUUUUUCAAGAUUAGGCAUUUAAGCACAAGCUGCUACCCAAAAUCAACGGAAUAUGAACAGAUUGCUCUUAGCAGUGGAGAAAAAAUCAUGUACAGGGAUGUGAUAUAACUAAGGUAUAUUUUAGGAGGAAUAAGGUGGUACGAGGAUCAAGCCUCAAGGCCCAGCAGGGAAGCAACAGUGAAAUCAUGAACAAUACCUAGGGAUGUGCAUCUUAAUGAAAUUUGAUGGACAGGGUGUCACAGAAAGCAAAUGGAACAGGGGAGAUUCAGGUGGGGAGUGCAGAAUAAAGGCUAGUAAGUGAGAAAGGGGUAAAGCCAACACAGUGCUAUUUUACUUUCUUUGCCGUAUUUCUUUCUUAUCUUCGUGAAAAUGUACACUCCUCUCGGCUGAUUGGUAUCAAACUCAAAUAAAGUCAGUUUAUACAUAAAGAGUACAGGUUUAGAUUCACAGAAGUAGAACUAACCAGAUGGUAACAAAGACAAAUCAACUCACGGAAAAAUAUGAAAACGGUUAUUGAGAAGGCUGUCAAUGUUAUUGGGAGUGAGGCUAUUAUUUGUCUAAAUUGAAAGUUGAGAAGAUCCAUUUGUAACAGCACUAGCGCUAAGGAUGAGAUUUGAAAUUUUUGCAAACAAAUCAUACCUCAGAUCGGAUGAAGGUAUUAACUUACCAUUUAUUUCUCCCAUAGUGAUAACCCUAUUGAGAAAGUCUCUAAAUUUUGUCAAUACAAUUUUUUCUUGCUCGGCAUAGACCUCUGUCAUUCCUUGUCCAUAUGGCGGUUGCGAAGAUGUGUUGCAAGCAUGAGCCCUUGAUCCAAUAGGGGAGGCAGAAGUCAUGAACAUUGUGUCUUGCUCAUCGCACAUCAAUGCUAAGGUUCCAGGAGACAUUGGCCUCCCUUUUGGGACAUCAGCACCAUCUGAACAAGAAUUAUCUGGGCUGAUUUUAUCUGUCUGGUUUGCACUCAAACAAUCAUCAUCAGCCAUAGCUUUCUCAACAUUAGCUUCCUUUUGGUUUGGUAAUUGCUCUUGAGUUGAAGAAGCAAGAGAAGUUUCUGUGUGAUCUUCCGCAUGCUUGUCCAUUAAAUUUUUCUGGUCUGUUCACAGUAAUAAAAAUAAUCGGUCAAAGAACACAAGUCAAUUGAUAAUGCUGAUCACUGGUAGAUAGAUAGCAACUGAAAUCACCAAUCACACAGAAAACUAGAAAUUUCUUGUCCACACACAAUCUUUUCUUCUAGUACGUGUAUACUAAUGGACCACAAGUAUUACAGCCCGUUUGGUUGUAGGAAAUAUUUUUUGUUUUCAAAUCCUUAAUUUUUUACUUAUGAUUAUGAAAACGCUACAUGGCUUUCACCAUUUCCAAAACAAAACUCUAGAAGCAAAAAUAAAAUGAAAGUUUUUAUAAUUAUUAUGAUAGAAACAUAAUACAUAAAAAGAAAACAUAUUUUAUGGAGUAACAUGAAAAUUUUAGAUGAACUAAAAGGUCAGUUGUCAAUAUAGAGGAUUCUUAGGUGCUCAAAUUUUUCAAUACUUCAGCAUCUUGAACAUUGCAUUCCCUCCAAUAUUCCAAAACUCACCAAACAACUAUUCAGUUGCAAAUAAAUCGGCGCAUGGGCAGGGUAACAAACAUUUAGAGAUCACGUAAAAUCAAUUCCUCUUCAAAAUAGAUAACUUUUAAUUAAUUGCACUUCCUUUUCUGCUUUCCUUAUUUCCCAUGAAGGAAACUAUUGUUUGCAGGUACAUUAUGAAUUAAAUCAGGUUGAAUUCUGUAAUUUAUUAUUUAGCCAAUUAAAUCCUCAAAUUAGUUUGAUGGCACAUAAAAACAACAUGUUGAUAAAAUUCUGAACCUUACUAUGGUUGAAAACUUGUUUAGUUUUCAUUUUGUAAUGCACUUGUAAAGCAACAAAUUAGAAAGUCUUAUCUGAUGUAACAAAUUCAAUUCGAGCACGCAGAAUUAAAACAUGUAUAAUGCUCACUCAGUAUACGAAAGAGAAAAAGCAGAGAAAAAGUGGGAGACAGAAAAUCUAUUGUCGGUUAAUACAACACUACUCAUAAAGAAGAAACAAAAAUCAACAGUGAUGAUAUUUUCAAAACAUAUGACGCAAUUUGCAAUUGACAAUUUAACAUGUCAAUAUACCAGUAAAUGUCUUGGCAGCUUGUCCAGAUACUAGCACCAGAACUGAGCAAAGUUCCUUCAGGUGCUGUGGUUGUAUGAUGUCUGCUAAAAGAGACCUUCAACAAUAAUCAAGUUAAUGACUACACUAAAUAAAUAUAUCUUCAUUUCAUAAAAUUUAAACAGUCUUACCUGUACAUUAAUUUUGAAGGACCUAAUGUUGCCGGUCCAACACGAGCACCUGGAAUGGGUGACAUGGAUGAGGAUGGUGCAGGAACUCUGACAUUGUUUGCCUGGUGAACAUUAAAGAAUAUAUAUAUUUACAACAUUAUUGUACAUGAAUUAGAUAUUAAAAGAAACAUUACAAUUUUCACUCUUAAAUUGCAGUAAACUAAUAUGAACUUGCAACUCAAGGAAGAACUUUUUCUAGACCCGAUGUCAAGUCCUCAUGGUAUUGAAGUGAAACUUUCAGGGCCAAAGCAGCAGAAUUGAUUUGUAUUUAUUCAUUCACAAUUUAAAUAACAAGUUGACAUUUUUAUGUGCCUGAUUAAGCAAAUGUGACGCUUAAGACAAGAAAUCAUCCCAACCAAAAGGCUAGUCUUUCCUGACAGGCUUGAGUCACAACAAAUGGUAUUUUCACUGAGGCCAGUUUACAUGGACGGGGCAACCUAGACACGGCAAAAACGAACCAGAGAAAGACUUGCUCAAAGUGAAAACCUAAGCAUGCAAAGAAGUCAGACUCUGACUGGAUAUCCAGAUUGGCCAUAGUGGACACAGGCUCUUGAAUUAACGUACAAUACUAUAAUAUCUCGCACAGAGAAAAAAUGAAAGCAUAUUGUCAUACUUAGGCCUUGAGGCCCACCUGCUCAAUGUUUUUGAGAUGGGCCUUCCUCCUGGGUUUGACUCGUACUAGAAACAUUAGAACAAAUCAAAGGGACCGUGUCUCGAUUAAAUAAAGACUAAAUCGAAUUUAAAUGCAUCUUUCACAUUUAAUUAAAAAUAUAAAUUGCCAUUGCAUAACCGUAAAUAUUACAGUCAUGAAAUAUUAAGUGACUGUAAAUUGUAAAACUGCACUAGCUGUUUGUCUACACUUCCCCAAUUUAACUGAUUUCCCAAGUUAAAAUAAACCUUAAACAUUAUUAACAAAUUUCACCUGUUGUCCCAGCCUUCCAAGUGACGGAUCUUUAAUGGUUGACCCAAAUAAGAGUUCUUGGCCUUUUCUUUUCUUUGAUAUUGGUGGUGACGAAUAGCCAGAGGAACCAAUAGCUCCAGUUAUGGCAGCAUUGGCCGCCUGCUGAAUAUACACCAUGUUGUUAUUUUGAUCUCCAUGGAACAAAGCCUGUCUCUCUUCACUACCCUCAAAGUUUUUGCAAUCCAUGCAUUUACAAUUUUCAGAACAAAGAAUGUUGGCUUGGAAGCACUCACAGUACUUCUUGAGGCACCCAGAUUUUUUACAAUGGCAUCCCUUGUUGUGCUUUCCCAAUAUCAAAAUUUCCCCAGCAUCCUCCUACAUUCAUUUUGAUGCCCAAAGGUAGUCAACAAAUUGAAAAGUUAAAAGAAAAAAAUGUAACACUUUUACCACUGAUAAUGUUCUGAAGAAAAUUCAUUUGUAUACAGUUUUACACUUUGGGUCAUAUAUGAGUGAAUUUGUCAGCUGUUUAACAAUAGGUUGCUGCCAUACAAAAUGUUUAUACCUUAAAAAAGCCAAGUUUGUACAGACAAAUGAGACACAUGCUUAAAAAAGUCACUUAACUCAGCCCUGGGUAUGCUUGUAAAGAUUUCAUUGACACAACAUUUUAGGAGAUAAAAAAGAUGAAUUAUCUAAAUUAUUGGUUGUUGAAAACAAUAUCAACAUAGUGAUAGGUACGGAACAGAGACAAUUAAUGUAACAAGUAAGGAUACUUAAUAUAAAAGAAAAUUGCUUAUAAUGAAGAAGUUUUGCAUAUAACUACACAAUGAAUUUAAAUAAUAUUAACAAAAGAUAACAGGAGAAGUGUCUUGUGCCACUGUACCAGAAUGGAACCUGAUGAGGUUUUAAAUUCCCAAUCAAUAAAAGCAAUACCUUAAAUCAAUGCUAAUGACCCACACUAUAAAACAUGACACGCAACACUAACAGUUAGACAAGCUAAACGGACAACAUACCCUGCUAUCACGUGUUCCAUGAGGGCUGCUUGCAAUUUUCGGCCUGAACGCAUUUGGAUUGCGUUCCAAAGUAGCUUCCACCGCUUCUCGUCUAGCAGCUUCAUUUUCCACAUUGUUAUAGCAAUUUACACAAUUGCAACCAUCACAAUAUAUUCCCGAAGCAAAACAUUCACAAUAUCUGCCCAAGACAUUCAAACAUUAGCUUCCCAUGACUUUACCAUUCCAUGCAACAAGAAUCAAAAGCACAAUAAAAAGAAGACAGAGAAAGCCAGAGUAUUUCACUUACAGCUUCAAGCAUUUUGAAUGUUUACAAUUGCACUGUUUUUGCUUUUUGGGAGUAGCUUCUUUAAUUUCAAAGCCAGGCCUCGGUCUCGACUUUGGGGAUUCUGGUUUCCUGAAAAAAAAAAAAAAAACAAGCGCUAAUUGAAGACCAAAGAGCAAAAAACCAAAACCAAUUCAAGCAGUCAACAACACCUUAGCUGGAAAAGAAAUAAAAUAAAAUUCAUAUCAUAUUAAAUUAACCAAAGCUAAUAAUAAUUAUCAGUCACUUCUUUCUCAUUUCUCAACCACCGAAACCGGGAACCAGAAAGGAAAUUUCUUAUCCAAAUCUUCACAAGCUCUGAUUGCAACUCAACUUCGCAACUAAUAAACAAAUACCGGCCAUGUAUUAUACGCCCAAACAGAGACAUCAAAAUCGAAACUUUACUAACAAACUCAAAAUCCCAGAAUUUCCAAAAUUUCAGACAUUUUUCAAAAAAAAACACAAUUAAACCUUCCUUUUCUCAUAACUCUGAAAUUCCAUGAGAAAUGAAAUAGACAGAAACAUAUACAGAAUUCAAGAACUCACCCAACCCUGACAGAAGCAGAAGGCGGCAGCGGCAAAACCACCGGCGACUGCGGUGGCAUCCCACCGAAGCCAGUGAAAUCGAGCUGUCUGGCGAGCUUCUUGGCGGGAACAUCAGACGGCAAAAGCGCAUUCGCGACGACGUCGUUGGGCACAACAUUCUUGGGAGCACAAUCACUCCCCUCACCUUCCCCUUCUCCCAUUAAAACAAUAAUUUUAAAAAAAAAAGUAACAACCUCACUCACUCCUCCACUCACCGAUUAUCAACGAUAACAUCAACAACAAUCAGCAACAAAUUCAUCAAAAGUUAAGCUCAAAUUCAGUGGUUUCAGAUCCAAACACCACGCGACUGCGUAUGCAACUCUUGAAUCAAGACAAUUCGAUCCAAAAACCAACAGAACACAACAAUAGAAAGAAAGAAGGAAAAAGAAGAAAGAGAAAAAGAAGAAGCAGAAGAAUAGUCUGUGAUUACGAGAAGAGAAUAGAAGAGAGGGGCUUCGUGUUUCUUUCGUUGGUGGUGUUCGCGUUCGCCCCUCUCUUCCUCCCUCUCUCUCCCAAGCUUUUCAAAUUCAAUUUUCGUAAAUAUUCAACGGCCAGAUCUCCUUCCUCUCGUCAUCCCACGCUCCUCCGCUAAAGUGCCAAUCUCGCGGCGCAAAUUCAUAGAAGCCUCACUCCUCUUUCCUCCUCUGCCCUCCGAUUCAACUCCUCUAAAAACCCAUUUUUAAUAUCACCCGUUCAAGGUCGACACGUGUGCGUCUUUUAUCCUACGCCUCUCUUUGCAUCACUGGGGGUUACAACAGUGGAUUUCGUUUUGGGGUUAAACCUAAAAUGUAAAUAAACAGAGAAUUUGGCGCUAAAAUAAAGUAGUCCCAUCCGAGUUGUUGACUUCCCAGUGCAAUUCUUUGAUAUCAUAAACAUUCAACACAAAAAAAAUUGCAAAGCUCUAGUCUUUAAUAUCUUUGAAUUUAAUUGAAAUUGAGAUAGAAUAUUUUAAUUUUAUAUCUGAAAAACACUAAAUUAAUUUUUUUUUUAAAUUGAUUAGGUUCUGUAAAGAUUAUAAUUGGCAUCAAUAAAUAUUUCAUAUUUAUAAAAUGAUAAUUCUUAAAAUUGUAUGACAGUAAUUUUUUUCCUUCUUCUGGGAGCAAUUGCAAAAAUUGGUAAAGAAAAUGAAAUGUGAUAUUUUUGGUGGGUGAUAAAUUGAAAAGGAAAUGACAUAUUUAUAUGUUUUGUAAUGAGUAGAUGAAAAUAUGAUGGCUGAAUGGCUUGGGUGUGAAAAGGCUUGGAUGGUUUAAAAACCUGAAUCGAACUACCCACUACAAUUGGACCAUGAAAGACACACCAACACUUCGAUUGGCCUAGUAUAAGCCAACAUGAGACUUCAUCGUAAAAGUCAAUUCAUUAUUCGAUUCCUUUUCGGGUGAGAGUUACAAAAGGUCUCAUCAUCAUCAUCAUUCUCCAUUUUCAGUUACUUUGAUUACCAUCACCAAAAAAACAUCAAAUUUUAUCCCAAUACAAACACUUUAAUUGUGUUAAUGUGGGUGUUUCUAUUUAGUAAUAACAUUGUUACAGUCAAAAAAUAUUAUCUUAUAGUGUUUUUUUUUUAAAUAUUCAAACUAUUAAAUAUAUCCCAACGCUUGAAAAAUCACAGUAAAUUGUUAGAAAUGACAGAAGAUAAAUGAACUAUUCUAAUUUGUUCAGACAAAUAACCAAUAUUCAAACAUGCAUACGUGUGUGGGCCCUUUUAACGUAAGUUCUUCGUCAUCAAAUCACGAAACCUUGUUGGUAGUUUGUUUGAGAAUCUAUUUUACGAAGACAGUCUAUAAUUGAUGUAGCAAAUUUUGUCUUUGCAGUAUGAAAUUAACUUCUUGUACUUACAUUUCAGAACAUCAUUGCCUACUCUCUCGUUUCAGAACAUCAUUUUAGAAGGUACUUAUUAUUUUUAUUUUGCUGGAAAAUUGAAAAAAUAUAUUCAGAGAAGCAGGGCUGGGCUUAUUAUGGAAUCACAAAAUAUGCUAGCAGAAUGAGAGGGAUCUUGAAGAGGCACAGAACAACAAGAAUGCAACCGAUGAAAUAUUGAGAACUAGAGAAGACGAUUCAAUAAUAGAUGUUGAUAAUAUAUAAUCUGUUGUUUAUGCUCCGUUUUUACUGAACAAGGAUUGAGUUACUUUGUUCCUUUUCUGAUCAUUUAAUUAUGUGUAAAUGGUUCAUUUUGCAGGUGUGAUAUUACUUAAAGAUCUAUUUUAAUUUUUCAUGUUUCAGUGUAUUUCCUUUGGUGUUCAAGAUUAAUUGUAUUUUAAAUAAAAUUAGAUACAAAAAUUAUUUGUUGCUGCCACUAUUGCCCUUGGUAAAUCAAUAGUUUCAUUCAUCUCUUGGUCUAGAAAUUAUAAACAAUAUUUCUUAAAGACUAGUUAACUGGGACUUAGAAUUUGGCAGAGGGAACUGAUGCUGAUAUCAGUGUUCCCACGCCGAGCAACUCUCAUACUUCAGAAGACAUUACGAAAUUGUUAUAUGAUCGCAGAGCGCAGCAAAUUGUGUAUUAGGGCAUAACGUUUCAAAGGAAGAAAUUUGGUGUAUUGCCAGUCCAACCUAAGCUUGAUCUUCAAAAAUAGUUUUAAUUUCAAGGAAGGAAUAUCAUGAUUUUUCCCCUGUUUUCAGACGUGGUAUUAUGGAUUUAAAGGGGAUUAUAAAUAUCAUGAAGUAUACCCUUCCAAUUUCCAUCAUUUUCAUUAUUCUAUUUCUGUGUACUGUAAAAAGAUGAUAAGGUACGGCGUGCUUUUCUCCUUUGAAUGAUUUUGACAAAAUACAAUCAUGUAAAGAGACAAAAACAAGGUCAUGGAGUUCACGUAAAAAAGGUACGGAGUUAGUUAAUAAGAGGAAACUCGUUUAUAUUCCUCUAUUCAAUUGUUAAAUAUUGUAAGUCUAAGUUCACAAAGAGGCAUGCUCAUAUAGAUGGAAUGCAGAACCUGCCAGUUCCACUCGUAUAUAGUCUAUGUUUAUGGUGUUGUUCUAUAGAUAUAAAUCCUCUUGCUGUAAGUUGUUUACCAGGUCAUGACAUGACCGGAAUAAACACAAGAAAUAACUAGUUACUCAUACGUUAUAUCUGUAAAUAUGACGAGAUACAAGUUCAUGUAUUACAACAACUAUGACUGUCAUGGUCAACUAUAAAUUCAUGUUAACACAGUCCAUCAAGUUUUUUUCAAUAGUUUAUCUCUCUGUUCACACGUGAACAUCAAAUCCGAAAAAUAUUUCUGAUAAAUAUUCUCACCAAAUAAUUACCAUUUGAGACAGCACUACACAAAAGGUAAAGGCAGGUUCCAAGGAUACGAUGUACCUUGAAUUCUUCAAGGAAACUGUAUGGAGAAACCGGUACCAGUUCUAGUAAUAUUGAGCGGGCCAAACUCAUCAAAAUCAGAAUCAGAUUCCAUUCCAUCCAGAUCACCCCACCCACCAGGGGAAUCCUCAUCUUGUCCGUUUCUGUUAAGAGGAACUGGCAGCUCAGAAAUCGGCACAGGAAGAGGCUCUUCGUUAAAGUACUUGUCAUUAAGCAACUCCAUUGCCGUAGCCCUCUUAGCAGGAUCAUAACAAACCAGUUUUUUCACCAGAGCCACUUCAUCAGGGGACCUAUUUGGUAAACAGGCUUCAAUACCAGCAGGGUUCUCCACCUUGCUAAAGGAGAUUAUCCCGUAAUCAGGAAGUUUAGAACAACCAACCCAAACACUCUCAUCAAGGUUACCCAAAACACUAAUGAUUCUACUGAGCUGGUCAAUAUCAGCAGUUCCAGGAAACAAAGGCUGCAAAGUUAAAAGCUCCGCAAAUAUACAUCCCAAGGACCACAAAUCAACCUCCAAACCAUAGCCUCUGGAUCCAUAAAGCAACUCAGGAGCCCUAAACCAACGAGUCCCAACACAUGAAGUGAAACAACCAAGUUCGUUCUCUUCAUCUUCCCUGUUUAUGUCACUUGUGGUGCAUGUUGCAUUUCCAUCGUGAGUAUUAGUACUAGUAUCUUCAUUAUCAAUGUCUCUAGAAUACUCUUCAUGAUUAUUAGAAUCAUCAAAUCCAGGCUCCGUAAGAAUUCUUGCCUGAAAAAAUAGCCAUCAAUUCAAUACGUAAAUGGUUUCCCAUUGAGACAUCCAGAAUUUCGUUGCUACGCUAGUUAACCAAAUUUUGUAAGUAAUCAUGUGUUUUGUUUCAAUUUUGAGGAAUUGAGUGUGUGUGUAUGUGUUUGAGUGAGUGUUACGAAAUUGAUGAUUUUAUGUGAAGUUGGUUUUGACGAAAAUUGAAGUAAAAGUGAUUUAUUCUAAAGCAAAUUAGUAGCUAACUCACCAUAAAUUUUCAUUAUUUAAUACAGAAGCCAUUUAAGUUACGUUAACUCAGAAAUCAACUGCUCAAGCUAAAACUAGAUAUGCAAAAGUGUACAAAAGAACACAUUAAAACUAGAUAUGCAAAAGUGUACAAAAGAACACAUUAAUGAUUAUUUAUGGGUAAUCGAACAUGUGACUAAACAUAAAGAGUUUUUGGUGUUGAUUUUGAGUUGAAAUAUCUUCAGAUUUGUGUUUUUAUUAUCCUACUGACUUGAUUUUAAAACAAAAGCAUUGAAAAGUAAUCACAUCACUUCAAAAACAGUUUGAAAUAAAGUCCGUUUUGCAAACACCCGCUAAAUCAAGCGCUCAGACAUUUCAAAAGUCGGGGUUAGGGUUUUGUGGUUGUCGACAAUGAGAAGAGAUUACCUGUCCGAAAUCGGCGAUCUUGAGGAGGCCAUUUUCGGAAAUUAAGAGAUUCGAGGGCUUCAAAUCACGGUGAAGGACCAUGUUGCGAUGACAGGCGUCGACGCCAGAGAGAAUCUGGAUCAUCCACCGCUUGAGCUGGCCGGGGGGGAUGGGCCGGUUGUCCUUGGCGGCGUCAGCGAUGACGGUUGCCAAGUCGGUCCUGAGGAACUCGAGGACGAGGACGGCGUCCUCGUCGUCGCGCCAGAAGUACUCGUGCAUAACGAUGACGUUUGGGAAUCCCUGGAGAAGCUGCAACGCAUCGAUUUCUCGGAAAGCAGAUUGGUAGUCGUGGAUUUCCUUGAGGGCGACGAUGAGGCCGUCGGAGAGGCGACGGCCACGGUAGACGUCGGCGUAAGCCCCCGACCCGACCCGCUCCAUGACCUCAUACUUGGCGAUGAUCUCGGAUCGGGUAUGGAUGCUCCAGCUCUUUGGUGGAGGAUCCAUCUCCAUCGCACUCACUCUCACUAACACUACUCGAUGCCUGUCUCUCCUACCUUUUCUGCUAUAAUAAGGUUUUAAGCCUUCAAUUAAAUCUAUGAAUUUGUUUUUUAGAUAUAAAACGUAUUGAUUAGUUAUUAUUAUUAGUAAAAUGCGAGACAGAGUAUAAUUGUUUAAAUGAUACGCGAAUGAUUAUAUUAGUAGAUGGUUCCUCAGAAUUCGACAGCCAAUCGCCACGUUUUAUCGUUUGACCAAUUAUUAUAUGACACGUGUGCUAUAUACACAUGACAGUUAUGGAAGAAAAGCACCGAGAACUUGGAAUAUAUAAAAAAGUUAACCAUAUUUUUAAAUUUCUCUAUUUAUAUUUUUAUUUAUAAAUAUCUCAUUUACAAAUCAUAUAUUUCUAAGAUAAUGUUGAAAUAUAGAUAAUAUUGAAAUAUAGAUUUUUUAUCUUUCAUUAAAAUAAAUACUAAUUAUAAGAUCUAAUAUACUUAUAUUCCAUUUAUUUCAAAUUUAUAAGUCUAAAAAGAUUUUAAUGUAUCUUUAUAUUCUCCAAUUGAUAUUUUAUAUGAAUAACGAUAUUUUAAUAAUAUUUUGAUAUUAUUACGUAUUGUUUUAUAAUUGGUUAAAAAUUAUUGCACAAUUAAUAAUAAUAAUUAUAACAUAAAUAUAAACUAAUCAUAAAAUAAUACGUAGAUAAUGUUAAAAUAUUGUUAAAAAAUAUUGUCAAAAUAUCAUUAUUCAUUUUAUAUUUUAGAUAAAUAAUAUAUAUUCGAGGAUAUGAACAACUAUAUACCAUGAAAACUUGGGACCUAUCUCCUAGAAGAUUGGUUACCAAAUGUUUGAAUGUUCUAAAAUAUUAUUCCUCUAUUCAAACAAUUCAUACACACUGUAAAAGUCAAAGAGUCCGAGUUAAGUCAACGUUCCGAUAAUAUUUGCAUUAGCUAAAACUUUGAGAAAAAGAAAAACAAAGAGAGUUUUUAACUGAUAUUAAUGAUGUGUCAGGAAAGCAGAAUUGUGUAUCAGUUAUAUUGAGUAAAAGAAUGUCACUUAUAAAUAAUUUAUAGUUUAGAAAAAGAAUUUUCAUUUAUAUUUCUAUAUUGUGAUAACUAAUAUAAGUUAAACUACUUAUAACCUUAAGGUACAUUUUAAUAUUUGAUUAUUGAAUUUACACUUUGAUAACAAUAAAAGUUUUAUAUGUAAUUUUUUCUGCAGACAUAGUAUAUAAUAAUCUUAUUAAAUACUCUUUUUCCCGUAUUCAAGUUACUACUAAAUAUGGGAAAAAAACAAACUUGGUUUUUUGUAUUUUCCUUCAUUUGUCGUCGAUCUCUUUGUCUGAAGUAAAAUCUUGAUCCCAGUUUUUAAUAUCCUGAGUGCUCCCAUAAGCUACACUAAAUGCUAAGAAGCAUAAUAAAUUAACCAAACUCAGAAGGAGAAGAAGGGCAUAGUAGUAGUCAUAGUGGCCCAUGUUGAUGUUUGAUGCUAGCCAGCCAGCUUUUCCUCCUUUCCCUGUUCCCUCUCCCACAGCCAUCACAAUAAGGCUUCCGACAAGGUUUCCUACCCCAAAGCCAAAGGUGCAUAGGGAAACAGCAAUGCUUGACAUUGUCCUAGGAAACUGGGUGUAAUAGAACUCUAUUUGUCCAAUGAUGUUCAAACCCUCUGCUAAACCAUAUAAGCAGUAUUGAGGCACUAACCACAAAGCAGACAUGUUCACAACUCCUUUUGGGUUGUCUAUAAACCCUUCCCUUAUUGCUUCAUCCCUUCUUUUCUUCUCUACCCAUGCUGCCACUGCAGUGGCCAAGCAUGAGAUAGCUAUUCCAAAUCCCAUUCGUUGCUUAACACUGAGUCCUCGCCACUUUGGGAACAUGGGAACCAGAAUUCGGUCAUAAAUAGCCACCCAUAUGGUUAAAGUAAUGAUUAUGCAUGCACUGAAGUUGGUUGAUGGAAUGUCCGUAUGGAACACCACCCUGUUCAUGGUCCUUGCUUGUACCACAGAAAUUGAUUGUUGGCUUAUGGUUGUUGCAAAUAUGAUACAAGUGGACCAAAUAGGAAGAACUUUGAUUAUAGCUUUCAAUUCCUCUACUUGUCUCACUGUACACAUACUCCACGGGUCAGUGGGCAUCCCGUCACUGUCUAGAUCUUUCUCUUUGUUCUUCAGUAUGCAAGCCUUGUUCAAGAACCUAGGAAGGGAGAAUCAAAUAUUAAAUUGAUUAAUAUACUAAAAUUGAAGUCCUCCAACAAAUAGUGUAAGAUUACAAAACCAGGUUUACGUCGUGGUGUGUUACUUCCAGGUUGGUCUCUUACAACACCAAAAUUUUCAAGAGUAUUGUAUUCUCAUGUUACAUACCUUACUUUAUCAGUUGGCUGAACAAGAAUGGAGUCAUUGUGAAAAUACCAUGCGUCGGAGUUCGUGGGAGGAAGAGACAAGUGUCUGUUUUUCCAGGCUGCCGCAAUCACUUGGGCAAAGCUAGUGAGCAAGCUCUUGUUUGGUUUCACUUUGACAUACAAAGAAGAACCCAAGAAAUACAUUAAAGUAGAAAAUGUCAUAAGCCCCACAGGAAUCCCAAAACCUACCGCCCAUCCUGCUUUAACUUGGAUGUACACUAUAAAUAUCACUGAAAUUGAUACUGAAACGCCAACCGAAACAUAGUACCAAUUGAAGAAGCUCUUCAGGGUCCUCUCAUUUUGUGGGUUUUCAGGGUUGCUGAUUUGAUCAGCCGUAAAGGCUAAGGUGCACGGCCUAAUUCCACCAGCCCCAAGAGCCAUCAGAGCAAGUGCAGAGAAAAGAAAUAGGAGUUGAAAUGAUGUAGGUUUCGCACAAGCUUCUUCAUUAUGGCAUUCAGGCCUAGCACGCCUAAUAAUCGCUGUGAGCCACAAUACAACCAGGCCCUGUGAUGUAAGAAAUCAAUGCAAUUUUCAGAACAACUUCUUUAUAUUUUGGGAAUUCUUUGAAAAAUCUUCAUUAUUAAGUAUUGUGGUGCUUACAGCAAGGUCGAUGAUGGUUCCGAGGGCAAUAACACGAAAUCGUCCAAGCCCAGAAUCAGAAAGGAAAGCUCCAAACAUUGGUAUACAAUUGGAUACGGCGUUCCACAGGAAUACUACAAUGGCUCCUGUUGCAGGGUCAAAAUUAUACUCUUGUAGCAGGUACAAUAUCAUGUUCACAUGCAGCCCCACAUUCGCAACCCUUUCAAAUGUCUCGUUUGCUAAAACAAGUUCAAAAUCACAACCUGGUUAGACCUUCCAGUACAUGAUCGACUUUGUCAAUCAAACAACAGUUCUAAAAAGAAAAAAACCAUGAUAAAGAAAAGGGUCAUCAUCACCUAUGAUAAAGGGCAAGGUUCUGAAGCCACCCUUUUUCCUUUCAACCUUUGGGGUGGCUUUCUUUUGCUCAAUUGACAUCUCCAUUUUUCUUCUGCGAUACACAUGAAAAGGUUAGACAGAAAUAUACUUGAAUCUUGUUACUCGUUGCUACACAUACAAGAGCUUUGUUUUAUACACAGAAAUAGAUCUCUCUCCUAUGUUGAACUUCGGUGGAGGCAGGUAAACCUCGUUAUUAUUUAUGCUCUCAUCUUAGUAAUUGAAACAAAUGAAUAUUUAUUCAUGUUCUUGUCCAUUUCUCGUUUUAGUUUGGUCAAGGGAGGAAAAAGCUGGCCUGUAUGAACAUGCCUGUGUAAAAAUUCCAAGGUUUUAGCUCCCAUGCUGUGAGAACUUACUAAAUAAAUAAGAUUUUUGGUGAUGUAAUUGGUCUUAAUCGGAAUCUGCCGUCCACGUUGUGCCACAGUUAGAAGUGAAAGAAUGUGUCUUUAUGAAACAGAAAGGUUAGUUUUAGUAUCCAACGACGGAUCAAAGUUUCAAAGGGUGAAGAAAAAGUGAAAAAUGUUUUUUUUUUUUAAAUUUUUUUAUAAUUAUUCAUGUCACUUGUGAUUAAUUUAUUUCAAAUAUACAUACAAGUGAAAAAUUGUUAACAUAUUAUACUCUGUACAAAAUUUACUUAAUUUAUAUCAUUUCACUUGUCAGUCAACUGAAUUUCGUUUCUUACUGUCGUUUGAUCUAAAACUUUUUUCAUGAAAUUCAUUGUAAAUUCUGAAAAGUAAUUAAAAUUUAAUUGAAAUUUCUUUUUAACAACUGUGUUUUAAUAAUUAUUUUAUAAAAUGAUUUGUAAUUGAUGCAUUUCAAAUAUAUUUUUGAAAAUAAAUUUAACAAGUUAAUAAAAUAUAGUGACAUAUAACAUGUAACUUAUUAUCAAGAAAAAGUUUGUAACAUUUAAUCGGAAAGUAGUUUUCUUAAAAAAAAAAAGUGCCAUUUUUUUAUUAAUUAGGAUAUAAAUAGGAGUUAAAUUUGAUCCUUCGGAUGUAACGAAAGCUGUGUUGUCUUUUGUAACUCCUAGUUAGAUUCGGAGUUCAAAACAUGUCACAUCAACUGAUUUCUUGGUUUGUUCGAAUAAUCAUUGCUUAUAUGUGUGGAAACUAAUAUUACAUGUAUACAAAAGGUUAAUAUUUGCUAAAUAUUUAAGUAUAAAUAUUUUUUUAACAGUAAAUUUUAUUAUUCGGAGUCAAAUGACUCGGUUAUGAACUUAUAAUUAACAGUGAAAAUAUUUUUUUUUUCAUUUUUUAAAAAAAGUUAAAAUUUUAAACUUUACUCCAAAAAAAAAAAAACAUUGGUUGUUAGUUAUAGUUCUUACCUAGUUAUAAAAAAAAUGCCACGAGCUUUUCACACACUUUUAAUUUGUUGAUUUUGACUAGUACAAUGUUUUUUAUUUUAUACGUUCACUCUAAGAUAUAUUUUCUUCAAACAAAAAAUUUAUUAAGGGUUAAAUAUGUUUUUAGUCCCUAUACUUUGGAGCGAUUUUGGUUUUAGUCACACUUUCAAACUAUAGUACAAUUUAGUCCUUCAACUUUAGAAAACUCUAGUUUUAGUCUUUUUUACCAAAUUUUUUUAACUUUAUUUGCUGUUUCAAACACGUUACAUUAUAGCUCCAAAAUUGUACUAUAAUUUGAAAGAGAGACUAAAACCAAAAUCGCUCCAAAAUAUAGGGACUAAAAACAUAUUUAACACAUUUAUUAACUAUUUAAUUAUCUAUAUUUUAAGGCUAAAGACCAUUUUCCCAGUAAUAUCACUUAACAAAAGUUGAACUCUAAUUUCUCAUAUUGAUCAAAAUCAGUUUGGAAAAACAGUUUAAUUAAUUUUUAAAUUAAUAAUUUCUUACUAAAUAGGAACUUAUGUAGUGUUUUAAAAAAAAUAGUUUUUUUAAUGGUAUAUUUUAUAAGUGUACGUGUAAUAUGCAUUUAUAAGUGUUUAGAUAAGUAUUUGGGUCAUAUGCAUUUAAAUAGUUCAUGUAAUAUGUAUUUAUAAGUGUUUAGAUACACUAUUGAUAAAAUUGAUAAAUGAUUAAUCAAUUUUGAACUAUUUAAAUACAUAUUACACGAACACUUAUAAAAUAUACCAUUAAAAUAAUUUUUUUAAAAAAAAAACUAAUUAUUAGAAACUAGUAAAUUUUAGGUUUAAAUUUCUUUUUGGUCCCUAAGUUAUGUUCAGUUUAGUUCCCGCUUUUAAAAAUGUAAACUAAGUUAUAAAAAAUGUAUCAAAUGAGUCAUUUUUUAAUGUUCAUGGUCAAAGUACAAAGAGUAAUAUAAAUUGCUGUUAUUAUUAAGAAACAAAUCAAAACAAUCUAAAGAUGUAGCAGUUGUUAAGAAACAACAACCAAAAACAGUAUUUCAAGUCAAAAAAGACUCAUUUGAUACAUUUUUUAUAAAUUAGGGACCAAAGAUUUACAUUUUAAAAAACGGGACUAAACUGAACAUCCGCUUAUAACUUAGGGACCAAAAAGAGGUUUAAACCUAAAUUUUAUAAAAUUAUUAGGGAUAAAUAAACUUAUCAUAAAUAUUUUGUCAAUUACACUUGUGAUAAGAAAUACAUAUCUUCCUAAACAAUGAUAAUUAGUAUGUUGUCAAUACUUGGAAAACAACUGUUACCCUUUUUAUUAAAUGCGUGAUUAAUAUAAAUUUAGAUUAAUUACUUCAAGAAUAUGUUUAAUAAAUAAAGAAUCCCUUUAUAAAUAAAUUAAUAUGUUAAAUUUAAAAUUCACAUCCUUUAAAACUUCAAACCUAAAUUUCAAUUUUAGCUCGUUUACACUAAAGUGUAAUUCUUUUAUACAGGAGAUAAAAUUGUAUUAAGCUUAAAUAUAAUUUAUUUAACCAACACUUAACUGUUAAAUGUUUGAUUCCGUUUAACUUACAGUAGUUAACAGUGUGGCCGAAUUACAUGAAAAUAACACUUUACUUUUUCCUUAAAAAAAAAAAAAAAUCUAACUGCGGUGAAGUUUGAAGCUUACUGUAAUAUUCUAUUUUGCUCCAACUGGUUGAUGAUCUCACAUAUUCUACUUUAACAUUUUUUAUUGUCCAAAUGCCUUUUAAGCAUUUCGAUGUUAAAAAUAGGUGUUUUUAAAAUGAUAUUUUUUAUUUAUUUUUAUAAUGAGGUAUAGCUGUUGAUUUAGUUAUUAUUUUUCUAGUUUUAUACAUACUAAGAUCUUUAUAUAUAGUUGUUUUGUUUAACAUUUUUUAUGAAAGUAAUUUUUAAAGUGAAUGCAAUUUCAAAAUAAACUAAUAAACUAUUUUAAUCAUUAGUUUAAAAUGAAUUUAACAUGAAAUUAAUAAUUGAUAUAUUUCUAGCUUUCAGUGUAAUCCUUUUUCAAAGUAAAAAUAUUAAUACUUAGCUUAAUUUAAUGUAGCAUUCACACAAUAUUGUAUCAGUACUCCCAUUCUAACAUGGUUCAAUUAAUUUUAUCAGUCAUAAGUACUACUAGUUUAUUUCUCCAAAUUAAAUAUCUAUUAAAUUAUAAAAUUUUAAUUUAAGUUCGUCAAAAGAAUAUUUUAUCUAUAUUUUAUCCUUAUUAUUAUGUUGUCUAUUUUAAUUAAUUUUUAAAACAAUUUCAUUUUUUUCACUUGUUUUUUACCAUAAUAAUUUACUUGUUUUUCAUGUUAAUUUGUACUGCCUGUAUACGAUAUUAUUACCAAAAUUAAUAGAAGGUAAAUGACCCGUUUUGUUCGCAUGUUAUGUAUGUCAAUAAGGCCCAUGCAUGCAAUAUUAGUGGGGUAAUUUUUGUUAGAGUAGUGCUAGUAAGAAAAAAAAAUCCCCAAGAAUAUGAGUCUUAUUAAGGAAUUGAAAUAAUUUUUUUUUUAUUACAAAUAUAUGAAAAUAUAUUUUAAAAUGAUAAAAAUGUGUUUUUAUGUAUUUUAGUAAAAUCAGUGACUCUGAUGAGUUAACGUAAAUUUCCUUUUAAGUAACCUCAUGUUUGUAUAUAAUUAUUCAAACUGCAACAUUUUUUUAUUUGUUUUAUUCUUUUUAAAGUAUCCAAUAAAAUUAUUCAAUCCCAUUUCCAAAACCCUUUAAAAUAAACUUAAAAAAUAAAAACAGUCAUCGUGUGUUGUGUAAUCUUUAUCGAAUAUUUAAAGAGUCUAAAUAAACCUGUUUAUAUUUUUCCAUUCCAUUGCAAAAUAAUAUUUUAACACCAUUUUUUGACACUAUUUUGACACUGCACACUUGUCAAAAUGUGAUUAGACGAUUUCAAAUUAAAAAAGUUGAGAUAGGGGUAUAUUUGGAAGAGAAAAAUUAAAAUUUAUUUUUUCAAUUUGAGAUCGUCCAAUCACAUUUUGACACGUGUGCAAUGUCAAAAUGAUGUUAAAAAAUGGUGUUAAAAUAUAUUUUCCUUAUUCCAUUAUUACAAUUACAAAAGAAAAUAUAGCCCAGAAUCCCUUUAUAUGUUUUGUCGAUUUCUGUAUUUUGCAUUGGUGUUUUUGUUUGAUAUGAAUUUUGUGUGAAUGUCUUCCUCCCAAUAUUUGAUAUCCUGAGUACUCCCAUAAGCUCUGCUCCAUAUGCAAAAGCAUAGCAAAUUAGCCAAAUUUAGAAUGAAAAGUAGGCCAUAGUAGUAAUCAUAGUGUCCUCUGUUAAUAUUUGAUGCCAGCCAACUAUCUUUUCCUCCUUUCUUUGUUCCAUCUUUCACAGCCUUCACAAUCAGGCUUCCGACCAAGUUCCCUACUCCAAGGCCAAGGGUACACAGCGAAACAGCAACACUAGACAUAGUUUUCGGAAACUGAGAGUAAUAAAACUCAAGUUGUCCGAUGAAAUUAAGACCUUGCGCUAAACCACAUAGACAGAAUUGCGGCACCAACCACAUGGCUGUCAUGUUCACCACUCCUUUCGGGUUGUCCAUAAACCCUUCCUCUAUUGCUUCAUUUCUUCUCUUCUUCUCUACCAAUGUCGCCACUAUACUGGCCAAGCAUGAAAUCACUAGCCCAAUUCCCAUUCGUUGUUUUUCAGUGAGUACUCGCUCCUUAGGGAGCAAGGGAACUAAAAUUCUAUCAUACAAAAUCACCCAUAGGGUCAGAGUCACGAAUAUAAAUGCAGUGAAGUUUGUCGGUGGGAUAUCCCUAUUCAACACCACUCUGUUCAUGGUUUCUGCUUGAAUCACUGAAAAUGAUUGCUGGCUUAUGGUAGUAGCAAUUAUUAUGCCAGUAGACCAAAUGGGUAAGACUUUGAUUAUGGCUUUCAAUUCCUCUACUUGUCUCACUGUGCAAACACUCCAUGGCUCUAUGGCCAUCCCAUCACAGUCCAAAUCUUUCUCUUUGUUCUUUAUCAUGCAAGCCUUGUUCAAGAACCUCGGUAGAGACAACAAACCAACCAAAUUUAUUAUUUAUUAUUUAUUAUUAAACACACAAUACAAAGCAAAAAGCAAGAUUCUCACAUGAAAUUUCUUGUAUGACUAACUACUAUACAUACCUUACUUUGUCUGUUGGUUGAACAAAAUUAGAGCCAUUGUGGAAAUACCAGAUGUCAGAGUUCUUUGGAGGUAAAGGUAAGUGUCUGUUUUUCCAAGCUGCUGCAAUCACUUGGGCAAAGCCUGUGAACAGGGUCUUGUUUGGUUUCACUUUGAUGUAUAUGGAAGAACCCAAAAAAAACAAGAUAGCUGAAAAUGACAUAAGCCCCGUCGAAAUUCCAAAACCCACAAUCCACCCUGUUGCAACUUGAACAUACACUAUUAAAGUCAUUGAAAUCGUUACGGAAAGGCCAACCGAAACAUAAUACCAAUUGAAGAAACUCUUCAUGGUAGUCUCGUUUUGUGAGUUUUCAGGGUCGUUGAUUUGAUCAGCAGUAAAGGCUAAGGUACACGACCUAAUUCCAGCGGCUCCAAGAGCCAUGAGAAUCAAUGAAGAAAAAAGAAUCAGGAGUUGAGAUCCUGUAGGAUUUGCACAAGGUUCUAUAUCACACUGAGGUCUUGCAUGCCUAAUAAUAGCAGUGAGCCACAGUACAACUAAGCCCUGCCCACAAGACAAAAACCAAGACGAAGGAAAUUCAAGUAAGUUUUGAUGCACUACGCACCAAAUAUAACUGAUAAGGAGCUAAAUUUAAAUGGUUUAAGAGUGUGGUUGUAAUGGCUUACAACAAGGUGUAUGAUUGUUCCGAGUGCAACAACAGAAAAUCGUCCAAGCCAACAGUCAGAAAGUAAAGCACAAAAGAUAGGCAACAAAUUUGUGAAGGCACUCCACAGGAAUAUUACAAUGGCUGCAGUUGCAGGUUCAAAAUGAUACUCCUGUAGCAAGUACAAUAUCAUGUUUACACGAAGCGCCACUACUGCAAUCUUUUCAAAGGUCUCAUUUGCUAAAAUAAGAAGAUUGAAAAUCACAACUUGGUUAGAACUCUUUUACUUCACUGCCAGUAACACAAGAUUUCGCCAAAAGAAAAAACAUGAUAUAUAUUAUUUGAUAAAAAUGGUCAUCACCUAUGAUUAAGGGGAGAGUUCUGUAACCACCCUUUUUCCUUUCAACGAGUUCAGUGCCAUUAUUCUGCUCCAUUGGUAUCUCCCUUUUUCUUCUGCUACAUGAAAGGUUACACACAAAAUAUAAUUGAAGCCCGUUACUACAACAGAAAAACUUUAGUUCAUAUAAACUCAGACUUAUGUACAACGCUCUUUCUUUACUUGAUUGAGAACAAUAUUAUAGUAAUUUGUUGUCGUAGCUCAGUUAUAGAAGGAGAUGAGUAUUUGUUGCAAACAACCAAUAAUUGUCUUAUAAAGGAAAACAAAAUUAUAAUUAGCACACAAAAAUACUAAACAAUUUAGUUAGUAAGAGGAAGUACAUGAAAUGGGAUUCAAUUGGUUUUGAUUCUCCGUGGACUCCAUCUUGAACUUGCGUGAAGUGAAAAAUGCGUUGUAUCGUAUAUGUGACUCCACCGAAUGAAAGGGUAAUUAACUGUCACACGGCGGAUCAAGGUUUCAGAGGGUGAAAAAAAAAAUGUCAUUUCAAGUGUGAUGGAUUAGCUUUAUUUUUUAAUUGCCAAUUUGAUAAAAAUAAUCUUGACAAAAUUGAUUUUGUAAGAGCUUAAAAGAUAAGGUCUUAGAACUUAUUAUCUAUUUAGAUUUAAUUCUUUUAAUAUUAAAAAUUUAAAAUAUAAAUAAAAAAUUAUUAUUCAGUUUUAUUAUAUAAAAUAUUAUUAUUCUAAAAUUUUUUUAUCAUCUUUUUAAGUUUUUUAAUUCUUGUUAAUUUGUUUGAAGAUCACAAACUCUGAGUAAUUAUUGAGAGACUUUUUUCUUUAGUAUAUAUGUUUUUUUCUGUGCAUGUGAACAAUUCUUAUGUACAUGUGGAGUUUGAGUUUUCUAUAAGACCCUUUGCUGGUCAAUGGUUCUAACGGUAUGUCGUGAUCAUAUUUAUGUGAUUCGUAGGAACAUAUAGAGUUCUUUGAGUUGUUAGAGUAUUUUUAGGAUCCUUAGAACUACUUGAUCCUCUAAAACGUAAAGAAAGCUAAAUACCAAGUUCUGAUGCUAUGCAACUUUGUGCUUGCAUGUUUGGUUUAAUUGAGAUUGAUAUAACUACUAAAAGUGUUGUUGAAUUGUUGAGAAAUUUGUUUGUGUAGUAUGGUUGUGAUGUUUGUUUUUGUCUGAAUUGGUGUUAAGCGGAGAGACUGAAGAUCUGACCAUUUGAGCAAAUUGGUAUGCACUUUGACACUCAAACCUAUUUUUGAACCAAAUACUAAGUAAAAAAUAUCAAUUUGAUCAUCCAAAUAGGUCCUUCAUUCCCCAAAUUACAGCUUUGAAUUGUGUAAGUUUUUUGUAUGAGACCGAGCGAUGCUGUUGUGGCAUUAAGCAUAGCUUAGUUGUACAAGUCUGGAAACAAUUGUGGACUAGACCACUGAAGGCCAACUUUACGACUGAGUGACCAUUUUAGAUCUAGCAUUGAGUGAUGACAGGAUACCAUUGAGCAUCACUUUUCAUCACAGGUCUAGAAUCUUUUUCCUCAAAAUUUGUUAAGCAACAUGUUAGUCUCGCUAAAUGAGACAAUUUGCAAAAAUUCUGGCAUUGAACGCUUCCUUUUGCGAUAAGUUUUUGCAUGAGCGUCAAUCUGAUCGCCAAGGUGAUUUUCUAAUCCAUUGUUUGCUAAAAUAGUUUAUUACGGAUUCUAUGUCUAUUUAUUAUGGAUUUAUGAUGGCUCAUAGAUUAUAUCAUGACUGGAAGUAUGUUUGAUGUAUGUUGUAAAAGGAAUUUCAAGAAGUUUCUUGUAAUGAUUUCAAUAGUAUUGAUGUAUGAAUUUCACGUUAAGACAUUAUUCUAACGUUCUAAUAAUAAUCCAAUCUCAAAUAAAAAAAAUUAAAAUAUGUGACAAAAGAUAGAAAAUUAUAAUUUAAAAGUUUUAUCGUGACCUAAAAUGUUAACGGAUUAACUUUCAUCAUAAUAUGAAUUGAAAUAAUGUGUACAACAAGGGAUGAAAGGUUCAAAGAAGAAAAAAAUUACGUAAUUUAUGUUGUUUUACUUAUUAGUGUACUGAAUUUCGUUUUUAAGUGUUCGUUUGAUCUAAAACUUUUUUGAUGAAAUUCAUUGUAAACACUGAAACGUGUUUAAAAUUUAAUUGGAAAGUAGUUUUCGUAAAAAAAUGUGACUUCUUUUAUUAAUUAGGAUAUAAAUAGAAGUUAAAUUUGAUCCUUUGGAUGUAACGAAAGCUUUGUGUGCUCUUUUGUAACUCCUAGUUAGAUUCGGAGACCCAAAGAUGUCGCAUCAACCGAUUUCUUGGUUUGUUCGAAGAAUCAUUGCUUAUAUAUGUGUGAAAACUGAGAUUAAAAGGCUAAUAUUUGGUAAGAGUCUGAGAAUGAAUAAUUUUUUUCACACCUAUCAAAUUUUACUUUUCUGAAUCAAAUGACUCGGUUAUGAGGUAUAGCUGUUGAUUUAGUCAUUAGGUUUAUAUAUACUAAGAUCUUUAUAGUUGUUCUUGUUUAAAAUUUUAUAUGAAAAUAUUUUUUUAAAGUGAAUGAGAUUUCAAAAUAUAUUACAAACAUCCUUCCAUAAGAAAAGGAAAACAAAUAAAAAGAUAACUUCACAUGUAGGAAUCUAAUCACGUAUCUACGAGUUAAUGCUAUGAAAAAUAUAUUUUGAUACUUAAACAACUUUUUACAUUCAUUUAAUUUAUUUUUUUAUUUUUUCUUAAAAAUACAAAAAAUUACUUUUUCUUAACGUAUAAAAUAAAUGUAAAUAUGUCAUUUAUCAUUAUUCUUAAUCUUAUGUACAAGGCAUUUGGAUAUACAGUUCACGAAGAACCUAAAAUGAAAGUAUUAACGAAUCAAAUAUUGUGAAGUUCAUCUAUGUCUUCCCGCAACAGCUGUACUCUCAAAAUCUUCGGUUAAUUCAUUUCCCAAGCCUGCAGUACCAGAGAUGUAGUAACUGUCAAUGGAAAGCUCUAUCAUUACAGUUUCCUUUGUAUCUGAUUUGGAACUUGGAACAAUGUACAAAUGCUACAUAGACAGUGCAUUGAUGACAAAAUAAACACGCAGGACUUUGAACUCUAAAAGGUGAGCCAGAGUAAAAUUUCAAUCGUUUAAUAAUUGAAUAAGGUAAGAAGUCACCUGAAUUUGUCCAUCUGAAGUUCCAAUUACCAAAACUUCUUCAUUCCUGUCUAGAGCCAUGCAAUUGACCCUACAAUUGGUACCCAUUUGCAACGUGUCAACUUUACUGCUUUUCUUCUUAUCCCAAAUUUCCACAGUACCUCCUUUGCACCCCAAAUAAAUCAAUCCUGAGCUCACUGCCAUAGUCCGCACUUCUGAUCCAGUUUGCAGUGAUCCAACCAUACUGUAACUGGAACUGUUCCAUAUCUUGACAUUUAUAUAUAUGUGCAUCAGUUAGCUAACUAUGAUAAUGGCAUGUCAUCUUUACAAUUAACACCAAGUAGCUUAUACAUUUUCUGCCCUUCGGAAUUCAAAAUAUCAUGAAACCCGGGGUUUCUAGCUAGAAUUUUAACUAUUUUUUACCUUUCUAUAUACUGCUAAAUCAAAACGAGUCUAAGAUACCUUUACAGAAGAUCCAUCCAUGGAAGAACCAGCUGCAUAUAUAAGUUCACCAUGAAUUUGUAUUGCAUGAAUAGGAUUUGCUUUCGCAAGUAAUCUUUUAUAACCACUUUGAAUAGUGUUGACUGUUCCAGUGGCCAAAUGUAUCUCCUGAAAUAUUACGUGAAUAUUAUUGCAAGAAUGUUGAUAUAGCAUCCAUUAGACUGUCUCACACUUAAAAAAACUCUAUACCUGAACACUGCUGUCAUGACAUCCACAAUAUAACUUCCCAUUGACAUGAGCCAAACACUUCACAUAUUUGCUAGAAUUUAACACUUUUGACUCUCCAUUCAGUGACUGAACCUGAUGAGAAAGCCAAGUAAUUUCAGUAGAAAACAAUGCUGGGGAGUUUGUUUUCAAUCACAUAAUAAGUCACACGGGAAUAAAAUAAAGUAAACGGUACAACUUGCAGAUCAAAGCAAAGUAAAGAGCACAAUGUUUGAUACUACGGUUGAGUGUGACAGAGGCAUUGAUAAUAAAGAGACUAGUGUUAUUUUACACUGUAGAUUGUAUAAAAGAAGUGAUCAGACUCUCUCAGCACCAUUCAAAUAAGAACAUGCAUUCAUAGUUUAAGAGUACCUUGACACCGGCCCCCUGCGGAAUGAAACAAGCUAAGCUAUUGGUUACAACUAAAUUAUGAAUCUGGUCCUUCAUGUCAUACACCUGUACACAAUGUAUUGCUGCCUUUCCAAUAGACCAGACCUGUUAUUUAAUGAAACAAAACCUUUUUUAGCAGACGGCUUGACAUCGAAGCUAGAGUAACUACCUAAAAUUUUACCUUUGAAGUUCGGUCAAGUGAACCACUGUAUAGCCUGUCACCAGACUCUGAAAUCACCAAGUUUGUCACUGCUUUAGUAUGUUCUUGGAUUUCUUGCAACAGAUGGAAUAAAUUAUUCUUUAAUGUCCAGACCUUCAGAAGUUACAGAAUAUUUUCCAGUCAGUUCAUAUUACAGCAAGGAUGCAGUUUGCAACCAAUUGAAACAAAUAUUGUUUUUUACAAAAAAGGACAUUUAAAUAAACUACAACAGCCUUAGGAAAUAUGUCUCUGUUCACACUUAAAUCCUUAUUCAUUAGAAUUUACAAAACAUGUAACAUUUUAAUCUGAUCACCUUAAUCGUCCCAUCUGUAUGACCAGAAAAUAUUUUAUCCUUAAAGCAUGUGACAGACACCACCUCUCCAUUUUCGCUGCAGUCUUCUUUUAUGAGCUCUUUAUGUAUCCAAAUGUCCUGUUCCGAUGGAGAAAUUUAAAUAAUCCACAAUGCCUGAUUGCCUCUACUAGAAAAUGAGUUAAGAAUACAAGAACUUACCGCUUUAGAUUCAUUUUCUUCAACCAGAGAUUUUAGCAUUUUAGAUGCUAAGGGACAGGAUCUCUUCAACUCUCUCAAUGCUCUUAAGAUAUCCUUAGUGUAGGGAGUUAGAUCACCUAAGCCUUCUGAAAUUCACAAUAUAACAUAUCAUCACCCUUUUUCUAUUUUGCAUAACAAUGACUUGCAGGAAUUCGAAAACAUAAAUAUAUAGAAAGUCUCGUAUCAUGUAGAAGGAAAAUAUUUUGAACUUUUUCAUUCCCAAUAAUAGACCAAGAAAGCAUCCAAUAUUAAUAUAGAUGAUAUCUGAUCUAAAUCAACGCUGAAUUCUGUAACUUUAGUGGCUUAUCAUGCUUCGAGGAACUGCUCAUCAGCGCUUAUUCCUUCGUUUUUAGACAAGACUAUUGCUACCACAUUUUGAAAUGAUGAUUGUAAGCUGAGUUCUAAUUAAUGGCUUUUUGAACCUUACCAGGGAAAUGAAGAAAGCUAUUGAGAGCAACCAUAGAGAGGAUUCUGUCUUCUACAUCCCUAGCCGAAUUUAAUUUAGAUAUGAAGUGCUUCAGCAAGCAAGCACGAGCUGCUACUUGUAUGCCUGUAUCCGGUAGAAUGGUCAACAUGUACGUGAGCCAGGUAGCUGACAUAAAGCAUGCUGAUCGUAGUUCUGGAUUUCGGCUCUUCAUGCCAUCAGCUAAAGCCUCAAAAAUAGUGCCAAAUUCAUGGCUAACUAGAGCAUAUGCAAUUCUUCUUUCCGAAUCAUCAGCUGCCUUCUCGUCUUCCUGUUGAUGCCAAACAAAAAAUGAGGCAUAAAAAAAAAUAUUUGGCAAGGAGAAAGCACAAAGUCAACAUAGAAGAAAUGUUUCAAAAGACUUUACUGGAGUUAUAUCAAUUUCUGGACUGGAGUUGCUAAUCGGAUGGCCCACCAGUACAAGAUUUCUGGAACUUUUCUCAAUACCUGCACGUUUAAGGAGGACUUCUCUGCAUAGAGGGUUUCCGAAGAAGUCGAAGCUCCCUUGCAGUGACAUGAUCGUAUCUGCAGCUGCUAAUUGGGUAACGGGGAAAUCUGUGUUUCUCAGGCAUGCAAUAAGAGUAUCCAUAGCCUCUUCACGGUAUACGCUCAUUUUUCUUGGCUCAUCCUAAAAGUAGCACGAGGAAAAUUAAGCCCCUAUUACUUGUAAAACAGCAUUUUAUCGUGGGCAGAAAAGAAAAUGAUAAUGUAAGAAGAAAUACAACUAGUUCUUAUAUUUAAGAUAUAGGGAGCGUCAAAGAUUCACACCAGAAGAUCAAGUUGGAGUAAGAGGCCAGCCAUAACUGGACAAUGAUCUUGAGGAGCUGCCUGCAAAUAAAUAAGAAGAGUAUGCAUUGUGCUAAAUGGUCCUUCUUCCUUUAUAAUAUGGAGAAUUUGUUCAGUGAAUGUCCUCCUGAAGGGAAUCCCAGAAGAAGCUAUCAAACAAACUAAAAGGUAGAUUAAUUAAUUAGAUUAGUGUAAUUAUAAAUAUGAAAUAUUUAUACCUGUUUAAUUUGACCAACUCAGCAAAAAACUGAAUAAUCUUAAAACGCUCUCCAUCAUCUGCACCGAUUAAGGUUUCCAUAAGUGGAGACAACUCUGCUUUAUCAGCAAUGUUCUUUCUGCAAGUCCCAUCUUCUUCCAUGCAUCUCAAUAAGAUCUCUACUGCAGCAAUCCUCUCCUUUGCCGAGUCAGCUCCAAAACUGCUGACAAUAGUUCCAAUUGCAUUUUCAGAGAAAAGGGUAUUGACAACCGAUGAUGCAAUUAUCUCUUCACUGCUUCCAGUUAUCCUGGCAAGUAAAAGCACUGCAGCUGUUUUUGGCUUCAAACACAUCGUAACCAAUUCUUCCUCCUUCGUAUUCAAAACCGUUAUGAGAGACUCCACUAUGGCCAUCUCCGCAAGACUCGUGAUGGGAGGGUUUAGCAGAUGCAACAACACAACAGCCUCUGUCAACCCGUUCUUGAAAAGAGCCAUGAUACAUUCUACAUCAGUCUUCACACGGGUUAGAGUCUCGAUAACAGCGUUGUCCCUUGACCCCAUCUCGGCUAGAAGGAAAACUGCUGCUUGUAGCACCUGGGGCUCCACAGAAUUGAAAAGAAUCUCCAUAAAUCCAUUGAUUAUCGCAGGUUUUACUAACAUUCUAUGGAUAUCCACUCCAAGAUUCACUCCUCUCCAGAACUUCUCAACUUGAAGCACGGCCAUUUCCGAUUCCUUGAGAACCUCUGACAUGUACAGAUUAUUGAUGGCACAGCGUAACUCACUCAUCAUCCCGUCAACUGUGGCUUGGGUUAUAACGCUAUUAGGAGAAGUUGAAGCCGUUGUUGACUGCACAACUGCCUCGGUAUCUUCGUAUGGACUCUCAUACGGCGGUUGGACCAAAUGGGGGUUGCGAUCUUUCCAGCUUGCAAUUAGUCGUUUGAGCACAUAAUUUGUUUUGGGAAGCUGAGUGUUUUGCAGCUUCUGGCGAGUGAUGGGACAGGUUAAGUUCCCUCUGUUGAACCAUUCCUCGAUAGCUUUACGUUCAUACGUUUGACCAGUCUCAAGAGUCACUGGAUCAUCAAAUAUGUGACUUGUUAUUGGACAGACAAAGUCCUUGGGGGGUGCAUGUUUCCCAAUUUCAUGCAGCGGGUUAUCGAAGUCGGCCAUAGGAGGAUAAUCUGGUGAACUACAAAUAUGAAUAAUCCAAGUUAAAGAAUACGCAGCACACCACGAGAUAAUGAAGAAUAAUGGUGGUUGUUAAAUAUUAACGUACCCACUAUAUUGUUUGAAGAUGGUUUGCAUUUGUUCUUGAAUUUGGCUUUGUUGAGGCUCCAACAAUGCAAUUUUGUUUUUUUCCUACAGGACAGAGCUUUAUCAUCACUUAGCGUUUCAAUAACUAAAACAACUGUCAUAGAAAAUUCAGUCCCCCUUGGAAUAUUUUCUCGGCACACUCUCUCGGUAGCAUCAAUUACGUACCUCAUUUUCUACCUCAGAAUCUGAAGAAGAACUAACCAAACUCUCGUCUGAAGAAAAAUCGGCGUCAGCGGUUGAGUUUAAAUAGACUGUCGUUGUCCAAGAUUUUGAAGGAUUUUUGGGUUUGAGAAUUCUGGAAAAGACUCUUUGAGGAUAAAAUGGUUCCUGGGAAGAUCUUCUGCUGGAACUGGGGCUCAAUAAUUCAACAGAUGCUUCCCUUUCGGACCACAUUGGCUGCAGCAAAUCGUAGGGAAAAAAAGUGUGACAGGAUGAUUAUGAAAUGAAAGUGCAGUAUGUUAAAUUCUAACAUAAUUAUGAUAAAAAAAACACCAAUAUUUAAUAAACUCUAUUCUUCUUUUCUUCUUUUAUCAUACUACAAACCUACAUUUAUUUCUUUUAUUUCUUUCUUUAGAUGAGCAUUACCUCCUACAAUCCUACUUAUUUCUGUUUUUCAUUCUCUAAAGGUAGAUGUUAUGUGCAUGAAUGUCUAUCAAACGUUUUCGAAUAUAAUAUUCUCCUAAUAAUUCAGAAAGCAACUCCCAUCUCUUAACUAUUUAAUAUUACCUUUUUUUCCUGUACACUAUUUUUUAACCAGUCAAAAAAUUCUUCUAAGAUCAUCUCGUAUUAUUUUCUCUUUACUUUAUUAUAUAUAUUUUUUAUUUUAAAUUAAAAUUUCACAAUUUAUCAAAAUACGUUUUUAACAAUUAAAAAUAAAAGUAAAUCAUAAUUUUAGAUAUAACUUAUCUAUUUAAAAUAUUCACUUAUAAUAAAUUUUAGUUCUAGAAAAGAAUACGUAUCCUAUAUAUUACUAACUAAAAUACCAGUUAAAAGAAAAAAAAGAAUUAUUUUCGUAAAAGCACCUUCGAAGUAGAGUUAUUAAAACGUUUCUUUUUUAAGACAAAAACAUGACAAAAUAGAAAAUAAAUAAUGCAAGCGUACUCAUGUUACAUGUUAUUAGACAUUUAGAGAGAGAAAGAAAAAAAAUGUGAUAAAUAAUAUAUAAAUUGGUGUAUGUAUUAUUGAGCAAGCAUCUUUCUAAGCUAGCUGAUGAAAAUAAUCAUAUGUAAGCUCGAGAGAAAAAAUCGUAAUCCAGUUAAUUAAAUAAAAGUUUAAUAAUGAUUAUAAAAAAGUUUGAUACGUGAUUUAUAUAAUUAAUUUGAUUAUUGUUUUGAACUGUCUGUAUAAUUCAUUUAUUUAUAAAUAAAUAGCUAAAAUUAAAAUCCUUAGAUAAGAAAAGCAUAAGAACAGAAAUGCAACUGAUGAAAAGAGUAACGAAUUGGUGAAAAGUAGAUAUACAACAUUACAUUAUACCGUCCGUUCUCCAACAGAUUCGUUCGCGUUAUCUCCUCCCUUAUGUUCUCCCUGCCGCCACCUUCAGCACCGCUCUUCAUUAUCAACGACGGUGGACUAAUCCUCGCGUCACUGUUCUCGUUCACCAAAACCUCUUUGAAAUACUCUGCGAGAACCCUACAGUUGUCGUCGAGAACCUCUUCGUACUCUUUCUCCACCUCCCGGAGCUUUGCGGCCUGCUCCUCGCUCAUCUUCGACAGCACCUUAGCGCAAGGCAGUACCACCGAGUACUCCUCAGAAACUGAAUAAUCAUUUUCAUGUAUGGAGGUUGAGGGAGUGGAGGAGAGAAUCUUCGUCCUCUGCUCGUCGAACCAGCGGAAGACAGGGAAGAGGUGUAGAGAAAAGAGGCGCUCGUAGAGUGCAGGAGCGAUUUCCGAUCUAGCGAGUGAAGCGUUUUUGUUGCUGCUGUUGUUGGAGUGAAAGAUUCGGAGGAGGCUGGUGGCGGAUUCGGUUGGACGGUUACAGAGGGCGUGGGCGAGCGAGAGGAGUAGCGAGGAGAGGGCGAAGUCGGGGAGAGGGAGGAGGAGCUUCUCCACGAGAGACAGUGAGGAGGCGCGCAGGGCGGGGCUGGAGAAGGAUAUCGCGCUUUCUAGAGUGUCUGCGGCGAGUUUGAGGUGCUUUUGGUCGGAGAUCGGAGUGUCCCGGAGAAGAGUGGUGAUGAGGCGGCGCCGUAGUUCAGAUUGCGAGAGAACGGAGGAGGUGAAUGCGGCGGUGUGGCGGAGGAUCUGAGAUCGAGUGGUGACCGUUACGGUGGUCAUGGCGGUGGGAAUGUUAGUGAAAGUUGGGUGCGUUUAAGGGUACACGAAUAUGACGUUAACGGAAAUAGCAGUUAACGGUUUUGAUUGAAUUUGCCGGAAUGGGAAGUCUCGGGCGGCACCUUUUGAAAUGACCCAUGUGUCCCUUGGUUUGGUCUCAGGCACUUACUUUUAUAAUAAGUAAACAAAAGAACGACUCAUACUUCAUUAGGGUAAAGUAAAAAUAUUUUAUAUGCCAAUGUUAUAUUCAUGUCAUAAUCUAUGUUUUGUCUGUAAUUUCUUUGAACUUCGUUGUUUAAGUGGUGAUGAUAGUAAAGAAAUCGGUCCAAAGAUAUUGUGGUGAGAUAUAUAAUCUUUUUUUACUAUUGGCGUCAAAACUAUAUUCAGAUAUUGUGAAAGGACAGAGAUACCUUAAUUGGUCUACAGUAAUUGCUCCCACAUUACAUGUAGCCAACACCUUAAUUUGUCGUUUCUAUAAUUUCGGUUGUAAUCACAAAUUAAUAAUUUACGUUUUCUUUCUUGUUUUGUUAUAUAUAUGAGACAGAUUACAGUUUAAGAUUAAAGAAAGGAUGCAAUUAGAGACAGAGGGUGAAGUUAAAGAAGGCAACAUCGCCCACAGCUGUGUGCAAUGAGAAGUGGAGGAAGUCCAAAAGAGUAGGGUCAUUUUGGUAACUCUAUCCACUUCGAAAUGUGGCGGCAAAACACGAACAAGGUGUGGGACCAGUUUGCCGCCCAGCCGGCUGCAUUUGACAGGUAAUCAUUCUAUAGAGCAGAGUAGAUUCAUCACUUAUAUAUUAUUUUUUCUUAACUCAAUCAAGCUUCUUUUCUAAUUUCUUAACCAUACUUCCAAAUUAUUUAAAUCAUUUCUUCGCGUAAAUUCCACGUGCUUACUGAUUCACUCCAAAAAAUAUAUAUUUUCAUAUCAACUGUUCACAAUGACUUUAGCUAAUUUGAUUCUUUCAAAAUUUUGGUCCUUUUUUAAAGUAUCGAUUACUUUAAUCACUAUGUACAGUUUAGGAUUAAAACACUCUUUAAGAAUAUAUAAUAAUGAUAUAUUUUUGAAUGAUCAAUCCAGAAUCCAUUACUAAAUUCAAAAAUAUAUUUGGAAAUAUUCAAUCUCAAAUACAUGGGUGUUAUCCAAAAUUACUAAUCCAGAAUACAUUACCGGAUCUAGGAAUGCAUUACGGAUUGGUUAUUCUAAAGAGAUUUUCUUUUCUUAAUUUUUUUUUAAUAUAAUCUCUUAAAAGACAAAAAGGAGAAGUUCAAAAUUUACUCCGGUGAAGGAAGAAAAUUCGGGACUGCAGGAAGAAAUGGCCCAAGACCAUGACGUGGCCCGUAAGACCAAGAUCACAAUCCAUUUUUGAAUCAUGGGGCCGAAUUUUGUACAUCUAACCUGUUGACUGUCACUAAUGUUUUGUUUGACAGAUUGCAAAGGGCGAGUUAAAGAAAGGGCAGGAAAAGAAGUGGAAAAAGGUUAUUUGAUUACAAAUAAAUGCUGGAAAAUAAGACUGUUUUAUCAUUAUCAUAACAAAAAAAAGUAAAAAAUAAUAAAAUUCACAAUGCAUAACAACAAUCAUAGAAGAUUAAAAAUAGUUUGUCAAUAAAACUUGAAUAAAAAUAUAUGUUUUCUAAUCGUUUUUUCAGAAAAAGUAGAUCCAAUCCAUAUAAAUUAAGAAUAAAAGAUUAGUGAAAAAAAGAAUAAUCAAUGAUGACUUAUUAUAAUUGGUCUAGUCUACUUAUCAUAAUAAGUUGAAUGAUGACUUAAUAGUCAUAAAAAUAAUGUAUCUUAUGUAAUUCUUGUAAUAAUAAUACCGAAAUACCUAUAAUAACCUUUUUUUUAACGGUCAUAAAAUGUCUCAUGUACAGUGAUGAAAAGAGUUUGAACAUGACAUGAAAAUAAGGAUAAAGAGAAACAACGAUUUGGAAAACGAAAAACAUUCAUCACAUCCAAAAAAGAAUAAUUAGAGAAUGAAAUUUACAGUCUCACAUUAUUCUAACGUUUGUUAUCUGCUAUACAUAUAUGACUUGUCAUCUCAUACUUAUUAUUUCAUUCCAAACUUUAAAUAUUAUCUUUAUUGUUUAAUAGUUUUAUUAAAAAAUUGCCAUAUGGUUGUAUAAAAUUCAAGUGAUUGCAAAACAUUAUUUUCUUAUUUAUAGAAUUUGGUCUCAGUGAACUUACUUAACCUGUGCAAGUUAUAUUUAUAUAUAAAUUUCAUCUCCCCUCUCUCGAUGGAAGUGUUAAUGUGAUUUCAGUUUUAAUUAUUUGGUUCUAGAAUCCAAUUUCUUCAAUUAUAUGUAUUUAGUUUAUUUUUAAAUUAAAUAUUUUAUAUAUGUGUUAUUUUUACCUUUUCAAUGACUGAAAUUAACAUCAUCUUAGACAUUCAAGAAUUGCAUUAGUAUCUUAUUCCAAUUAAGAAAAUAAUAAGGAAACUGUAUGUGGGCCAAACUUUUUGCUUGGAAUUUUAUCAGAUUGGGCCUUGUAAUUUUUUUAUCACCGAGGAGACAAAAAGUGCACUGCAAAAACCCGGAAUUUGACAUUGAUUUCAAUUUAUUCUUUUUCUCUUUUUUUUUUUUAGUUUUAUAAACUGCGAAUUAGGUAAAUAUGUUAUUAUGAAAUUGAAUUUUUAAGUGAUUUUGUUUUCUUGAUGAAUAUUUUCAUUACCUUCUCUACAGUUAUUGACAGUUUUAUAAAAUAUAAUAAAAAAUUGGAAGAAUAAUAUUUAUAAACAAAUUUUAUAAUUCAUACUCGCCACUUCUUAUUGAAAAUUUGUAUACAGAAAUGUGUUCAUUUUCAAUUCACAUAUUAUGUUAUACUAGUCACACUAAGAAACAUAGAUUUUAUUUUAAUGAUUUUUUAAAGCUCCAAGAUAGAUGAUAUACUGAUGGAAACAAAGGGCAACAAGUUAUCAUUAUAUAUUAUCACAGUCUGGAAAAAUUCUGCCAAUAAUUUUCAAACAAAAAUAUCACAGGAAUUGAGUAAGUUUUCGAUUUCCUUAACAAAGGUAAUUCUCCAAUCACCGGAAUUGAGUUAGUUUUCAGUUUCCUUUGAAAUUUAUUAUUUCUUUUUGGAUUGAGAAUGAGAAGGUAAAAUACAAAGAAAAUAAAUAUUUGUUUAAUAGAUAGAAAUAAAUAAAGUAGUUUCGUUUUUUUGGAUAAACGAAAAAAAAGUAUAAAUGCUUUUCUUUUCUCUAUUUUCUUAUUUCUACUCAUGUAAAAUUAUCAUACUCUCCUCAUUUUCCUUUUUUAUUUCCUUCUUUCCUAAUAAUACACUUAUCCAAACAAGCAAGAUUGUUUGAAGUUCUCUUUUAUUGCAUUUACUUGAUGAUUCAUUAAUAGAAAUGAAAAUAAGUUAGGUCACUUGUAUUUAAAAAAAAACAUUUAAUAUAGUUAAAAAAAAGUCAUAUUAAUUGUAUUUAAAAAGUCUAUUAGAAAGUAAUAAAGAGUAUUACUGACGACUAGAAUCCCUCGGAAAACGCCAAAAAUCAUUGGUAAACAACACUUACUGACGGUCUGCCGACGAUCAAAAAACCAUCGAAAAAACCUUUGUCCCUAAUCAUUACCGAGGGAUUUUGCCCUUCGGUAAUUACCGAGGGUCAGAAGCCUUCGGUAAUUACCAAAGGGUAAAAGCCUUCAAUAAUUACUGAAGGCUUCUGGCCCUCGGUAAAGCCUUCAGCUUCAUCCACUCAAAUAUGAGUGAUAUUUGUCUUUCUUAAUCCAACCACACGUACCUGCAUAAAAAGUUCACAACAGAGACAAACUUGCAUAAAAGUUUCAAACCACAAACAGACCUGCAUAUUAUGCAUCCCAAAAUCAUCCAUUCAUUGAUGAAAAAUCAUAAUGUACAUUAUGUUCUAAGAAUAUCAUAAUGUAGCAAAAUCAUUCAUUUCUAAGCAAAGAUAAUGUAUCAAAUCAUAAUGUACUAAUAACAUCAAAAUGUACUAGUGAUCCUAAUGUAGCAAAAUCACUAUGUUUUAACAAUUAUGAUGAAUAACAAAAUCAAACUAAAAUUGUACAUAGUCUUCAGAUUGAUCUUCAUCAUCCUGCUCGUCCAUAGAUGGCUGGACUGGUGUGGGCAGGACUGCUGUAGACUGGACUGAUGAGGGCUGGACUGAUGAGGGCUAGACUGAUGAAGGCUGGACCAAUGAACGCUGGAGCUGAUCGUGUGCAGUUUAAGGCAACACACUCAUGACUAAGGCCUUAAAGUUUGUAAAAUUUGCUCUCAAAUCAGUAAUAUCUUGAUCACGUCGCUCCAGUGCCUACGUGAGGCGGAUAACGACCUCGUCAGUAAUAGUGGUGGAAGAAAAAAGGUUAGUGCUUCAAAAUACCUCCUCUCGAUGCUGUCUAAGAAAAUAUAAGUUAUAAGUUCUAUUAGCACUAUUCUCAUAUAUUAAGUUCAUUUAUGAUACUAAAAUUGUAUGUUUGUUUAUUAAAAUAUUAAAUAUAUUUCCCUACCCGAGUAAAACAUAUAUUAUUAUAUUGAAGGAUAAAUUUACACGAUCUUAUAACAAAAGUCGUUCUUAAACUAGAUUAUUGACUUUCAAAUAUAGAAUAUCAAGUACUAAAAUAAAAGCUAAGGUAGGCUAAGUUUUUUUUUUCCUUAUCAUAAAAGUUUUACAUUUUCAAAAGUUUUUCUAGCACAACUUCUUCAUGACUGAAAAUUAAUUAAAAAUUAUAAAGAAAUGCUUUAGAAAAUUGUGUUUAUAUAUGUUAUGUAAUGAGGCGUGAUGCCCUAGCCAAUCUAGGGUUAUUUAUUCUGCGAUUGAUAUAACCGAAGAAAGGGCGUAUAACUAUACAUAUAUAACCCCCGCAUGCGAUACAAUUCUGCAUGCGUGUUCGACUCUGUCGGUGAAUGUCUGUCUGAAGUUGGCACACUUUUUUACGUCUAUUCAUCCACGUACAACGAUACACAACCCAACCUAAAGUUUUAUGCUCACUGCAAUCACUUUCAAAAGAUCCGUUUCUUAUACUACGAGAUUUUAGAACUUAUUUUUAAAAGUUUACGUACCUGCAUCAGUAAUAGCUUUCAUGGUCUGUUUAAUUACUGCUAUAGAAGUAGCAAUGAAAGUAAUCAUACAGUGACUGCAUAUAUACAAUCAUCUAACGUUAUACAGCUUAAGCUGGUUAAAAUAAACAAAAGGUCGAUUUUUAUGAAUUUAGGAAUCUUAAUAACAAGGAGUUGUUGCAAAUAUAUACUACUGGAUUGACAGCACACAUUUUAUUCAGGAAUGAUGUAUAGCAUCAUGAGCAAUCAGCCUUAGGUUUUGCAGCAGAUUGACUGCUAAUGAUGUUAUACAAUCUCCAUGAAUUCGUUUCUCUGUGUGCUGUACAACAUAUAUAUUAAUUUAUGCUAAUAAGUAAAUUAGCUUCAUCUACCGAAACCCCCCUCCAAAAGCUGGUGCCCAAUAAUCAGCUCCAUUGUCACUUCCAACUUGCAGCGUGCAUGACACUGGAACCAGACACAACCCUCUACUCCUUAGAUCCUUCUUCUUCGCCUCUUCUUCAGAAUCCUAAUUAAUUAUAACAACACAAGUUAACAUUAAAAUAUACAAUUGAACUAUAAAUUCAUCAUUAUCAAGUUCAAAUUCAGAAUUAAUUCACUGACAAUUAUAACCUGCUCACUAGUUGCUUUCCUCUUCAAACAGUUUUCGUUCAGCAACUGUAACCAGAAAUUAAAUAAAACAAGAUAAGAAUUUGACCAGUAAAUUAGAGAAACUGAUUCAUCUCAGAAAGUAAUAUAUUAUAUAUUAUAUCAGAUAAAGCUGGUGACAUUUCUCUUUAAUUGUCUAGCUACUUUCUUCAUUUAUAAUAUAGAAUUCAAGUUGAACUUGUUAUAGCUUCUUUUGAAAUGCAAAAUCCCCAAACCCCUUUAAUGGGUUAGUGGAUCCAAGGAAAAAGCAAACCUGACCGGGGUCUUCAGGGAAUAUACAAUUCUUCUCUCCUUGAACCUAACAUUAAACAAUUACAAUCAUCACUCAAUUAGUACCACAUAAUUACCCAUUAAUUAGUAUACAUUCUGGCGCACAUGCAAGAAGAAAGAUGCUGAAGAGAGAAAGAGUGAGUUUUUCUUUUUUUUUUUUCAUUUUGCUUUGGGAAAUGAGAAACGACUUUACUAUGUGUGAUAACCAGAAAUGGGUUGGUAUUAUUUCUUACAGAUUGUUGCUGUCUCAUGUUUCCUGAUCCAUUACCCAAGUAUGGUAAGCUAAGGGCCUGCAUCAAUGGUGAAAAGAGAAUAAUUUUAGAACUUCAAAAACUAUAUAUACAUCAAUUUGUGGACGAUUAGAACAGGGUGAAAUAGUGGAGUUUUAACAGCUAGCGUGCCAUCACUAUUCACUGACUAUCGUAGUUGUUUGCAAAAAUCGACAGAGGGAAUAAACAUUAAUUACCUCAAUUUGACUCUGAAGGAAUCUGAUAUACCCAAUAGCUUCUAAUAAGACAGAAGCCGUGUCAGUCUGUAAAAGUGAAAAAAAAUAGCACACACCACAGUCAUCUCCUAUGCAAUGUUAAACAAAGAGCAUGUUGCUUCCUCUAAAAUACUGUGUAAAAAAUGUAUAAUAAAGAAAGAAGGGAUGGGGAAGAUGAAACAUAUAUACGAGAAAAAGUAUCGUUUUCUUCAAGAUUAUUUUCCAUUAUUAUUUUGGAGGUAGGUAAUACAAUUAACUUUUCUUGGUACUUUCUUUUUUUUUAGUUUUAUUUAAAUCUUCAAUUGAAUAAAUUAAAGUUUAUAUACCUUUCCAAACGGGGAAACAAGUUGAUGAAGGGCUGUAAUUCUGUCACCUAAUUUUUCCUUCCUAACCUGAAAUGUACACAUGUGUUUAAUUAAUUGGCUUAAAAGGUUAUUCUUUAUUUCAAGAUAAAAAGAAAAAAGAAAAAAAAAAAAACAUGUGCAGGAACAAGACAAUCAAGAAAAACAACAGUGCCCAGCCACACACAUGUGAUGUUUGUGUGCGGUUAUGUGUGUUGGCUUGCCUGAAAAAGUGUUCGAGGUUGGAAGUUUCUGUAUAAUAGUUUUCAAUGGAUGAAAAUACCUUGAAGGUCGACUGCGUUGUGGGCGGUUGAACCCUAGCUUUCUUGAAUGCCCCACCAGCUGCAGUGCUAUUACACUUGAGAAUAAAAUAAACAAAAAACAAAAACUUUUGGUUAAAAUUAUAAUGCAAAGAAAAAGAAACCGAGAAGAAAAGAGAAGCUGUACAAGACCAUGAAUUUACUAGAAUUGGUUUUAUUAUAUAGAAAGAAUAGAACAUAAAGAGAAGCAAAGAGCAAAGAAAUCCGUUAUGCUUGAUCUAUAUAAUAAAGAAAGAAUAGAAGAACCGUUUGACAUAAAUAUUCAUUCAAAAAAUAAAAGUUGGAGAGGACCCAUAUGCCUUUAUCAAUCAGAAAUCAUAUUUGCAAAUAUUCUUCAAUACCGAUAUAUAGUUUUAGUAAAGUUUCACGAAAUGUAUAACAUAACUCAAAGCAAAACCCUGAACAGAAAUAAAAAUAAGGAAUUAACUAACAUGUAUCAGUAAUAAAUAUAUAUAUGUACCUCUAAUGAUGGGUCUGGAGGAGGAGGCCUAGCAUCUGUGUUACUGUUAGAGAAAUCUAACAUGCUGCUGCUGAAACUUGUUACACAUGAUUUGGGGGAAGAAGAAGGCACUGUUUGAGGCCAAGUUGGCUUUGCUGGGUGAAACUCUUCGUUUCCAUGACCGUACACGUAGCUGUUCACCGACCCUUCUUGCUUAACUUGACUCAGCAUUUGUUGCUGAACCUGGCACAUAGCCCCUUUCUCUUCUUCAGACACCAUCCCACUCCUAUAGCCCAAAAUCACAUGCAAUCAAAAACAAAACUCAGCUACUCAGAUUUGAUCCUUCAAAUAAUCAAACACACAUACACUGACUAAGGGCUGCUUUAACUUAAAAGGUUUUCAAUUGAUACUAACAAGUAAAAAACACAGUGAAUCAACCAUAAAGUGAUGUGUUUGUGUGUCUGUGAGAGAGAGAGAGAGAAGGGGUGAUUGUUACAUGAGAAGCUGGCUCCAUGACUCAGGUAGUUCUUGAUUGUUAUCAUGCCAAGAAGGAAGAGGAAGAGAAGAAGAGGUGUUAUACGGAGUUAGAAAGUUAGAAGGAGUGGAGAAGAAAGGAGAAGAAGGGUGAGAGGGAGGAGGAGGAGGAGAAGGCGGAGGAGGGCGCAUGGUGUUGAUGUUCCACCAAUUGUUAGGGUUUGCAGCCAUCAUUUGUUGCACCGGUGAGCUUUGCAAGACACCUCUAUUCAUGGCUUUGUUAAUUUUGCUAUGAUCUCUAAAGAAGAACAGAAGAACAGAAGAACAGAAGAACAGAAGAAAAGAGGAAGACGUUGUUCCGAUCCAAGGUUGUCUGAGAGGUUGUGAUUAAGUAGGGGGAACACUAGCAGUGCUUGGUACUGUUUUUGAGAGAAUUUGAAUAAUCAUGGAGUUUUGAGAACCUUUUGUCUUUUUUUUUUCUUCCCUUUCUUUAUUGCUUUUGUUUUCUUUUCUUUCUUCCUUUGAUGUUUUUCUUUUUCUUCUUUUGCUUUUGUAUUUCCCCUAAGCUGCUUGCUUUUACUUUAUCUUAAAGUGGGACAGAAAAGGUGGUAGCAAUUCCAUAAUUAAGAAAACCAAUAUAUGCGUCUAAGCAUAGCCACUCUCAAGUGCACGAUUUUUGUAUCACAUCUUCCACGUGGCGUGCUGCUGAGGCUUCUAGAUAUUGCAAACCCUUUUAAUAGAUGAGACGUCUGAAACUUGGGAAAUUUAAUUUGACUUAUCCAACACAAACACUUCCACCUUCUUAUCCUUCACUCUAUCUGCAUUCAUUCAUUAUUCCAUUUCCUUCAUCACUUCUCAAACACUUAAUUACUAUCUGUCUUCCUUAUAUUUAUGUAUCAAAAGUUAAACCUUACAGCUAAUUUUUCCUCUCCAAAAUACCCUUACUAUCUAUCCAUUUCUGCAUGCUCUUUUCUUUUCAUUAUAUCAUGUUAUUGCUGGGAACAGAAUUUAGAGUAGCUCACUAAUUUAUUAAAUAAUCUUAUUAUUUUUAUUUCAAUUUCUGAUUUUUAAUCCAUACUUUUUUAACACCCAAAAAUAAUUUAAUAAGAGAUUUCGAGUUUAAUUGAAAUAUAGGUUUAAAUACAGUUUGUAUUUCCUAUUUUCCUCAAUCCGCGAUUUUCAUUAUCAUUCAUAUUAAAAAUAGGAAAAGAAUUCUUUGACACUCCCUUUUCAAUCUACCUACACUUUCUUUGACAAUUGGUUUUAUGAUAAAAAUUUAAUAAAAAUAAAUAUAAAUAAAGAAUUACAAUAAAAUAAUAUUAUAUGAGUUUAUAAGUUGCAUGUUAUAACUGUCAAAGUAAUAUCACCCUUAAAAACAAAUAUAUUUUUACUUUGCAACAUAGUUCCUUUCUUUCAUGAUAAAAAAAUAUAUAAAUUUAUUGUUUUAAAUUAACUUGUAAACAAACUUCAUCGUUUUUUAACAAAACACAAUAAUCAUAUAUAAGCUAUGCACAACCAAAUCUGCCUGUGUGAUUUUUAUUUUUUUAUCAGCAAAGGAAAUUUUUAUAUAACUAUACUAUUUAGAGUACUCUAACACAUAAACAGAUUAUAUAGGAAGUGAUUUCCUUAAAAAUAGUUUUGAACACUCUUGUUGUCAAUAGUUGCAAGGAUUUACAACAACUAAAUUUAACUAAUACAAAUUCCACAAUAAUUUUUAAUCUUCUGACGUCUAAGAAAGUUUGUUUUGUAAAAAAAAAACGUUAAAAAUAACUUAUAAAUUAACUAAUAUGUCUUAUGAGAAUAAAUAUUUUAUAUAGUCAUGAGAGCCCAAACAAUAAUAAAUUUUGAGACAUCAUUAUUGUUGCCUAUACAACAAACCAAUAAACAAUUUUUCCUACGCCCAAAUCUUCUUUUAAUAUAUCUUUUAAUCUCUGGGCAACCAUAUGUUUACCACUCGUUUAUAUUAAUACUAAAUUAAAAUACUUGAUAAAUAUUAUUAAAAUAGUAUAAUUUCCAAUAAAUGAUACAGUUCUAAAAUAAUACUAAAUCUUAUGGAGUGAUCAUAAACACCCAUAAUAGGCUGUGCAUUUAGGUAUACGAAUGCAAGAUUAUGACCUCGUUUAAAAAAUUAUCUUGAUUAAAGGACACAAAUUAAACAGGUGUCUCAAGAACCUUUUCAUCUACCAAUCAUGUCAUUCUAGUAACCUGGUAUGAAUGAAGAGAUAAAGGUUGUUUUUCUUGUAAAAGUGAUGGAUUUGUAUUCUCUUUUAAUAGAAUUUAGCAUAUUAAUAAUUAACAUUUGUUUGUUGAUAUUAGAAGAAUGAACCGAGAAUGUCUUCUUUUUCUUCUUUUUCUACGUUAAUAUCUUAGUUUGUUAAGUGUUAAAAUCUUAGUUAUAUUUUACUUGAAAGUAUGAGGUGUCAAAAUCAAAGUUUUAAGAUAAAAGAUAAUUCAAAUUUUAAUAAAUAAAAAACUUAGAUUUUGAUGCAUAUAUUUCAAAUGAUAGUAAUAUUAAUUUUACGAAAAUAACCAAAAUAUUUUUUUUACAAAAUUAACUAUUCAAGUAAAUAAAAAAUAAAAUUAAAAACCAAAAUAAAACAAAUAUCUAAAUAGAAAAAAUAAAUUUCAAAUGAAACCUAAUAAAUUUGUUAUAGAAAUAAUAAUAAACUAAAAAAAAAGGUUAAAUAUGUUUUUAGUCCCUAUACUUUGGGAUGAUUUUGGUUUUAGUCCAUUUUCAAACUAUGGUACAAUUUAGUCCUUCAACUUUAGAAAACUCUGGUUUUAGUCUUUUUUAUCAAUUUUUUUAAACUUUAUUUGUUGUUUCAAGCACGUUUCUUAGUUAACAUUGAAGCAAAAAUGUGUCAAACAGUGUAAAGAAUCCAAAUGCUAUAAUGAAACAUGUUUGAAACAACAAAUAAAGUUAACAAAAAUUGGUAAAAAAGACUAAAACCAAGAGUUUUCUAAAGUUGAAAGACUAAGUUAUACCAUAGUUUAAAAAUAGACUAAAACCAAAAUCGCCCGAAAAUAUAGAAACUAAAAACAUAUUUAACCCAAAAGAAAAUGAAAGUAUACAAUUCUGCGCUCAAAAGAUUGCCUCCUCCUUCGUUAAAUAAAUAAAUAAUAUAUUCGUACACAGACAUGCUGCCAUGAGAAUCUUUAUUACACAUUUUAAUGUGAUCGAUGCAAAUCAAUAGUCAACAUAAACCACUCAUGAGAUUAUUCAUGUAAUAACAAGUAAGUAAUUUUAUAUACGAUUAUUAAAUUUUAUACAUUUCAGACAAACAUUCCUUAAACCGCAUUUUAAUGUUCCCAACAAACAAAAUAAGCUCUUAAUUCUCGAGCUUAGGCUAACCUGUCGACAAGAUGCUUGGAAAUAAUUAAUCACAUCUGGUGUUCAUGCACGUGAAUUAUUGGAAAAAAUAAAAAAUAUGAAUAAAACAAAUUAAAAGAAGAUGUAUCUCUGAUCUACCUAUUCAAUAUCCGUGAAACUUCUAAGAAUCAAAUAUGAGGGAAAAUGAAACGAGAAAAUAUAAAAAAAAAAAAAUCUGAAAAAACUGUAGUAAAAAGAAUAUAACUUUUUAAAAAGUGAAAAAGAAUAUAACUUUUAAGCAUAUAAAGAUAUUUAUUGGUAACAGACACAUCGUUUAGCUAGCGUGUGGUUUGUCUUCCUUAGCACAUACCCUAUUCCCAAAUCUUGGUUAUAGGUGCGGUGUCGUUUCUUGCUAAAACACAUGGCACAACCUCCUUUUUCAUUUAUUUUCCCGAGAAACAAACAUGGUCGAGCACCUUCUUGUCCUUACCCUCUUUCUCAUAUGAAAAAUGAAAAAAACAAUAAAAUUAAAGAAAUACAGAGUUAUAAUUAAUUUAAGAAUAAAGCAAAAUAAAAUUUAAGUUUUCUUUUACAAAUUUGUUUAUUUACAACAGUAAUAAAUAGGGAUAAAAAAAAUUGUAAACACAAAUAUCUACAAAUAAAAUCUUAAAUAAAUAAUUAUUAUAUAGAUAAUGAAUACGGAUAUUUUAAUAUUUAUUUCUAAAUAAAUAUAUAUAUAUAUAUAUAUAUAUAUAUAUAUAUAUAUAUAUAUAUUAUCUGAUCUGAUAUGUGAUUUACAAAAAAUAAUAAAAACUUUAAUUUAUAUAUAUAUUUUUAUUAAAUUUAUCAAAAAAGUAAAAACAAUUUUUAUUUUAGUAGAUUAAAUUUAAUUAUAAUGAAAUUUUAGUUUAUAUUUAAUUUAAUUUAUACUGUUUUAUAUAUAUAUAUAUAUAUAUAUUUUUAUUUAAAUUUUAUUUUUAAAUAUAUAAUUUUUUUUAUAUUUCUUUUAGAUACUUAUGAGUAUCCAUAAGUUUUAAAAUAUUUAUAGAUAUUUUUUAAACAAGUAUCCAUACGAAUAGUAAACGUGUUAUUAGUCGAAUUUUUGUUUUAUAAAUCAAGUUUAUGUAGAUAUUAUCCAAACUCGAUUCAAUCCGUUGUCUUCUUAAUAAUAAAUAAAUUUGUUUUUUCUUUAAUUACAUGUAAACAGAUCUAUUUUAGCAUAUCUAAAUUAUCUCCGUGGAAUAGUCGUUCAUAUAUUCUUUUAAUUAUUUAAAUAAAAAUUUCAGACCAUAUGUGUUUUACAUAAAUUUAUAUACUGGAUUCCCCUUGCACUUAAUAAUUGUGUUUUUAGUAGUACACGUUUAGUAGUACCGUGUACAUGUGUAUAAUUAAAAAAGGAAGACAUUGAUUGACCUCGCUUUUUGGUCAUCUAUAUGUAUUUUGAUUAUUUCAGCAAUGACAUUUGUCAUCAACAUAACCAAAACUUAUUUCAUACCAAAGAGUGUACGCAAGUCAGUGAGCAAUAAACUUUUUAAGUCAAAUAUAUGUUCUGUAAUUAGCAACAAGAAAUAAAUGGGCAAAAUUAUUGCUAUAAAAUAAUUGCUAUUUUUCCCCCUAUAAGAAAUGACAAAAUCAUGAGCUUGAUAGCUUAAAAAAAAUAGCUCACUCCACUUAAGUAUUAUUCUACUCAUAUACUCAAACGAUUUAAGUUACUAGUCAUUUCUGUGAUAACUUAUAGGUUUAAACCAUUUAGUUGUUCGUAUUUUUGGGAAAAUUUUUCAUUUUGAUCCUCAUUUAUUAGAAUCUCCAAUUGAGUCUCUAUAAGUGUUAAUUUCAAUCAAUUAAGCUUCUGCCAUUAAAUUUAGUUAACGAGAUUAACUUUUUUGCACAGCUGGAAGGAUAACCUGUUAAUUCCUGUAAACGUAGUCUAUUUAGAGUUGAAACGUGACAUGAAUUAGAGUUGAAAUUGAUAAGACGGAGAUCAAAACAGAAAAACCUACCAAAAAUAUGAACAACUAAAUGGUUUAAACCUAACUUAUAAAUAAAAGUUGAAAUUCAAACACGUGACUAAAAGUAAAUGCUAAUAAUCUACUACUGUAACUUUCCAUAAUCCUUGAUGAUUAAUUAGAGUGUUAAUGUUGGGGUGCUUUGUCUUUUCUCGUAACGUAACAAAAGAAUCCGCGUGACGAGCAUGAUGUUCUUAGACAAUAUCAUAAUUAGCAUAUGUCUAAAUUAUUUGUGUAACACAUUAAAACGACAAUAUUGAAACUUGGAAUGUGGUUUUUGAAACCCAACAACAUUUAUCCUUGAGAAACAUGAAAAUAGUUUGCUUUCUAAAAUUAAAAAAAAUGGUCAUCGGAUUCCUCGUCACAUGCUUUAAAAUUAGUAUCAUUAUUAUGCCUCUUGAAGAUGAUCCCAAGACGGUUUAGCUAACACUUAAGAACAAUAUGAAAAUAUAAAUAUAAAUAAAAAUAUAGGUUAAUAGGAUGCCCCAAAAGCUUACCCUUCCCUAUAGUCCUACUUUCCUUUGUAAAUGUAAAGAACAACCCUACAAUAGAGAGAAAGGUAAGGUGCAAUUUCAGUAUCUAACAACUUUGUUAUUUUCUUAGGCUAGAUAUAAAAUAAGGCACAUGAGAUGAUAUUGUGAUAUGCAUCAUUUCAAUUGUGAUAUCCUUUGAGUUCCACUACACAUCAAUCAUACGACCUCUUUUUUCUCUUUUAUUUUUGUAUUUAGGUGUAAUACUUAGGUUUAGCGCAAUUGAUGAAACAAUUAUGUAGUCGUGUUUUAAUUUUUUUUUAAUUUUGUUAUUUAUUUCUUUAAUUUAAAUAUAUAACUUUUGAAAUGAUGAUUAAUUAUAUACAUUUUUUCAAAGUUUGAAUUGAUUAUUUUUAAUUGAAAAUUUUGAAAAAAAAUAUUAUUUUUAAAUGUUAAUUUACUUUAUUACAAUUAACUAUUAAAAUUUAAUUCAUAUUCCUAUAUUAAAUUACAAUAUGAUUGAAUAUUUGUGUUCUUUAUAAAAUACAUAUCACAGAAUUUAAUUUUUAAAUUACCUUUUACUUGAAUAGUUACAAAAAGAAACAAUCUAAACAUAUUACACGGCAUUCAUUUAAAAUUAGUGAUUUUGAUUCGAUUGGGUUUUAAAUUAAAAAUCUAAACUACACUAAUUCGUUGAGAAAAAAAAAAUCGUAAAAAAAAAUAACAAUUAUUUGAUUGGUUUUUUUAUUUUUUUAAGUUUAAUUUUGUUAACCCUUAAUUAGCUCAAUAUAAGAUUAAAUGCAACUAUGAAAUGUAGUUUAUUUGAGUUUUUUUAUAGACUUAUGUUUUAUAUUUUGUUAAAUUGAUUCGUCUAAGUUUUUUAUUUGAAUACUAUUCAACUUUUUGUUGGUGUUAAAUUAGAUUGAUUUUUUUGUUUGAUUGAUUUGAGUUAAUAUUUAAUUUGAAAUAAUUUUGUUUUAUUGUUUAUUACAAUUUAGUUAUAUUUUUAGUCUCAGGAUGUAUGUUUAGAUUUUGGUUUCAAACCAAUUUAGUUUUAUUAUUCAUCUGUCUGGAACAAUUAAUCCUAAUUUUUGGUCUAGACAAAUAUGACUUAACUUUUGAUUAUGAUUCGUUUAGUUCAACUUUUUGUCUGAACUAACUUAGCUUUUUCAACUUAAAUUUAGUUAGACUUGACUAGAUAUAAUUUAACUUGACUCAACCUAGUCUUAACUUGACAUAAAUCUGACUUGACUUGGCUCGUUCUUUAACUUUGACUAUCGUAGAUCAACUUUUAUUGUCUAGAUCAAUUUAGAUUCAAACAUUCACUUGAUUUAAAAACAUAAUGUUUUAAAUUUUUAAAAUCUAAAAUACUAUUCAAUUUAUAUGAAAUUUAUGUCUGACCAAAUUGAUCAUCCUUAAAAUCUAAAAAUAUAAAUUUGGAUUUGUUAAUAAUCCAUUUAAAUAAAUUUAAAAUAAUGUAAGUUUAUAUAAUUAUGGAUUAAAUUUGAUAAUUUAGAUAUUUUGAUGACCCUUAUAGAUUUUGAUAGAUUGAAAAAGACGAUAUUGAAUAUCUUGUUAUCACCUUUUCAUAUACAUUUAGAGCGUUAUAUAAUGUUUAUAACUUCAAUCAUGAUAGGAAAGUUACAUCAAAGUAAAUCAACCUUAGUAAAAGUUAUAGUUGUUUUCACAUUUGAGAGAAUUAUAAAUUAUUAUUUUCUAUUUCUAUAACUCUUAUUUUAAGUUUUUCCUUUAGUCUUGAAUAUUUUUUUUCUUUGGCAUGCUAAAUUCUUCCCAAGCCUGUGAUAUUCAUUUAUUUUUCUUCUCCUUUUCCUUUUGAGUAUUUGUUAUUAGUUUGUUCUUAUUUUUAACACUUAUUUGGUGAAUAUUUUGUUCUGUAAGUUAUGUAAUUGAUAAAAAUGAAUUAAUUAAUAUUUAGUUUUUCACUAAGUAAUGCACGUGAUUACGUCUUAAUAUUUUGGAGGAAAUUGGUGAAAUGUGGGAAAGGAACAAGUUGGCAGAGAGGCAAAAGGCAUGCAGAAUCUCAGUUGAUUAUAAAUAAAAGCUUCAAUCAUUCCGAGUAAGAAAUUGAUACUAUCAUAUUUAUAUAUUUUAUGCAUACUUUAAAUACAAAUUCCAAUGCCCUAAGCAUUAAUUACAACCCUACUAUCGUUACUUAUUUUGUCUUUUCCUAUAUCUUGUGGAAAAUAAUUCACACUUUCUAUUUUUUAAUUGCACCCCCCCAUCACUGCAUCUAUUUUUAAAUCAUCUACAUACAUGAACAAUGCUCAUUUUCCUCGUUGCUUUUUCUCUACCCUCUCAUGUGUAAAAAGUGAAACUCAUUAAAGAGAAACAAAGUCAAACAAUCCAAAAUUAAUUUAUUAAUUAACAAUAUUAUACUUUAACUAAUCUUUUCUCACACUUAUAAUUCACUCACUCAUUCAUAUCUACCUUUACUUCUCCAACCAUAAAAUAUAACAAGAUAUAUCUUUCAAACACUGAAAUAAAACAAAAUGUAUGAUUUUAAUAUCAUGUUAAAUAAUAAAUUUUAAAAAAAAAAGUAUUUUAAUUAAUCAUGUAUUUGAGGAUUAAAACCAUUUUUUAAGAGUGAGGGGUUUGGUGACGAUAACAUUAUUUUUUAAUUAAUUAUGACAAUCGUUUUCAAGAUAAAGGAAAUAAAAUCCGCAAUUUGAUCUUAAGAAUUAAGAUAUCUUAGAAGUUGAAUCAAGGGGUCAACUCAGUGUCUGAAGGCAUUAUCAAAAUUCUAAAGAAAUUAUAUAAAAAUGAAAUCUGAUGUACUGUUCAAACCUACUACUGUCUAACAAAAAGUUCUGAAAAUGAUACUUUCGACACUGAUUGAUUCACAAUAAUGAAGAAUUUCUAAGCCAAAAUCAGUUUUUUUCUUUCUUUCUUUCUUCAAUUAGAUAGCAGAUUCAAAAUUUUAAAUUGUAAAAGAAUAAUUAAUAUCUUCAUAAAUGGUGUAAAAUGUAACUACACAUUUAAAUUGAUUUAAAAUUUAUGAAGUGAUACUCCAUGCAUGUAUAACCAUUAUAAGUAUACAUAACAAUUUAACAUUUCCUUAUUAUUUUUAUAUUUAUCUAUUUAAUAAAACAUAAUACUAAUAAAUAUAUAAUAUUAACGGAUGAUAAUGUUACAACACAAGACUUAAUCCUAAAGUAAAGUUAAGGAUCAAAGACUUCUAAUUAAAGGGAUGUCUUUUGAAAGAUUUUGAGUUUAUACUGGUCUGACAAUGCCCAUGGAGAAAAAGAAAGGGAAAACGUGUUAGAAUUAUUAUCUCUAUGAAUCAAUGAAAUAAUGAAUAUUUAUUUUUUAUAAAAUUAUCAUCUAGGCGUUUACUGUCCCAAAUUCUUAAUUAAAUUUUUAAUAUAUAGUUAAAAGUUACACUACCUUAACUUUAUAAUUUUUUCUAAAACUAUUUUUUGUUAUAUAGAAGUGUAUUGAGUAAAUAAAAUAAAAAACAAAAAGUUAGUAUAAAUGAAACGUGAUAAAAUUUUAAUUUUUCUUUUCAAAAACUUGUUUAAGUUUUACAGGGAGAAAAAUGUGAAAUAAAUAAAAUAAUGUUUCCAAACAAGUGAGCAAGUUGUAAAAGCAUCGAAGUAACAAAUAGAUUAAACUGGCAAAAUUUUAAAAAUAUGGAGACUAAAAUUUAUAAAAUUUAUUAACAUGUUACAACAGGCAACACACAUAAAACAUUUAUGCUAAUUCCGUCUCAUUUAAUGAAAUUGGAAUAUACUAGCUAAAACAAAAUAAAAUAAUUUACCGCAAUAAAAUUUUCCAAGCAAAUAUAAUUACAAAAUUAUUAUAAUUACUCUAAGGUGAAAUUUGAUCUAUUAAGUGAGUUUAUCAAAUUCGUUAAAUGCAUCAAGAUCUCUCCUACAUAUAAAAUUUGGAUGAAUCAUGACACUCUAAAUAACAUCUAUUAGGAAGAUUUUACAGAAAUGAGAAAUUCUUUAAAAUAUUUCCAAUACAAAUUUCAAAUUCAAACUGCCUAAUUCAAUUAUUCCAAAAAGUUAAAAAAAAAUGCAUAAAAUAACACAAUAAAGUAUGGUUUGCAUAAUAACACAAAGGUCAUUUAAUAUGAUAAUGUUAAAUUUAAAUUCAGACGUAAAACGAAUAAAAACACCAAUAAAUUGUACAUUAAAAACUUAAAAAACAAUUACACGUCGUAAUUUAAAAUUAAAUACGAAAUUGCUUUCUUUACCUCAUUAGGAUACUUAAAGCAAUAUGUAAAAGAGAGACGAAAACUCUAUAGGUAGGUACCUAUCACUAAAACAACCAAAAAUACAAACAAAAAAUUGCAUUAGUUGAGAGCAUUAUUUUAGGAAAAAAUUACUGUAAAUUCAAUUCUGAUGGGAUAAAAUUACUUUAUAUUUCAUUAUUUUUAAAUUAGAAUGGUUCUCUUUUAAAAAAAAUUACGAGAAACAAAAUAAAAGAAUGAAGACAGAAAUUUGAAAGAAAGUUAGAUGGAGAAAAUGGGCCCAGGCCCAUGGACUCUCGCAUUUAUAUCCAAAAAUUAAACUAAUAAAGAUUAAAAUAUAUUUCUUUUACAGUAAAAUAAAUUCAUAUUUUUAUUACUUUAAAUAUAUUAUUUUCGCAUUUAUUUUUCGUACUACUCAUCAAGUUUUCGAUAAGUGUAACCUAAUUUUGAUCAAUUUCAACAAUUUGCACUUUGGACCAUUUUCCGGUUUUUUAACAAGUUAAUGUAUUUUUUUAAAUUUAUUAAAAUAGAUAAUUUUUUUAAAUAUUAAGAAUUUGAGAAAAUAUUGUCACUUUAACAAGAUUUCAUCGUGAAAAAAAAAGACGUGUUAGGAUAAUAUAACUUUAAUAUAAAAUAUUUUAAAACUUUAAUUCAUAUUUAUAUAAGUUUAACUUUAAAUAUAUUAUAACAUCAAUAAAGAUGUAUUUAUUCAUAGUUUUUUUUUUUAAUUUUAAAAAUAAUUACGUUACUUUGAUUAAAAAGAAAAAAGUCUACAGUUUUCAUUUGUUUUUAUGUGAGAACACAAUGAGAAGUAUAAAGUAGUAAUAUCUAAAUUUAUGAUCACGAGUGUUAAAUCUGUUUUCUCCAUUUAACUUAUUAGUCUAAAAAACUUUAAAAAUUAUUAUCUAUGCUUCAAUAAUUUCAUCCCAACCAAUACUAAUUGAACCACACGCUCUACAAUAAUGGUACUCUGAUUAAAAACAAAUAAUCAAGGUUUGUCUAAUUAAUUAACAAGGAUUAGAUUGGUGUUCUAGAAAGACAAAAGUUUCAAUUUUGUUAGUGAUGUAACUCGUGAAAAUCUUGUUAAGUAUCUGUGCCAGCGUUCAUUAACACGUGCGAGGCAUUGCUUAACAUAAUUUAUUUAUGGGAAUAAAAAUAUUUAAAAAAUAAAAAAGGUGGAAAGAUUUUGACCUGAAAAAGUAGUUAAGGAGGUGAGAUAGGCGGUUUGUGGGCCCUGGUUGGCUGUAAUAGUCCGGAAAGAGUUCUAUACAAAGGGAACUCCUUUCUAUUUGGGCUUUUCAAUAUUUGACAGACACAACUACUCAAUCCUAGUGCGGUGGGCCCUAUUGUCUGGCCCACUUUGUCUUCUUUCCUAUACACAUAAAGCAAAAAGCCAAAAAUUAAACCUCUUUUUUCCCUCUCCUUUUUUUUUAAAGAAUAAAUCUCCCUAUUCCAAAAUCAACAUCGGGUCCAUCCUCUAAUUAUUUCUCUCGCUUUUUCCUUUUUUACUCGUAAAUUCACACAGCCACAUAUUUUCAUAUUUUAAUUAAUUACUACGUCAUGCUUACGUCAUCUGUGACAUUGACAAUCUCUCACCAACCUACCCUUAAAACUCUAUAUAAACAAAGUUUUUGUUAACCCUCGUCAAUAAAGAGGUAUACUAUACAUGUACGUACGUGUUUGCAUACACUUUAUACGUACGUACGGGUUUGACCUUUAUACGGUCGUUUUCUCUGGUUGCGACUUAGAUGAGCUUGGGAAAUAUACGUAUAAGAACCUUUUAAUUAAUUAACAUUGCUAAAGGCAAUAUAUACUGUCGUUAAACCGUGCACUGGCUUUUCGGAUUUAAUCAUCUUUUCUUGAAUGGAUCCACUUUUCUUUCAUUAUGGAAAAGCUAAAAAACGACAACAAAAGUAGACAUUGCAAAGCAGACAUUUUAUUGAAGGUAGAUUUCAAUGACAAAGGUUAAAACUGUUGAAAUAGUUUCUAACUUGACGAAGUGGUGGGUUAAUAAAAACAUGUGCUUUUUCAAAAGGAAAAAAGAAACAUGAAAUCAUUUUUAUGUACUUGUGAACUUAGCGAAAAGCAUUCAACUCAGAAAUUUCACGCUUGAAUUUACUAUUAUUGGCAUAUAUGGAUUAGGAAAGGAAGAAAAAUAAAAGGUAAAAUAAAAGAGUACAAAGUGUGAUGAUUAAAUGCACUUUUAUAUAGAAUAGAAAAAUAUUAAAAUAUUCUUAUUUACUUGUACCUCAUUAUCGCUGUUAUAUUGCAAAUAGGUAAAAGAAGAAGAGAAGAGAAAGAGUUGCUGACAAAGCUUGUUCUGGAAAGCUUUUUUUUAGAACAUAUUUUAUGUGUAUUAAAAAAAUUGUUUUGGAAAACUCAUUCUUAAAAAAUGGUUUCAGAAAGUAUUAUAUACAUUUCAGAAAACUUAUUUAAGAGAUCCAAUUUUUUAGAAAAACUUGUUCUAGAAAACAUUUUAUAAGUUCUAAAUCCUAUUCCAUUAAUCUUGUACCAAAAAUUCAGAAAUGUUGUUUCAGAAAUUAUAUUCCGAAAAUUUUAAGAAACUUGUUCUAGAAAAUUUCCAAAAUAAAUAAUCUUGAAGUCUUUUUUUUGGUCACGUUGAAAAUUCGGGGUGCAGAAAGAAAUUGUAGGGCAAGAACAAAAGGCCCUAAAAAAGCCGCCAAUCUUAUAAUUAGGCCCAGUUCAAUUGGAUUUGUCAGGCCUAGAUUUGAGCCGAUAAUAUUUUUCCACCAAACUGAUCCAGACCCGAAACAUUUCAAGUCGGAUCGCCUCCGAUGAUGUUCUGUUUGUGAGAGACACGGCACAGGUGAUUCUGAUUUCCGUCCCAAGAAGAAAACAAACACCGUUUUGUGUAUUUACCAUAUUUUUCUUUUUUCUCUCUCUCCCACAGAUAAUAAAAUGCAAAAAUUAGCAAUUUUCCGAGCUAGAAGGUGGCUAUGUAGGAGCUUCUCGGGCAUUUCUUCAAACCCAUUGCGGGUGUGUGUCGUUGGAAGUGGCCCUGCUGGUUUCUACACUGCUGAGAAGGUAAAACCCUAAUCUUUAGGCUUUCAGUGUGAAAAUGGAUGACUGUAACCGAAUGGGUUCUUGGUAGAUGUUGAAGGCGCAUCAACAAGCACAAGUUGAUAUCGUUGACAGGUUGCCCACACCUUUUGGGUUGGUUCGCUCUGGUGUUGCACCCGAUCACCCUGAAACAAAGGUCCACUCUUGUUUCUUGCACCGUUCCUUUGUUCAAAAUUCACUAUCACUGGAUUUUUUCAUAAUGUAUGUGAUGUUAGGGGGAUCUUUUUUGGCUACAAGGGAGUGGGGAGGAAAAAUAAGUUCUUAGUUAUGUUGUGUUACGGCUAUUUAGAUGUUUUGGUGUUGUAGUAGUGAAAAAAGAAAUGGAGUAAAAUCCUCAGGCCACGGUAGUUCCUAAAAUUAAAAAAAUUUCCGCUUAGUCCCUGUUCAAACCGAAUUUGUGCAAUCAUGUGUUCACACACAGUCAGUAGGUUGGAUCUUUUGGAUGAAGAAUGGACAACUCAAAUCUCGAAUAUGUGGUAGUCUUAUUUACUAAAUUAAUAUAAGCUGUUCAAUCUUUUUCCAAUGGUUCCAAUACGCCGAUUGCAUAAGUGUUUGAUUCUAAUCACUGCAGAAAUUUGGAUAUGUGAUGGCUAUAUAUUUGGUGUUGUGAUUGUGUGGGAUUAAUUUGUCUGGUGUAUGUGGACUUAUAUGGCUAUGAUUUGUGAUUCUUAGGGACUAGAGUGGUGCUUUUGCUAGGAACCACUGUUCCAGCUGCCAAAUUUUUCAAGGAUGAAUUUUGAUGUUUACUUGAAAAAUUAUUUCAAAACUUAUUAUUUUUAUUUUUAUGGUGUUGGGGACUUCACUAUUUUCUUUGGUGAGAGUAACAGCAUUGAGCUUAGUUUACCAGAAAACUUGCAACAGAUUGUCAUCAAUCAGUUUUCAAGGGUGGCACAACAAGAACGAUGCUCAUUUUUCGGUAAUGUGACCCUUGGAUCAAGCAUUUCUCUCUCUGAAUUACGCGAGCUGUAUCAUGUGGUGAGGCUCUGAUUCUUGAUUUUUUUGUCAUAAUGGUGACAUCAUAUUGGUCAGUUGUAUCAUCUUUUCAAUAAUCAGUUUAUGUACAUGGGCAGGUUGUCCUUGCAUAUGGUGCUGAAAGUGAUAGAAGUCUUGGUAUUCCUGGGGAGGUAACCUUGAUUUUUUACUUUUGUUCCUGAAUUUGCUAGAGUUGUGUGUUCCAACGGCAUAAGCAAUGUCUUAAUGUUCAUUUAUUAUGUGAUGGCUAUUCUUGAUGAUAGUUUGAGUUACCCCUAUUUCAAUGAUGUUUAAUAUUCUUCUCCCUUUCAGAAUUUGAAAGGGAUACAUUCUGCUAGGGAGUUUGUUUGGUGGUAUAAUGGGCACCCAGAUGGACAAAAUCUUGAGCCAGACCUAAAGAGCACUGAUACAGCUGUAAUUCUUGGUCAGGUAACUUUACCUAUCGUGUCAUACCAUGCCAAAACUUUAUUCAUUUCUUUCUAGAAAAAAGACAACGUAAUGAAUGUUUAGACUAAAGAACAUGUGAUGUGAAAAUGAUUUUUCCUGAAGAUAUAGAUAUAAUUUUAACUUUGAUUUAAGGUUUUAUUUAAUUUCAGGGAAAUGUUGCUUUAGAUGUUGCAAGGAUUCUUUUACGACCUACCACUGAGUUAGCAACAACUGAUAUUGCCAGUCAUGCUCUGGCUACCCUAGAGGAGAGCUGUAUCAGGUUUUUAGUUGCAUUAGUUGAAGUAAUCAGAUAGUCUUAUUGAUACCUCGUAUGUUGCCUGUCUGUAAUAUAAGCAAUAUUGCAGGGUGGUUUAUUUGGUUGGAAGACGUGGUCCAGCACAAGCAGCUUGUACUGCAAAAGAACUACGUGAAAUUCUUGGUAACUUCUGGAUCAACUCUUAUACAAAGUUAGUUUAGCGAUGUGGUUUUCUUGUACACAUUUGUUUGAUACUUUGAUUUGGUUUUGGCUUUUUUCAAUGGAACUGUUUGAAAAAGGGGUAUGCCUCCGCCAUACGAUGUACUACAUAACACUUUAGACUUCAAAGUUUCCUUUGUAAACUUAUACUUUCUUAAUUUUUAUCCCUAGUAAUUACUUUGCUUGUCCGCUUUGAACUUUUCAUUGAUUUCGACGAACUCAGUUUCUUACCGAUUUCUUCCAAAUAUUAACGAGUGAUUCUUACUUAAGUACGUGUUUCUAGUUACUCACAGGCCUUUGAUUACAAAUCAUUUACAACCCAAGGACUCAGUCUGAAAUGAAUAGGAGCCCUUAUCAUGACUUUUGUCUUACAAUUUGACAUGUUAUAAUUGGUUUCUUAUCUUAAUCUGUAUUUGUUCUGAUUACUUCCUACUUAUUUGUUAAUUGUCAUAUACUACGAGUAACAUGCUAUGUAUGUCUCACACAUGAUGCUAACUGAAGCUUUAAGGUCUAUUUUACAGGUAUUCAUAAUGUUGAUAUUUUCAUUCAGGAAUCUGAUCUACUUUUAACCCCAGUGGAUGAGGUAUAAGAUGAAUCUACUUUUAGUUCGUCAAUCACUGUUUUCAAUCAUCUUCACCCAAAAGCAUAUAAUACUAGGAUUCCCUAAGUAAACUAUGUAUUUCUAAAUUCUUGUUUUUCUUAUCUAAAUUAAGAAUAUUAAUAUUUGUAUUUGAUAAUAAAUAAAGGUUGAUUCCUUUUCACUGAUGCUAUCUUAUAUCUGUGUUGAUGCUGUCACUUGGCAAAGGAAGAACUUAAGAGUAACCGAAUACAGAGAAGAGUUCACGAGUUGCUAUCUAAGGCUGCUAGAUCAAAACCUAAACACAUAGGUUUGAACCAGCGUGAACUCCGUUUCGUCUUCUUCCGGAAACCAAAUGAUUUUCAGGAGUCGAAAGAGAGAGCUGGCCAUGUUUCUGGCAUGCACUUUGAGAAGACAGUUCUUCAGGGUAAUUUUCUUUUUGUCCAAAUAUUUAUUUUGAAGUUAGAGCUUUACAAUAUUGGUGACAAUGUAAUUUAUAAAGUUUUAAAUUGUCAUAAUUUCUUAUACAAGUGCAAAUAUGUACAGUACUGGGCUUUCCUAAAAUGCUUAAUACAAGCCAUUUUUGAAGCUUUGUUAUAUUCUAGUACAUUUAAGUCCAUAGUAGUCUAUUGUGCAAUGGAUUACUUAUGAUGGCUGAUUCAGCUGAUUAUUGCAGGUGUUAGCCAAGGAAAACAGAUUGCCAUUGGUACUGGAGAGUUUGAAGAUAUAAAAUGCGGGUAUCAUCUCAUUUACAAUUACUAAUUGUCAUUGCUUGACAUGAGAUCCUUUCUGCUGGUAGCAUUGUAAUAAAAAAUCCAUUUUUUUUUAAUAAUCUCUAUAUAUCAUAAAGAAAUUGUUAUUAUACUCUUCAAAUGACUGAUUGCAGCCUCUCAAGAAUUUUAUUCAUGUAUUGUUGUCACACAAUGUUGAGAGUAAUAGUAUGGUGCAACUGGUUGACUUUUUGUAGGAUGGUACUUAAGAGCAUUGGUUACAAAUCAGUACCAGUUGAUGGGUUACCUUUUGAUCAUAAAAAAGGUGAAUGAGUAGUCGAUGUUCUCAAUCAAUUCAAUUCUCAUUCAAAUUUUUGUUAAUCGAUGUUACAUAUUCUUUGGUGAAGUAGCCACCACGUUUAAGCAGUGUUUAUUUAAAAAUAUGACUAAUUCUAGAAGAAUUCAGCUUGCUUUUGAAGGUGAAAACAAAAAAUGUAAUAGAAACAUUUUAUCAUACCAAACUGCCCCAAAGGGAUGGAAACAAGUGAUGUAAUUUUGUCGAUCCUGUGGUUUCAAUUGGUAAAUGAAAUGAAAACAAAUAGCAUUUACAACAUUUUUUUAUUCCUAGCCUUAGAAGAAGUUUACACUCUCCUGCAAAUAGUCUUCAGUGUAUAUUUUCUUGGUUUUUCAUGGCAUGACUUUGUUGAGUAGUAUUGGUCACAGGAAAUGUGACUUUAAUUGAUAAUAGCAGGAUUUCUUUCAGUAGUUGUUUGAUUCCCCGUGGUCAUGUCAGGCUUAUCAGUAUCAGAGGAUUUUAAAUGACAAUAAAACGGUACUUUGCUUGGAUGGCUUAACUCAUGCUAAUUGCACUAUUGUGUUUCACAGGUGCAGUAAAUGGAUUGUUGCUCUUGUGUUGAUGUAUUUUUAUUUAUUUUGAUUUUUACAUUCUUCUCAUUGUAGCUAUAGGUUUAGGAUUUUGGCAGAUUGCCAACUUUCCUGCUUUGUGUCUCCUCUCUCCUUCUGUUUUAUAAAAACAUUUAGAUGGAACUCUUUUCUGGCAUGCCAAGAAACAUGAUGUGUGGAUAUAUGUAAACGUG